Molecule: long non-coding RNA, 96771 nt
Filed under: Gossypium barbadense (sea-island cotton)
Lineage: Eukaryota; Viridiplantae; Streptophyta; Magnoliopsida; Malvales; Malvaceae
Description: long non-coding RNA (GBAR_LNC017243)
Source: RNAcentral
AUCUAUUUACCUUAUAUAUGAAGUUAUACAAUCCAAGAAGACGAGAGCUGAUUUAAUGAUCCUUUAUAUCCCUAUCGAAAGGGUAAUUUAUUUCAUGAGAUUUGGGCAGAUCAUAAUGGAUUAAAGUUUGCUCAGUGAAUGGAUUCAUGCUCUAAAUAUGAAAGGAUUGUUCAACCUUGAUAGAGGUUUUAUUGUUGAGGCAGUUAUAACGAGCGUUAUGAGUAGUGCUAUAAGCAGAGUCCAUUUCUAUCUAGUACCACUCAGCCUCAUAACUUGCCUUAUAUAGAGUUGGCAAGUUUUGUUAACAAAACCUUUAGGCUAUGAUAUUUUUUGAUUAUGUAAAUGUGUGUAAGCCCAUAUAUGAUAUCCAAACCUAUUAUAGGAACACACCUUGAAGAUUGGUUUGGAUUGAAUCAAACAAAUCGACUUUUCUAAUUUUGAGAUUGGAUUGAUUCAGGUAACUUGGUAACAUAUCCUGAAGAUUUGAACAUCUAUCUUAUACUUAUUAUAGAUCAUUUAUAUGCUAAUUAUUCUUUUGUUUAAUUGGGAAGAUCGAUUGUAAUUGAUAUAAUAUGCUAGCAAGUCUUGCUUUCUUAUAAAUCAAGGAGGCUUGUAUACGUGAUGUAUUAAUCUGGUAGCACUUAUCCUUGUUCAUUGAGAAAUGUUUCUUAUGAGUGCAUUAUGUGCAAAAAAAAAGUGUAACUUGCUUUUUUGCCCUAAGUUUUCAGGGGGAAACUUAGAGGAGAGUGAUGUAGCUCUUAAGUUCAAAACUAAGGAGUUUAAUUUGGAGAUUGUUAGAUGUUGUAAUCACUUAUUGUAUAUGUUGCUAAGAUAGUAGAUUAUAUUGUUGGGUAAGACCCUGUAGAUGUGGGAAAAUUGAAUUGUGUAAACAUAUCAUGUGCUAAUUGUUUUUCAACCUUGUUCAUCACCAAUGCUUGAAGCAGUUGACACUGCCCUUAACUCUGCUUCUGGCACUACGUGUAUUUUCUUGCAAGUAGCAUUUUAAAACUUCCAGUGUAAAAGAAGUAGAGUGAAAAAAGUCACUCUCAGAUUAAGCAAGCACCAAAAUUUCAUUGAUAGAACACUUUCUAUCUUCCCCUUUGUUCAUUAGGCUGGCCAUCUUUCAACAAAAAUUGGGUGUAGUGAAAGAGAGAUGAAAACAGUUACAUUGACAAUUUUUUUUGUAAUUUUAUUAAAUUUUAAAUAUUUAUUUUUUUAAAGUUUUAUAUAUUUACCUGAACUAUAUAUAUUAUUUUUAUAUAUUUUAUAUUUUUAAUGUGUUUGGUGAUGAGGCAACUACAUUCAUUGAUGACGUGGCUUGUGUGCCACAUGUAACAACUUGAUUGGUCAUAUCAUUCUAUUUUAAUUGUGUUACAAAAUUGAACUAAAAUAGUGACGAAAACCAAAAAUCAAGUAUCAAUUUGAAUAUUGAAGCCAAAUCAAGUAUCAAAAAUUAUAUUUAUCCUUUUAAUAAGCAUGAAUGAAAUUAAAAAUUUGGGGUUAAUUUAAAUCUCCUUGAAAAAAAAACCAUAUUAUUACAUCGUCUAUGAUAACCAAUGAUGUCUUGGUAGUGUUGGUAAAGGUUGAGGUCUUGAGAUUUUAAGCGUCUAGAUUUGAGUCUCAAUAUGUGCAAGUGCCAUAUAUGGGUUUUUCCAUUCUUGGUUUAAAUCCCACCAUGUGUGGGAUAUAUUUUGAUUUUCAAUAUUUUAUGCUUUAUAUUACUUUGAUUCUAACACAUAUUAUUUAUAAUUUAUAUUAUAUUUAAAAAUUUACCAUAAUUAUAGUUAUACUUGUAAAUUCUUUUAGAAAUAUUGUUUACAAAUAAUAUGUUGGUUACCGUGGCUCUUGAUUGUAUCAAUUUGCUUUAACAAAAAUAAAUAAAUAGUUUUAUUUCCACUUCUUUAUUGCUUUAUUUAUUCACUAAAACUUGUAUUUUUUCCUUAAAACUUAAGAAAAGCAAAUCUAUAGACUAAAAUAUAAUAGCACAAAGUUGUUCAAUAAGAUACUAUAAAGCUAAAAUGUGUGGGUGCAUGUAUUUUCAAUAUUUUGUGGUGAGAAAAAUAUAGUACAUUUCUUAACACGUGGUACCACUAGUCAAGUUAAAGCCCGGUGAAACUCAUGGCACAAUGGCUCGAACAAAAGAAGGGUUUAACCUCCUAGUAAGAAAGGGACAUUGAUUGGCUUAGUUGGUUUGAAAGCCAAAGCUUUUUAAGACCUCCAAAACUUUUGUUUUGGCCAACUUUAGUUUAGCACAAUUAAAUGAGGCAGAGAAAAAAAACUGAAAAAAAAUCAAGAUCCUUUUAAACAACUUUUAAGCUACUCGAAUCAAGCUAUAUUAUUUUUAUUUUUAAUAUAAAAAUAAUUUUUUUUAAUUUUUUAAUAUUCAUUUUAUUAUUUAUAUUCAGUAUUCAUAUUUUUUUCUUCUCGAUAACAUUAUCUCUGAAAAUAUUUUAACUGGUUAAAUACUUGAUUUGAUAUAAUCAUAUAUACUUUAAAUUAAAUUGAAUUGGAUAUGGACAAAUCGCAAAAGAUACAUGCAUAACUUGUGUUUAUAAAAGUGUGUGAACUAUUUUUUCCCUUUGACCAAUUGAAGAAAAAAAAGAUUAAAGUAUUCUCUCAUCUUUUGCCAAGUUUGCAAUAAUAAAGGUAUAGAAAAAGGAACGGGAAAAGGAAAAAGGUUAAAAAGGAAGGAAAUUAUAUGUAUGGUUGUUUGGAUAAUUAUAGUUGGUAUAUGAAUGAAAAAUGUUUGACUGUGUGAAUUUUAUCUGACUUGUUGGUAUGACUAUUGGAAUUAUUCAUGUAACAUAGUGAAAUAUUGGUUAAAGAAUUAAUGCACAAAUAUAUGAAAGAUUACUUAGGUAAUUUAGUGAAUAUAAUUUAUAUUUGAGGAUUUUCGCUUAGAAAUUUAAUCCACUAACAAGCCAACGAAUUACAACCCAAUUAUUCCAAGGAUUAUUGCAUCCUUAGUUUCACACACUUAUAAUGUACUCUCUUAAGCUUUCUAACCCUGCCCGAGGUUGCAAAUAAACCCACUCCCACUAAGUAGUAAAAUAACACUCUCAUAAUGCACUAUUAAUGUUCCUAGUAGAACUAAAAUGUGCUGAUCUCUCAAAUCUCUAUCUUCAAUGGAGAGUGUUGUUCUUAUAAAUAGAUCAUUCAAAUUAGCUUAUUCAUUAGAUAAAUGUCACCCUCAAUCAUCUUCAGGAUAAUCGGCAUUAGAAUGUCAAAUCUAUCCCUUAGAUAAUGUUCUAGUUCUUCUAAAUUAUCUCCAUACACACCAUGCUUUCAAAAAGAAAAAAAAAACACUCCAUACGUACCCUUUUAAAAAGGAUAGAUUAAAUUCCAUAUUUUUGAACUCUAAAUUAUUGAGUUUCAAGUAUGGGUAAAUUCUAUAUUUAUUACGACUAAAUAAGGAAAUAAUUCAAAAUAAAUACAAUUUCAAAUUGUCUAACAUAUGAUCGAUACUGACAAUGUUUCUCAAGUAUUGUUCAAGUUGUUGCAACACCAUGUGCAACACUUCAAUGUAACACUUAUUCUAACAAUAUUUCCUUUUUGGCAUUUUAACAAAAAAAACUUGCAACAAACACAUACGCAACCCAUGCAAUUAAAGAAACAAGUGAAACUAGAUUAGUGUGAACAUGAAAGAAAGCCCUUGGACGUGAUAAGCUUAAUCUUCCUCAAGGCCCAAUAAAAUGAUCCAAAUGCAAGCAACUUAGAGCCAAGUUAAAUGUGUUAGUCCAAGAAUUUGCAACCAAAGGCUUUCAAAGUUAUUAAGAAGAAGAAUUCAAACUCAAAAGAUCAAUUGAUUUGCGAUGAGUUUUUGGAUGGAAUUUGAGCAUUUCUAGGUUAAGUUGUUUACCUAUGAUGAAAAACAUUUCUCAUAACUUUGAAGCACAUUUUAAAUCGCCUGAUUUUGAGCCCAAGAGAUCAAGAUUGUUUUAGUGAAGAUUCCGCUAGUAGAAUUUUUUGGACGAAAUUCUCACAAGAUUUACAAGUUUCAGGCUUUUAGUUAGUUUUUAAUUCAUAUUGAUUUCAAUUUUAGUGUCUAAUUGUGAUUAUUUAUGAAUCCAAUAAUGUAUUUACUAAUUUUAUUGUAACACCCCAAACCCGAGACCGUCGCCGGAGUCGAACACGAGGUGUUAACAGACUUCAAACCACUUAUUUGACAUUUCCCAGACAAGCUGCCAAUCUGCAUACUAGUCGGUUUAAAAAUCAUAUCUUGAGUUCUGAAACUCGAAAUCCAGUUCCGUAUAUUUUCCCUGGAACUAGACUCAUAUACCUAUAUGGUAGAAUUUUUGUAGAAUUUUUGGUCAGGCCAAUUAGUACAUUUUAUUAGUCAAAGUCUCCCAUGUUACAGGGAUCGACUACACUGACCCUUGCGCAUUACGAAUUGGAUAUCUCCAUGCACAGAGCUUCAAUACUGAUUUCGUUUAUUUCUAUAGAAACUAGACUCAGAGAGGAAUCUGUACAUAUAUGGCAUGACUCCUAAUUAUCUCUGGUUAAUUUAUAAUGAAUUUCCAAAGUCGGAACAGGGAAUCCAGAAACCGUUCUGGCCCUAUCUCACGAGAACCUGAAUAUCUCUUAACAUACUGUCCAUAUGAUCGUUUCGUUACUUCUAUAUGAAAAUAGACUCAUCGAGAUUCGAUUACAUAAUUUAUUCAUCAAUUAAUUCCACUCCUACUAUUUUUAGUGAUUUUUCAAUCUCACGUCACUGCUGCUGCCAGCAUCUGUUACGAAAGCAACUAUGCCCAUUUCGUGAUUUCUCCUUGAUCUAACUAGUAAUUCAUCAUACAUAUCACAAAUUAUGAUCAUGACUAGCCAUGCCAAAGGCUAAUCAUUGUCAAACAUCCCCCUACUACACUAUUGCCAUAUCAUGAACUUUAACACCAAAAUAAUCAACCAUGACAUAUGGCAUAAAAAGAAAAGUCGAAUUACCAAGGCUUACGACCUAGCGUUAUAAAACCAAACCCAACCGACAUUUAUGCCAUUUUCGCAUGGCUAAAAGUUUAAAUACCAAAGUUCAAACACAACAUAAUAGCCUAUACAUGCCGAAAUGUUCUCCUAAGCCGACUAAGAAGAAAGUACCAAAACUUGCUAGCCGGUGUGAUGACUCCAAUGACGGCCCGAUCACGCAAAAAGAGACGAGUCCAAGAAACCUAAAAUAGGUGACAAGGAAACACCGAGUGAGUAUAUAACUCAGUAAGUCAUAAGCAAUGCACUACCAUCCAUUAACAACAUUAUCACAAGAGGAAACAAAAUGGAACGAGGCUAGUUACUCCAUCCAUACCGAACCAUACCAUAGUUCCUUAGACCUAUCGGUUCAAUCUCAUACCAAGUCAUGCAUUCACAUUCCAUAUACUAAUCAAUAGGAUAUUUGAGGCAUUUUCAUACAUCAUUUUAUUUUCGUUACAAUCAUACAUCUAAACGACCUUUCACCUAUUCCACGAUAAAUCUUAUGUACGUGACUUCAAUUAUAAUUGUCACAUAGGUUCAAACUUACCAAGCUCAACUCCAAUUAUAAACAUAGCGCCUAUUGGCCAUGAACUCAAGGUACUUACCCGAUCCGCUGUCCGUGAUCAACUCAAUAAUGUCGCACACUUAGUGUCCAUAGUGAUUCAAAAGUAUAUAUUAAGUCCGCACACUCAGUCCUAUAUAAUCAACUCGCACACUUAGUGCUAUAUAAUCAAACUCGCACACUUAGUGCUAUAUAAUCAAACUCGCACACUUAGUGCUAUAUAAUCAAACUCGCACACUUAGUGCUGUACAAUUUAAACCCGCACACUUAGCGCCAAUCUCAUGAUCAUAAAAGUUUAUACCUGCACACUUAGUGCCGAGAUCAACAACUCAAUACAUCUCACCUCUUUUCUUCUCAUUCAACACUUUCAUCACCACAUACAUACAUGUAUAUAUAUAUUUAUCAUUCCAUUCAGCAUCAUUACAUAGACGUUAUGACCAUUUAAAUUAAUACAAACUAUAUGCUUAAUGACUUACUUUGUGUUGGGUAAGACGGUUCCAACUCGGCUACUCGAUGAUCUUUUCUUUGCCUUUGCUUGAUUCUCCUCCUUUAACUCCUUGAGCUUAAUCAAUAAAUCAACUAGUUUAACCGCCUUGCUAAAUAUUUACAAUCCAAUUACACAUGCAUAUGUAUGUUAGUACAUUCGGCAAUCACUCUUACUAAUCACCCAUUUAGUCGAUUGUAGGGAAUUAAAUAUAAUAUCUCUAGGAUGUACUCUACAUGGCCGAAUAUACCAUGUUAGUUUUUUAACAUUUCCUAUGUAAUUACAUAUAGAUUUUUACACUUUAAGUUUCACACAUUUCACCUUUUAAUGCCUAUUGCUCAUCCCUUUGAUCUUAACCUAAAUGACAACUCCCUCUCCCCAUAUCUCAACCGAAUUAUCCAUAACAUCAAGACUAAAAUUUUGCACCUUGAACUUCAUACAUUUAUAAAAACUUCCAUAACUCAUUCGGCUUUAACAAUUACCCAUUUCUCAUAAAAGAAAUUAACAAAUAAAAUGAACUUUCCAUUAACCCAUAUGGCCGAAUGUACCAAGCAUUACUUAACUAAAAUUCCACAAAUUUCAACCUCAUAAUAAUCUCUACUUAUUCAAUACAACAUGAAACAACCUCUACUCCUAACCUCUUGAUAUACGGCUAAAUGCCCAAACCACCAUAAAAGUUUGAUUUUUCAUGACAUUGCCGAAAUGCAUUUCAACAAUUAGCUCAACAUACAAAGGAAGUUAAAACCAACAUUUCAAAACUCACCUCCCACUAGAAAAAGGGUUGCCGAAUUGCCUUAAUGAAAACUUCCCUAUUUCUUUCCUUUUUGUUUCGGUUUUGGCAAGAUGGAGAAGAAGAUGAACACAUUCUUUCUCCUUUUUUUUUGUCUAGUUACGGCAAAUGGGGGGGGAUGGAUGAGACAACUUUGUUUUCAUCACCCCUCCCUUUUCAUUACUUAAUUACUAACCCUUUUAUUUAUUCUUUCUAACAUAACACACUAAGCCAACAUGUUCCCAACAUGUUUCCACCCAUAGCAUGGCCAGCCACUAGCUCAAAUUUUGGGUAAUUUGACAUGCAAACCCAUCAUUUUCAUAACAUGCAUUAAUAGGCCACUUCACAUUUGCCUAGCACAUUUCUAAAUUUUCUCACAUAAGUCCUAUUUAAUAAAAUUCACUUACAAUUAACAAAAUUCAAGCAUGAAAUUUUCACACAUGCAUAUAUACAUAUAAUAAGCAUCAAAUAUGAUGGCUAAUUAUUAGUAUGACUCAGUUUUGUGGUCCCGAAACCACUUCCCGACUAGGGUCAAUUUUGGGCUGUCACAUUUAUAUUUUUGGGGCUUUAUCUAUUACGAAUUUUAGGACUUUGAUUUUUUUUAUUUAUGUUUUAUUUUUGGCCUAAUCUAUUAUUGGCCCAUUUGAACAAUACUUUUAAGUCCAAGUCUUUUAUUUUCUUUGUAAAAAUCCAAUCCAUGCCAUCUCCCUAUAGGUUGGUCGAAUUUCCCUUUGCAAGUUAAGUUUUAUAUUUAGUUUUAUCUCAUUAUGUUAAAUACUUGGUGUAUAAGUAACUCAAGCCCAACAAGUGAUUAUGUGUUGUUGCGGCCCAUAGCGAUACAUGCACGGAUGAGGUGAAAUUUAUUAAUUUCAAUUCAUCUAAGUUGUCAAUUUUCAAGUUUGGAAAAUUAGUCAACUUGCGACGACUUUUUGGAUGAGAUCCAGGCAUUUUUGGGCUAAGACGUCUGCAUGCUGUUCGAAGAUCUAUCUUUUAUUUUCAAAACGCACUUUGAAUCACUCAAUUUCAAGUUUGAGAUCUCAAUUUAUGACUGUUUUAGUAAAGAUUGUGCGAGUAGAAUUUCUGGACAGGAUUAUUACGAAAAUUAUGAGUUUCAGGCUUUUAAUUAGAGUUCAAAUCAUAUUGGGUUCGAUUUUUAAAGUUAAUUUUUAUUAUAUAUGAGUCAAAUAUUUUAUCUAUUAGAUUUUAUUACUUUAUUAUUUAUUUAAUCUAAAUUUUGGGAUAUUCUUUUAAGUAUUUUAAGUUAUUUAGGAGUUUUCUACUUCUUAGUCAAACAAGAAAGUCUAGUUUAAAAUUACUUCUUAUUUAGAUUAAUUAGAGUUUUAGUAUAGCUGAGAGUUUUAUUUGAAUAUAUUUAGCUAGCCUAUAUAAAAGCCUCUUCACUAUUCAUUAGAGACACAAUUGUUUUAAUUAAUAAAAUUUUCAACUCUAAGAGUUAGUUUCUUUGUGCAAAAGUUCUUUCUUGUGAUUUUUAGAAGUAGUUUUCUUCUUGAUUUUCUUCAAGGAGUCAAGAGAAUUUGUUAUUCAUCCUUCAAUUUGCCAAUGAAUUAUUUCUUAGAGGGUUGAUUAGAGCUAUUAAUUAAGUUUGUUGGGGUUUAUACCUCAAAGGGUUCAAUUGAACACUUAUCCAUCUAUCAAUCAUACCCAUUGUUUUAUUCAAUUCAUCUUUCACUUUUUUAUUGUAUCAUUCUUUAUUUAUUUAUUGAAUAUUGAAUAUUUAUUCCUAAAUUUAUUAUUUUUGUUAUUUUCUUUGUUUUCCUACAUUUGUUUGGUUUUUUCUUUUGAGGUUGGAUUCAAAUCAUUCUUUUUUAAGUCGAACAACUUAAUAUGAUCCUCUUUUGCUUGCCCUCUUUAUCAUUUGAUUUCAGAUUUAAGCAUUUUUGAAUUAUUUCAUUGUGCUAUAUAAAGUGUUUUGUCGAUUUCAUUUAAACAACCUGUAAAAAAAACUAAAACAAAAAACAAAAUAUUUUUUGGGUUGAAUUUCGUGCCCAAAAUUUUCAGAUAUGAUAUUUAUGAUAUAAAGAGACUUCAGUUUAAUUUUCAUGAUUUUAGCACAUCGGGAACACCUUGAAAAAUUCAAGUUGUUUUCUAUUGUUUCAGGUUUUCAACUGGGUAGUUUAUUUUCUUUUAACCUAGCAUUAGGUUUUCUUUUGUUUUAGCUUUUCUUAUUCCAUUACGCUUUCUAACACAUUUUCGCUUCUUGUGUUAAUAAUUACGAAAAGAGUUGUCUUUCCUUUCUCUGUGCAACUUACUUCUGUUAGAGUCGAGUUUUUCUUUGGCUUCUUAGAGCCUUAGGUCAGCUUUGUUAGAGAGUGGCAACACAUCUUUUUCGAAUAUUAUUGAGUUUGAUUACUCUUUAAAAGUUACAAGUGAGAAAAUUUUAACUUCUUUUCCUUACCUCUUAGAGUUAGUUUUAUUGCGAGUGUAUAACGGUGAGGUUUAAUUUCCUUUGAUCAACUUUUCUUUUUUGAGUGUUUUUUUAUUUUAACCUCUAAUAAUUGUACGAACAUGUAGUCAGGACGAGGAGAAUGGUUAACCUUGGGCAAAGCAUAGAUGUCGUGUUUGUAAAAACCCCGCACGAACAUGUUUCCAAUGCCCAAAAAUAUUCUAUUGUUCAUGGACUUGACAGGAAAAAACAUUUGAACAAAGGUCAUAGUGGGAUACACAUACUUAAAUGACUUUUUAAGGACGAAAAAAGAAAAAAAUGUUUGGUGAUAAGGAGACUAUGAUUUAUCUCUCACCUAUUGUGAAAUUUCAUUGGUGUGGUUCAAGCUCAAUUCAAUAGCUCAUAUUAUCACUAGGUUCUCACCUUGAUAUUUCUAAAUGUAGUUAACAUGAACAUGUAAUCAAUUAAUACGACCCUAAAUCAUAAAUGUACAAAUCGUGGUCACGCGUCACUCAUCAACAAUUCUCGUUUUUUCUUUCCCUCCCAAAGGUUUUGUGUCGACAUUCAUUAGGAAUAGUCACAAAACAUAACACAUUAUCAAUUUUCGAUAAAUUCAUCACCAAAUACCAAUUUACGCAUAUUUUUCAAUUUAUUCAAUUUAGUCCCUAAAAUGGGGACAAGCAUAACUUUUAAUUUAUGGCUUUAGAUUAAAAUUUGAUUUCACCAAAAUUCAUAACAGUUCAUAAUAGUUCUAUAUUUUAUUCAAUUUGGUCUUUAAUGAGUGAAACUAACAGUUAAGCCUUACAAUCUAGUCAUUGUCAUAAACUGAACUUAAUUUCUAACAAUUUUACACAAUUUCAUCUAAUUCUCAACAAUAGUAACUUUCAAAAAAUUUAACAGUUUUUCAAAUUGAUACAUGGGCUAGCUAAAUCAAGCUUCCAUGACCUCAAAUUUAUAAAAAUCAAAGAAAAAUGGCUAUAGACUUAGAAUUAAUAGCCGAAUAUCACUUAGGUUUGAAGCUUUCUUCUUUAUUUUUUUAAUGGUGGACGGUUGCAAAUUGGAGAAGCUGAUGCAUUCUCCACUUAUUUUUUUUGUUUAUAUACUAUGGUUUAAUGGUAAUUAAACUAGUUUAAUUAACUUAACUUUAAUUACUUAAGCUUUAAUUAUCAAUUAACUUAAUUAAAAGACACCAUCUACUAACAUCCAUUUAAAAUGGGCUUAUUUUUCAUUUUGUUCCUUUGUAUAAUUUCUAUUUAAGUCCUCAACCAUUUUCCUGAUUUAAAAUCUAUAAUGAUUAAACUUUUACAAUUUAGUCCCUAAACCUUAAUUAACCACAUUUUCAACUAAAUUUCUUAACCGAAUUUUAUUUGAUCAAUAUAAUAACUCUAUAAAUAUCUCUAAUUACUAUUUACGGACUCGGUUUAUAGAAAAAGUAUCCCAAAAUUACAAUUUUCAACACCACUAGAAGCCGAAUUGUUACAAAGAAUAUCAAAGACAAAAAAAAUCACAAAAACACACGGCAAAACAAUUUAAGAGUUCGAAUCUGGUAAAAAAAAUACAACACUAGAGAAGGAAGCAACCAAGCGAAAAAUCAAAGAAAAGCUAUUGAAAGAAUCCAAACUUAACAUCUAAGAGUUUUAAAUAUGAGAUUUUUAAUUGAAAACUUAAAGAAACUAUUAGUGACUGAGUGAAGGUAAAGACCCAUAGGAAGGGAAGGUCAAUUUAUCUUGAAUUUAAAGCUGAAAAUUUCUAAAAAGCCUUUUGGAGAUCUGAAUGGUCAAAGUGUUUGUUGGACCAAGGAGAGGUUGCUUCCAAAGCUUUAUGUUGAUUUAAUGUUAGACAAUUGAGAGCUGAUGGUGAUAACUUCCAAAAUAAAGGGGAAAUUUAGGGGUUUUAAGUGGUUGAUUUUGCAACAACCUAAAAGUCAGUGGAGUUAGAAACGGUGGUUUUGGAAUAUUGUUUCCAAUGAUAGAAUUAGUGAAUAUUAUUAUUCAUAGUUACGAAGGUAUUGCAGUAUUAUAUUGAGGUUGACCUAAUAAUUUUAAUUAUUUGGAAGAUUAGACAAGGUACAAGUGUAUCAGUUUUAAAGUACAUGGUUUUGGAAAUUGAGGUAUCAGGACCUUGUUUCCAUGAAACAGACUCGUAAAUAUUUUAUUAAUUAAAUAUUUACGAAGUGACUAUAUAGAUAUAUUGAACUUUGGCCCGAAAAUUUUAGUGAUUUGAUAGUUAAUUAAAGAAAAAGGACUAAAUUAUAAAAAAUGCAAAAGUCAACUUCUAUAGUUAACUUGGGUCAAAUGGUUAUAAAAAUACAAGGCUUAAAGUGGUAAUUUGUCCAUAUUGGGAUUUAGUGGACGGUAAACAUUCAUUUUAUUUGUAUUUUAUAUCAUAUAUAUGUUAAAUUAAUUAAUAAAUUGAAUAUAUGAUAAAAACAAAAGAAUGAAAGUGUGGAUCUUCUUUAUUUUUCUUCUAUCAACAACCAAAAACUCCAUUUCUAAGCUUUGUUGCUUCAGUUUUUCUAUUUCAAGGUGCAUGUAAGGAUUUCUUAGUUCUUCAUAAUUUUUAAGUUUUCAGCUAAUUGUGAUGAAAUCUAACUAGUUAGUGGGUUAAUUUGUGAAAUUAUUUAAGUAUAGAGAUUAUGUCGUUGAUGAUUUUUGAGUGUUUUUUGUGCUAGUUGGUUUUCUUGGAAGCUUGAUUGUUAGAUAUGAUUAAUUUGUAAAGUGAUUUUUAAUAAUUUUUAAUUUAGGGCCUAAAUAGGUAAAAUGAUGAAGUUUGCUUGGUUUUAUUGUGAAUUUUUGAAAUUUAAGGGCUGUAUCGAGAUGGCUUAAAACUCAAUUACAUGGGUAUAGAAUUUAAUUGUGGUAAUAAGCUUCUUUCGAUUUAAGGACUAAAUUGUACAAUGUGUAAAAGUUUGGGGCAAAUGUGUAAAAAUUGUAAAUAAGAAAUUAUAUGUAUUAAAUUGAAUAUAAUGUGAAAUUGAGGCUAAUAAUUGAAAUAAAUUAUAUUGUAGAUCAAAAUCAAGUUGAUAAUCGUAGAAAAGGGAAGAUUGCUUAUUAGUCUCUGAACUUUUGUUGUUUCUGCAGUUUAACCCUGGUAAAUUCGUGAACUUAGAACUCAAACAUAAAUUAUUUUAAUUUAAUUCGAUAGCUGCUAAUUACUAUUAAAUUAUGUUUUCAUAUGUGUAAUACAAUAAUCUCUAUUGAAUGAAUGAUGUUAAGAUUAUAUAAUUAUCCAUAUGAAAAGUGACAUUAUGGAAUUAAUGUAACUCCCCAAAACCCGGCCUAGAAGUUUAGACCAAAUUUCUGAAGUCACAUUGAUCACUGAAGUGAUAGUGGGAAAUUUUAGUUUAACAACUCGAAAUACCUUAUAAUGUUAAUAACAGAACUUACAGUCUAAAAUUGUUUACAUAAAAUAAAAUUUAUAGAGAACACUUUAUUAACCAGUUUUAAAAACAACAUGACGCUUUCGAGACCUCCGCAAACCGAGUCCAGCUUCAGAACAUGUAAAUAUACCUAAAAGGGGAAAAACUAAAGGGGGUGAGCUACACGAGCUCAGUGUGAGUUCGAAAAGUGACUAAUAACAGAAUUACGGAACUCAAUUCAAUAACGAAACAAACUUACAGAUAUAGGCAAAGUCAGAAAGUAAACUUCGAACCAACGUCCCAACAGAAUGUGACAACUCAAGCACACCAAGUCACACACAGACACUCAGUCACAAGUGUUAUUCAGUCAGAUAAUCUUGCACCCAGUACACUUAAACAGAUGCAUAUGAAUGCAGUCAAGUAAUAAAAACCCACCCAUUAAACCAAAACACCUUUCUGUCCCCCGAUCACACCCCAAAAGCGCUGUUUAAGCUCAUCCAACCAAACACACCACAAAGGACCUCGAAAGGCCCAUCUAACCCUACAAACCAUGUACGUGGACUAAGCCACUCAGAUAUUAAUGCGCAACAGGGCUAGCGUAUAUGCAGUACAGUCCGACGCGGUAAUCCACUGUACAAACAUGUUGCAGUUUAAACUACCAGAUCAAAUAAUAGUACGCAGCAAAGCUGAUGUACGUGUGCUAUAGUGCGGUAAGUUACAAUAAACUGCCAGAUUAGAUCAGAAUCAGUCUUCCUUCUCUUCACAACCAAAACCCCAAAAGCUUUAUGCAAAUGCAUGUAUGCUGGCAGACGUACAGAAUCAAAAUACAAAAUUUCUAGACAAUCAUUCAGACACAGAAACUCACAUCCAGUCAAACAAUUACAGAAUUGUCGUAUAGUCACGGAAUGCGCACCACACACAACCACUCACACACCAAUCACUCAAAACCAGAAUUGCGUACAUUCAACUACUCGGAUUCAGAAUCAAUUGCAUAGUAACCUCAAGUAACAAUCAAACAAUCUGCUUAAAUAAAGGUAUAUCUAUAUAACCCACACUAAUCUUGGCUGAAUCAAAGUCCCAAUCACCCUUGUUAAGACUUAGCUAAGGUCGGAACACCCAAAAUCACAAUCAAGCUUUCAUUUGACACAGAACAAAAUUUGGCGAGGUCGGGCCACACGGCAGUGUGCUCCGGCCAUGUGGAAAUACCGAGGCUGUGUAGGGGUCAACAUGCCCAUGUAGAGGGACACACGCCCGUAUUGAAGGAGGUACACACCCGUGUGACCUAGGGACAUGGCCGUGUGAUAUGACUAUGUAACUCUUUAUUCGAUUGUACUAAAAUAGAGCGCAGGGCAGACACGACUGUAUGAGGGUCUCAAAUGCCCGUGUGCCCACCAGACACGGCCAUGUGUCCAAAACACACGCCCGUUUGGGAUCCCUAAAUAAGCAAAUUAGCCACACGUUCGUGUGGCACCAAACCACCAAAUCCCUAAUUCCCAAACACACACGCCCGUGUGCCCAAGGGACACGGCCGUGUAAAAAUUGACUAAUUUCCCCAAAUCAACCACUUGACAGUGUAGCACCCAAAUUAUCCUAGAAACCCUAAUUCCCAAUUACACACGGCUGAGUGAAUCGCCCGUGUGGGGGCACGCACCUGUGUAGCCACCCAUGUGGUCACCAAACCACACCAAAAUUGACUAAAACUUCGAUUUUGCGACAUCAGAACAAACCCAAGUCUUUAACCACUCUUUAAACAAACGAAAUCUUAUAGAAAUCCUCCAGAUUCAAUAACAAUUUCAUGUCAAAAAUAACCAGUUCAGAACACACACACACUAGACGCUGCAUUUGACAACAAUUCCGUACAAUACCUAGUUCAGUACACACUCGAGAUUAUCAAAUACUACAAAAUUGAAUUAAAAAUUUUAAAAAAAUAGAAGAGAAAAGGUUCGAAACCCACAUCUGAUUUGUAAGAUAAGCACCUGAAUCGUUUGAUUCGCUCCCCAUGCCAAUUUAGAGACUCACCGGUCAACACCAUUGAACUUGAAAUUAAUUUGGAAACCAACAGAAGAAAGAAAGAGAAGAAACUCUCUCGAUUGAAAAAAAAACCAAAAAAGGAGAUUAAGGGAAUGUCCAGGGAUAAAAAGAAAAGAACUUGCCAACAUUUUUCCCAAAAAUAAAGAUAAUGAAAAAUAAAACAAACCAAUCAAAAUAACAAAAAUAAAGUUAAAAAUUAAUAACUAUCUUUAACUCAAAACAUAUAGAAGGUGCAAAAAUAAUUCCCCACUAACACACCUAGAGACUCGAACCCGAGACCUUAGACAAAACUAACAGAUAACCAACCACCAGACCAACAGGCCCAUUCUUAUACUAGUACGUAGAAGCAAACUCAAAUGACCAAUCUAGGCACUGACCCUAUCUGCAAAUCUCAAAACUUCUAACCCCAAAACUCCAGAUGUUACAACUCACCCCUCCUUACAGAAAUUUCGUCCCUGAAAUUUCCAACUAACGAAACAGUCACUAAAUAUAAGGUCCACCAUUAUGCUCCCACUACGCACUUUAAACACAAGCAAUACCAUUCCAAACUUACAACCUUAACACUCAAUCAGAACACUUAACCACUGGAGUAGAUAUACAUUUAUGUUUCACACACAGAAAUGUUACGAUUCUAAAAUUAUAGAACUAAUCUUACUUUUUCCUCAAGUUUGCAUGGAUCGGCAUCGGAUUCUCAGACAUUUUAUCUCCUCAAAAUCAAUGAAACACAUAUCAUUUCAAAAUACUAUGGUACGGUUUAUCAAAACUUUUUUUAAAAAACGAAUACGCGUAUACAUGAAUACGUAAAAACACAGGCUGAGUUUUUGUAAAUUUGGCUCUGAUACCACUAAAUGUAAAGCCCAAAACUGAGCCUAGAAGUUUAGACCAAAUUUCGAAAGUCACAUUGAUCAUCAAAGUGGUCGCGGGAAAUUUUAGUUUAACAACCCGAAAUACGUUAAGUAUUAAUAACAGAACUUACAGUUUAAAAUCGUUUACAUAAAAUCAGAUUUACAGAAACAACGUAACGCUUUUGAGACUUCCACAAAUCGAGUCUGGCUUUAGAACACGUAAAUAUACCAGAAAGGGAAAAACAGUAAAGGGGGUGAGCUACACAAGCUCAGUGUGAGUUUGACAAGUGACUAAUAACAGAAUUACAGUACUCAAUUCAAUAGCGAAACAAACUUACACAUAUACCAAGAGUCAGAAAGUAAACUUGGAACCAACAUCCCAAUAGAAUGUAACAACUCAAGCACACCAAGUCACACACAGACACUCACUCACAAGUGCUAUUCAGUCAGAUAAUCUUACACCCAAUACACUUAAACAGAUGCAUAUGAAUGCAUUCAAGUAAUAAAAACCCACCCAUCCAGCCAAAACACCUCUCCGUCCCUCGAUCACACCCCAAAAGAGCUGUUUCAGCUUGUCCAACCAAACACAUCACAAAGGACCUUGAAUGGCCCAUCCAACCCUACACACCAUGUAUGUAAACUAAGCCAUUAAAAUAUUAAUGUGUAGCAGGGCUAGCGUAUAUGCAGUACAGUGCAACGCGGUAAUCCACUGUACAGACAUGUUGCAGUUUAAACUGCUAGAUCAAAUAAUGGCACGCAGCAAAGCUGAUGUACGUGUGGUAUAGUGCAGUAAACCGCUGUUUGAAUAAGUUACAGUAAACUGCAAGAUUAGAUCAGAAUCAGUCUUACUUCUCUUCAUAACUAAAACCCCAAAAAUUUUAUGCAAAUGCAUGUAUGCAGACAGAUGUACAGAAUCAAAAUACAAAAUUUUUAGACAGUCAUUCGGACAUGGAAACUCACAUCCAGUCAAACAAUUACAAAAUUCUCGUACAGUCACAGAAUACGCACCACACACAACCACUCACACACCAAUCACUCAGAACCAGAAUUGUGUACAUUUAGCUACCUGGAUUCAAAAUUAAGUGCAUAGUAACCUCAAGUAACAAUCACACAAUCUGCUUAAAUAAAGGUAUAUCUAUAUAACCCAUACAAAUCUAGGCCGAAUCAAAGUCGCAAUCACGCUUGUUAAGACUUAGCUAGGGCCAGAACACACAGAAUCACAAUCAAGCUUUAAGUUGAUACAGAACAAAAUUUCUUGAGGUCAGGCCACACGGCCGUGUGCUUCGGUCGUGUGAAAAUGCAUAGGUCGUGUGAGGGUUGAACACGCCCAUGUGGAGGGGCACACGUUCGUGUGGAAGGUGGCAUACGCCCACAUGAUUUGACCGUGUAAGUUUCUAUCCGAUUGUACUAAAAUAGAGUGCAGGGCAGACACAGCCAUGAGAGGGUCUCACAUGCUUGUGUGGGAUCCCUAAAUCCCCAAAUUAGUAAUACGACUGUGUGACACGAAACAACUAAAUCCCUAAUUCUCAAACACACACGCCCAUGUGCCAGGGGACAAUAUCGUGUAAAACUCGACAAAUUUCUCCAAAUCAGCCACUCGAUCGUUUGGCACCCAAAUUAGCCCAGAAACCCUAAUUUCCAAUUGUACAUGACCAUGUAAAUCACCUGUGUGGGGGCAUACGCCCGUGUUGCCACCCUUGUGGUCACGAAACCACACCGAAAUUGACUAAAAGCUCGAUUUUGUGACAUCAGAACAAACCCCAGUGAUUAACCACUCUUUAAACAACAGAAUAUUAUAGAAAUCCUUCAGAUUCAACAACAAUUUCAUGUAAAAAAUAAGCAGUUUAAAACACACACACCAGAUGUCAAAUUUCACAGCAAUUCGAUACCAAUACCCAAUUCAGUACACACUCGAGAUUAUCAAAUACUACAAAAUUAAAUUAACAAAUAAAAAAUAAAAGAGAAGAGGUUCGAAACCCACACCUUAUUUGUGAGAUAAGCACUCGAAUCAUUCGAUUUGCUCUCCAAGGAAAUUUAGAGACUCACCGAUCAACAACGUUUAACCCAAAAUUAAUUUGGGAACCAACAGAGGAAAUAAAAAGAAAAAAAUCUCUCGAUUGAAAAAAUCCAAAAAGGGAGAUGAACAGAACGUCCAGGGAGAAAAAGAAGAGAACGUGCUAACAUUUUUACCAAAAAUGAAGAUAAUAAAAAAAUAAAAAAAAUACCAAUCAAAAUAACAAAAAUAAAGUUAAAAAUUAAUAGCUAUCUUUAACUCAAAAGAAAUAGAAAGUGCAAAAAUAAUUCCCUACUAACACACCUAUAGAUUCAAACCCGAGACCUCAAACUAAACUAAUACAUAACCAACCACUAGACCAGCAGCCCAUUCUGACACUAGUACGCGAAAGCAAACUCAAAUGCCCAAUCUAGCCACUGACCCUACCUAUAAAUCUCAAAACUUUUAACCUAAAAAACUGGGACGUUAUAAUUAAACAAUGAAUAUUUUGUAGUCAAUGGAGAUAAAUGUGAUAUGGAAUUAUGAAAGGUAUAUUGAAUUAUGUAUAUGAUAUUAUGGAUUUGCAAUGGUAUAAUUCUUGUCGAUUCAUUCGACUAAUGCUAGGUACAACCAUCGUCGGUUAUCCAACUAGCUCGGAGCACAACUGUUGUCAUUUUACCUGACAAGUGCUGGGCACAUUAUCAUAUUCGUUGAUAUAUCCAACUUGCGCUGGGCGUAACUUCUAUCAGUUUAUCUGACUAGUGUUGGGCACAACCAUCGUCGGUUAUCCGAUUAGUGCUAGGCAUAAAUCUUUGUCGGCUUGUUCGACUAGUGCUUGGCACAAAAAUAAUCUUGUCGAGUUAAACGACUAGCGUUGGGUGCAAAUUAUGGUCUAACCAUUAGGCAUCGGGUGACAUUUAUUGGAUGAUACAAUCAGUAAUGUGUGAAAAUUCAUGUCAUGAUAUUUGUAUUUAAAUGAUGUUAUGAAUAUGAUUCUAUGAGAAUUAUGGUAAACUUUUGGUUAAUAGUUGUAAGUGGGAUCUUUUGAGAACAUGAGUUGCUUAUUGUUUAAAUUUUCACUUGUCUAUAAGUUAGGUAAUUAUUGUUAUUCUACAACUCAGCAUCCACGACAAAUCCCGUACUCAAUGUUGGUGAUGUAUUUCUUUUUGAGUCUUAGCAUGUACCUAGGAUGUCAAUAUUGAAAUAUUGAUAUUUUGUUUUAGUGAAUCCUAGUGAAUGUAGCCCUAUAAGUUAUAAAUGAUGAGUUACUAUAAACAUGGUUGUAUAUAAAUGUUUCCACGUAGUGUUUGUUCUAGUGAAUUGGCCACUUUUGUAUUACACUAUUGAUGUAUUUGAUUUAGAAAUAGAAGAAGGUUUAUUCAUUAGGUCAUUUGGUUGAUAUUUGUUUGUGAGUGCUUAGUAUAAGAUAUGUAUCUACUUAUCUCACUUAUUUCAAUAAUUGAACUUUGUUUAAGGUGCCUAUGAAUGACAUAUUGGUUAGGUGAUAGAUGAAUUAAAUGUGGUGUCAAUGAGGACACAUUGGUUAGGCACUUAAGAUGACUGUUUUGGCAUGUUUUGAGCAUGUUUAAUUGUGUUUUGAAUAGAUUAAGUGAUUGAUGAAUUGGUUGCUUAGUUUUUAAGAAAGCACAAAUUGGUAAACUUGAGUUUUAAGGUACAUUUAACUACACAUGGCCUGAGACACGGUCUGUCACAUGGCCGUGUGUCACAUAUGGGCAUGUGCCCUUAGCGUAAAAAAUAAUAGUAUAAGUGUAGUUUCCACACGGGAUGACACAUGGCCUGCGACACGGCCGUGUGACCUAAGUCAGCGCGUUACACGGGCUGGGACACGGCCGUGUGUCUCAAGUCAGUGAGUUACACAGGUAGAGACAAGGGCUAGGACACUACUGUGUGUUCUGAUUUCGAAAUUCACACGGUCUGGGGCAUUUCACACGGCUUAGUCACAUGGCCGUGUGUCCCUAGUUUCCAAAAAUUUUCAAUUUUUCCCAACUUUCCUAUUUUGUUACGAUUUGAUCCCGAAAUGUUUUCAAUCUAUUUUUAGGGCCUCAUAGACUCAUUUUAAGGUCCGUAAAUGUAUUAAAGCUUAUGAAUGGAAUGUGAUUGAUUAAUUGUAAUCAUGAUUGAAUGAUUAUCGUAUGAAAUGUUAAUGUUUGUAAUGUUAUCGUAAUACUCCGUGACCCCAAAUCUGGCAACAGAGGCGAGUUAGGGGUGUUAUAUAUUUUGGUAUCCAAAUUAAUAGAUAAAGAAGGGAUAGGAAGAGAAGAAUCUUGGUAGUACCCAAUCGACAAACGACAACGGCGACAGUGGCAUUAUUAGUGAGAGUUUAAUUUGGUUCUAAAUAUACGUGACAAUUUACGUGUGAAGGAAUUUCAACCGUCAUAAUUACUUCAUAAAAAAAUAAAUUUUAUAGUGAAAGAAAAUGGUAUGGUCUCAAAAAUGAUUAAUAAUAGUGAUUACCUAAUAUCUUGUUACUAUUACAUCAUUUUCCGAGAAAAAAAAACUUAGUGACAAUUUGAGCAUUUUUUUUGUGACAAAUUGGUAAUGACCAAUGAUUUGGUAACAAUUAUAUACUUAUAGUGAUGAUUUACUUGUGAUGUAAUUUAAACCAUCACACAUACAUCAUUAUAGAAAGUAAAAUUUAUAGUGACAAAAACUUGUAUUGUCACAAUAAUGAUAAAUAAUAGUGACUACUAGAUUUGAUGUCAUUAUUACAUUAUUUCCUGACAAAAAUAACUUAACGCAAACUUUUAGCAUUUCAUUAGUGACGAAUUGAUAGUGACCAAUGGAUUUGGAAACAAUUACACACUUAUAAUUUUACUUGCAAUAUAAUUUAAAUCGUCACACCUAGUGUCAUUAAAGUGACUAAAUAUUCAUAAAUCACAAUUACAUAUUUUAUUAGUAUUACAUAAAAAAUGCUUCACAAAUAAUCGAAAAUUUGUGACAAAAUUAUUUAUAUCACAACUAUAUUAACACUAAAAAUCUUAAGUGUUGUAGUGCUUGGUGAUACAAAGGAUUAUGUUGGCAACAAAGAAAGAUUACACUACCUAGUACCAUCAACAUUUCCAAACUAAUUACUUUGUUAAUGUAACAUUUUUACUUAAUAAUUGAUUGUGAAAACCAAGAUAACAUUAUUUACGAUUGCUACUUUAGGACUUCAAAAAUAUUAGACUUGAGAAGUUGUCUAUAGAUUUACUACCUAUGCUUGGGACAAGCUUGUUAAACCUACUUUACUAUCAAAUGAGAAAAAAAAAGUAGAUUCUAUGGCUGAAAGUUAAGGAGUUGUUGCCUAAAAGACCUUUUUGAAUGAAAAAGCUAACUUGAAAAAAAAUUAUAAAAGGAGAAUUUGUAUUGUGAUAAUUUUUAUUAGGGUUAACUACACAAAUAGUCACCCAAUUAUUAUUUUUUAUUUUAGGCACUCAAAAUAAAAAGUUUGUAAUUUAAGCACCCAUGUUACAUAUUUCAGUCAUUUUGAUCACUCUCGUUAAAAAAACAAAUGGCAAGCUGACGUGGUAGCUAUAAAGUGAUAUAAUAAUAAAUUUAGCCCUCAACUUUUACAAAUGGUCUUAAUUUGAUUCUAAUUCUAAAAGCUUCAAAUAAAUAUAUAAAAAUAUAUAUUUUUAAAAUAUAUAUAAUAAAUUUAAAUAUUAUAUUUAUAUUUAUAUUAAAUAUAUAUAAUUAUAUUAUUAUUAAGUAAAAUAAAAAUUCCCUUCACCUCGUCCUUUUCCCCAUUCCCCACUCCCCACUGGAUUUAAACGAUUUUCUAAGAAAAUUCCAUCGUUAAAAUACCCAGAUGUGAUAAAAUCACUAGAUUUAAACGGUAAUAAACUCGAUGGUAAAAUCCCAUAAAGUUUUUCAAAAUUUAAUACUUUUUUAUUUGAAGGUAACAAUGAACUUUGUAGGAAACCAUUAGAGAAACAUUGUGAUAAAGCUGAUUCAGGAAAAGUUCAACAAGAAAAUGAAAAACAAGAAGAAUAAAAUUCUUCUUCUUCUUCAAAUGUCAUGGUGGUUGUCUCUAUUGUGACACUAGUGACCGUGGUGUUUUUCGUGGUGGUCGUCAUUAUUUCAACGAAUGGUAAAAAAAAAGAUGAUUUAAUGAACCACCAUAGUUCUAGUAAGGAACCAUUAAGGCAAGGUAAUAACAUACCUGAGUCAACUCGACAAAAACCAAUUGAAUUGAGUUAAAAAAGUAGUUCUGAUUGGAAAUUCAAAUAUGGUUGUCACGAAAAGGGUUAUUUACCACAACUGUGUUUUGAACCAUGAGCAAUGAAGCACGAACAUGGACACGCAAUAUGAGUACGACACGAUACGGACACAGUGACACGGUAAUUUUAAAAAAAUGAGGACACAAAUGCAACAUGGUACGAUAAUAAAAAAUAUUUUUUAUGUUAAAAUACUUAUUGUAAAUGAGAAUAUUUAUAUUUUAUUAAUAUAUAAUCAAUUCUUUUUCAUUAAGCUCUCUUGUCAUUACAUAAAAUAUGACAAAAUAUAGUAAUACAUUUUCCAAGUUCAUUAUACAAAACAUACCAUAUCAAAUCUAAAUUUGAAGUUCAACCUAUAUCCCUAAGAAGUCUUGUACAAAAAAAAAAGAAAAAAAAGAAGCAAUCUUCUAGUUCAAUUCAUAGCAUUAGCAUUUUCCAUAUCUUCUUCUUCAUUGGCAAAAUUUAUCAUCUCAAUAUUCGAUUCAUUAAGGGAUAAGCUAGCACCUUCAAGAACUCCAACUCCUUCAAAUGAGUCAAAUACAUUACCUCUAAUAUCCCAUAUCUUGUUCUCUCAUUCUUUAUAAUGAAAAAUAUUUCUGGAAAGUAAUCGAAAAUUAGUAUGCACAAAUACUAAAUCUUGACACGUUGAGGAUCAAUCUUGUUUCUUCUCAUGGAAUGGACAAACAAAUAUGUAUUCCAAUUCCUUUUACAAAGAGAUGAUGAUGAAGGUUGUCCAAGAAGUUUUAAAGCUAAGUUUUGGAGCAAAGGUAUUGAAGCCCCAUGAACUAACCACCAAGACUUGGGAUCCAAAAGCCAUCUAUCCUAUAGUGAAUCAAAUGAACCAAAAACAUCUAGUGCUCCCGAAAAUCUUGAAAACUUUUGGAAAGUCAUCUUUCUUUCUUCAGCAGAAGAAAAAUUUCUUCUUUAGAACUUAUUCCUUUCCUCUGAGAUUUCUACAUCUUUAUCUAGAGGAAGGCAAUUUGGAACCUCAUUAAGCCAACCACUAGAAUAAUACUUAUGUAAACAAUUAAAUUUGAUUUUUUUAUUGAUAAUAAAUAAAACAAGUAUAAAAGAAUAAAAAUUAGCAUAAAUAGAAUAUAUGUUAUCUAAGUUUGUAACGCCCUGAAUAAUUUAAGUCUGUAAUUGUGAAAUUUGACAAAACUAUGUAUUUGCUUUAAUGGUUAAGUGUUCUGGGUGUGUAUAUGAGGUAUUGGGUUCAAGUCCUAGUAUUGGAAAAUUUUGUUUUUUUUUAGAUCCAAGCCUUAUCCUUGUUGAGUGGACUUAUAUAAAAUUGUCAGUUAAUCCAUAUUAGAAUGAGCCUACUGGUUCGAGUGGUAAGAAGUUAGUGUGUUGGAGGUCUUGUGUUCGAAACUCUGUACGAGCAUGGGUAUUAUUUUUGCUCGGUUGUGUGAUAGAGUUUCGGUGGAGUUGGAAUUUUGAGUUGGUUGGGUGAUUAGUGGAUCUAGUGGGAUAGUGCUAAAUUAAAUCUUUUUAUUUUAUUUUUAUUUUGUUUUUCUCUUUCUAAAGCUUUUGACUUUUCUUCUCCAAUUCUUGAUUUUCCCAAAGGUGUUGUGCAAGGGGAUUAAAACGUGUCUCCUAUCGUCUAGUGUGUUUGAGCUAUCGUAUCUGUUUUAGUUUUAGGAGUCUUGGGAUUGUUUCACUGCAAAAACGAACAAGGUGUGUACCCCUUACGCAAGAAAAUCGAGUUUUGGUAAAAGCUAUAAGUGCAGUCUAUCGACGCCAUACAGGCGUGUGGUCGCCCAUGUGGUUGGCAGCGUUUGAGCCAUGGCUGUGUGUCUGACGAAGGUGUGGCCGUGCCCAAGACACGGCCAUGUGCUGGUGUAGGUGUGGCCGUACGCUGGUGUAGGUGUGGCUGUAUGGGUCACACGGGCUACACCAAGUUGGGUGUGUGGGCCCAUAGUUCUGACAUUUUCCCUAGGGUCGCACAGGUCAUUCUAAUCGAUUGUGGGCCUACCGUAGGGUCGAUAAUGGCUAACCAACCCUAAAACUAUAUGAUUUGCUAGUCUGAAAUUCUGCUCUGAUUAUUCUGAUAUAUAUAUUUUUGAUAUUUGUAUUGAACAUGUAAGUAUGAUAAUUCUGAAUAUAGAUAUAUAUCUGAUUGGGAUGGGCUUUGUAUAUGUGGAGGAAGUGUUCUGUACAGCGAUCAUCACUUAUAUUCUUGUAGCUUGGCUGCACUUUAUCUGACAUGUGUCGUAAUGGCACAAUAUGGUGUGUAAGGUUGGGUGGGUGUUUUUAACCCCACAUGGUGUGAUGGGAUGGUCUGAGUUGGUGUGUAGAGGAUGGGGGUAGGAUUCUGUACAUCUUUUUUGCAUAUCUGUUUCUGUUAUCUGAAUCUGUAAAGGAUCUAAGUCUGACUGUGUAUGUGAUUCUGCGUGUGAUUUAUGUAUGUGUAGCAUGUUUAUUUCUAUUGGGAUACACAUUGAGUUUAUGUAAACUCACUUAUGUUUGUCAGUUCUAUUAAGGUAAUCCAUAGACUUAGGCGGAUUAGUGCAGCAAAGUCUCGCGAUGACCACUAGUCUAUGAACUAAGUUUAAAUAAAGGUUUUAUUUAUUUAAGGAUUAUUUUUAGAGUUUUGUAUUAAUUAGACCCUUCGGACUGUUUGGUUUAAUAUCUGAGGUUUGGAUUUUUCAUUUAAUACUUUAUUUGCGACAGUUAUUUACAAAUAUAGUUUUUACUAAAAGAAAGGUUUUCCAAACUUACGAAUGGGAUUUUAAGAAAAUAACGUUUACUAUAACUUCUGCUGUAAAUUAACAUUUUCAACAAUGGAUAUAAACAUAUAUGAGUUAUUAAGCUGAAAUGAUUUAACGUAACGCUUCGUUUUCAAACCCCAUUCUUUGUGACAUCUUCAGAUUCGGCUAUAACGUUUGGGCUGGGUUCAGGGUCUUACAUUUAGUGGUAUCAGAGCUAGGUUACAAACCUCGGACUAUAAAUUUUGGGUUUCAAAUUUUUGUUUCAAAUUUUUGUUUCAAAAAGAAAUAAUUUUCUAAUAAUUUGUAUAAUUUGAGAAAGUAUGUGGUACACCGAGUCUCAGGCGUCGAUCCUAUAAGUAUCUCUGAACUUAGACAGAAUACUCUGGAAACACUAUAGUUAGUACUUUCUAAAACUGUACUGAGUUAGUUAGAGACUAAAACCUCUAAAAAAAUUUCUGAACUUCUGAUAAUUUACGCAUAAAAUAUCUACUAAUAAAUACUGGAACUGAUGUAUAAAAUUUCAUAAUGUAGAUAAAUUUUGAAAUACACAAUGAGUGCUCGUGAAAAUUGUGGACAUGGUAUUCGUAACCGCAGUAGAAGCCGUAGGGGGCUUGAGCUAAGUCUUCUUCUCUGGGCAGUAUGCCAAAUUUAGACACAAGUGAGACACUGGUUUUGCCUACUACUGAGACUGGGUCUCAAAGUCGUUCGAUUGGGGAAGACACAUUAUUCCAAGCCAUGUUGAAGGUAUUGGAGAGGGUCGCUAGACCCCGUUCUGGAUCUGGGGGCCGUGGGUCGGUAACUGAGCAACUCCGAUCCAAUGGAGCUAAAUUGUUUAGAGGUGUCACUAGAGUCGCCCCUACUGUGGCCGAGUAUUGGUUGGAGGCCACUGAGAGAAUUAUGAACGAUAUUGAUUGUACUCCUAAGCAGAAACUUAAGGGUGCCGUUUCUUUGCUUUGUGACAAGGUGUAUCAAUAGUGGUUAUCAGUUGAGGAGGGUACUCAACCGGAUCAUCUAAACUAGGACUUCUUUCAGACUAAUUUCUAAAGGAAGUAUGUGGGUGCGAGCUAUGAAGAUGCUCGUAGGUGUAAGUUCAUGAAUCUCACGCAAGGUGAUAGAUCCGUGGUCGAGUAUGAGGUCGAGUUUCUGAGGUUGAGCCGCUACACUCGAGGCAUGGUGGCGUCUGAGUAUGAGAAAUGCGUCCGUUUUGAGGACGGCUUGAGAGAUAAUUUGAGGGUAUUGAUUGCUCCACAGAGGGAGUGAGAGUUAGUUGUUCUGGUUGAUAAGGCAAAGAUCGCCGAGAAAGUUAAGCGCGUGGAGCACCAAAAUAGGGACCAAGAGAGAGGCAAGAGUAAGAGGGAUUCAGAACCCUCUAGUUCUGUUCAGAGGCCUAAGAAGCAGGCCAGACCUGAUGGGCCUAUUAGAGUGGGGGCUCCUGUUGCUCCUAUUGGGAUUCAGCCUUGCGGGGGUUGUGGUAGGCGCCAUCCGGGUGAGUGUUGGAGGAGGUUAGGGACUUGUUUGAUGUGUGGAUCCUUGGAGCAUCAUAUUAGAGAGUGUCCACAGCAGGCUGAUUAGAUGCAAGCUUCAGGACUGGGUUCUGUACAGUCUCAGAGGGCAGUUCAGCAGCCACCUAGGGGCUGUGGACCGGCUAGGGGUGGGAAUGGUAUGAGCCGAUGACAGAGAGCACCGGGUAGAGGUUCUAGUCAAAUUGAGGAAAGGUAGCUUGUACUAGUUUACGUUGUUCGACGUCGAGAGGAUAGAGACCCUCCUGGUGUUAUCACGGGUAUGUUCUUUAUUUUUUAUGUACCUUAUACUGCUUUGAUAGACAUAGGUUCUACACACUUCUAUGUAACUAGUAUUAUUUUUGAAAACCUGGUGAUUUUGGUUUAGAGCACUUCUAGUGAGAUAAUUGCACUGAGUCUGUUAGGGCAGUCUGUUCGGGUUAAUAGACUUUAUAGGAAUGUUCUGUUAAAAGUGCAAGGGGCUGUAUUUCUAGAAAUUUGAUGGAGGUUCCGUUUGGGGAGUUUUACUUAAUCUUGGGGAUGGACUGGUUAGUUGAGCACCGAGUUAGUUUGGAUUACGUGACUAAGAAGGUUGUUUUAAGAACUGUGGAAGAUAAAGAAGUGGUUGUGAUCGGUGAGUAUCGAGAUUAUCUUUCUAAUGUGAUCUCCGCUCUUGUAGCUAAAAAAUUGGUUCGAAAAGGGUGUGAGACAUGUAUGGCUUCCGUCAAUGUUUCAGUUUCUAGGGACUCAUUUAUUGAGGAUAUCAGAACAGUGAGAAAUUUUUUGGAUGUCUUUCUUGAGAAGCUACUGGGUUUACCUUCGAAUCGAGAGGUUGAUUUCGGUAUAAAUCUUUUACCGAAUACAACUCUAGUGUCCAUCACUCCAUACCGUAUGGUACCAAAGGAGCUUACGGAGCUUAAGGCUCAACUUCAAGAGCUUUUAGAUCAUGGUUUCAUCUACCCUAGUUUGUCUCUUUGUGGGGCACUAGUUCUAUUUGUAAAGAAGAAGGAUGAGACAAUGAAGAUGUGUAUUGAUUAUCUGCAGUUGAAUAAGCUAACUGUAAAGAAUAAAUAUUCACUUCCGAGGAUCAACGAUUUGUUUGAUCAAUUCCAAAAGGCUUCUAUGUUUUCAAAAUUUGAACUCCGUUUUGGGUAUCAUUAGCUUAGAGUUAAGGAAUUUUAUGUUCAUAAGACGACAUUUAGGACUUGUUAUGGGUAGUAUGAGUUCCUAGUUAUGCCUUUCGAUCUGACGAAUGCUCCGGCUGCAUUUAUGGAUCUGAUGAACCGAUUCUUUCAGCCAUCUGAUGAAUGUUCCUAGUUCGUUGCGGUCUUCAUCGUUCAUAUUCUGGUUUACUCUAAGACUGAGGAUGAGCAUGAUGAGCAUCUUAAAGUAGUGUUUCAAAUACUCCGACAGAAACAGCUCUACGCUAAGUUGGGAAAGUGUGAGUUCUGGUUGUGAGAGGUAACUUUUCUGGGGCACGUGGUUUCUGUUAAAGGGAUCCGAGCUGAUCCUAGGAAGAUUGAGGCUGUGCUUGAUUGGAAACAGCCUAAGAAUGUAUUUGAGAUCCGCAGUUUUCUGGGUCUUGCGGGCUAUUAUAGGCAGUUUGUCGAAGGGUUCUCUCUGAUUGCAACUUCUCCGACUAAGCUUCUGCGCAAGGGUGUUCCUUUUUUCUGGACAGAUGCGUAACAAUCUAGCUUCAAGAAGCUCAAGUCUGUUCUGACUCAGGCUUCAACAAUCUGACUCAUUAUCUGAUGUGCCAGCAAGUUAAGGCUGAGCACCAGUUGCCUUCGGGUUUGCUACAACCUGUUAAGAUUCCCUGAUGGAAAUGGAAACGAGUGACGAUGGACUUUGUUAAUGUGUUACCCUUGACACCUACUAAAAAGGAAUCUGUGUGGGUCAUCGUGGAUCGAUUGACCAAGUUCGUUCAUUUUAUUCCAGUUCAAAUAAACUACUCUCUGUAGAAGUUAACAAAGCUCUAUAUCUCCGAGAUUGUAAGACUGCAUGGGGUUCCUGUUUCGAUAAUUUUUUAUAGAGAUUCUUGUUUCACUGCUCGAUUCUGGAAGAAAUUGUACGAGGCUCUGGGUUCUAGAUUGGACUUCAGUAUUGCAUUCCAUCCUCAGACCGAUGGUCAAUCUGAGAGGGUGAUUUAGAUAGUGGAGGAUAUACUUCAGAGUUGUGUAAUAGAUUUCGGAGGUAGGUUGGAGGAUUUCUUACUGCUAGCUGAGUUCGCCUAUAAUACCAAUUUCCAAUCUAGCAUCCAAAUGGCACCUUACGAGGCUCUGUAAGUUCAUAAAUGUCGUACUCCGCUAUGUUGGACUAAGUUGGGUGAGCAACGGAUUUUGGGUCCUGAGUUGGUUUUUGAGACUGAAGAUAAGGUUAGACUAAUUCGGGAUCGUCUGAAGGCGGCUUCUGAUAGACAAAAGUCUUAUGCGGAUUUGAAGAGGAGAGAUAUCAAGUACUCUGUGGGUGGCUUUGUUUUUCUUAAGGUUUCUCCGUGGAAGAAAGUUCUGAGAUUCGAUCAUAAGGGCAAGUUGAGCCCAAGGUUCAUUGGGUUGUAUCGAAUUUUGAAGCGUGUGAAACCGAUCGCUUAUCAAUUGGAGCUAGCUCUAGAGUUGGACUGUAUUCACGAUGUGUUUCACAUCUCGAUGUUGAGGCGGUAUCGGUCUUGUAAUAGCUCGGUUUUAGUUAAAUCGGAAUAGUAGUUUUAGAACCACAAAUUUGAGGUUAAAAAAUUAUUUUAAUAUUAUUUUUGGUAUUUAUAGCGUGUGAUUAUAUAUGUGUGAAAGCUUCGUAAAAAAAUUACUGUUUGAAUGUUUAAUUCAGUAAAAAAGACUAAAUCGCAUAAAGAGUAAAAGUUAUGUUCUAUAUGCUAAAGGUGUCUAAUACUAUAGAACAUUAAAGUAAAGGUCCUUAAGUGGUAAAUAGACCAUAAAUGAGAUAGUGGAAGAUGUUGGCUUGGCAAUUGUGUAAUUAUUAAAGUUUAUAAAGGUUAAUUAAGUAAAAUAGUAAUUAAUGUUAAAAAUAAACAAAACAAAAUUAUCAUUAUCCUCCAUUACCAUCCACUGAAUUUUAGAAGGGAAAGAAGCCAUUUUUGUGCUAAACAUUCGGCCACGCUUGUAAGCUCAAUUAGGUAUGCGUUUUUGUCUCGUUUUUGAUGAUUUCUUUGUUUUUGAGAUCGUUGCUUCGUGUUCUAGCUAGCCCAUGCCCUAAGUUUUGAAUUGGUUGAUGAAUUUGUGAGUUGUCACUAAUGAUAGCUUCAUGUUUUUGAAUGUUGAUGAUGGAAAAUGAAUAAUUUUUGAUAGAUUAAUAUGUUUUGUAAAGUAAUUUUUGACAAAAAUGUCAAAUAGGGAUUAAAUUGUGAAAUAUGCAAAUUGAGUGGUUGAUAUGUGAAAUAAAUGAAAGUUUUGGACUGCUAGGGGCACUAUGGUAAUUCGACCAAGCAUGGGUCUUGUUGAAUUUUGUGAAUUUGGUGAAUUUGUGAAAUAGGGACUAAAUUGUAAGAAAUGUGAAAGUUUAGGGCCAAAGUGCAAAUUGGCUUAAAUAUGUGUUUUUGGACUUAAUUGAAUGAUUAUAUGAUUAAAUGAGUUAAUUUUGAAUACAUAUAGAUCAAGAAAAGAGGAUUCCAGAAUUUUAUCGGGGGAAAGGCAAAAUUAUUGAGUAAUCGAUCGAUUCGUCAAUUUCAAGUACGAGGUACGUUCGUGUGUAAAUAAUGCAACAUCACAUUAUUUUGUAUUUAAUGUUUUCAUAUAGCAUGAAUUGUAUAAUUUCUUUGUGAAUUCGGUUGAUGAUGUUCCAAUAUCGAUUUGAGAUUUUGUGUAAGACCAUAGCUGGGCUAUUGGCAUUGAUUUGAGAUUUCGUGUAAGACCAUAGUUGGGCUAUUGGCAUCGAUACGAGAUUUCCAUGUAAGACCAUGUCUGAGACAUGGCAUUGGUACGAUACAUUAUGUAUGAGUUUUCCCGAGUAUCUUUACUAUUCUAAGUGGUUCAACGGGUAAUCCAAAGAUUAUGUCAAAGAAAAGACAAGGUAUGAUCAUGUUGAGAGGAUGCAGGUAUGUACGAAAAAUUCAUGAGUAAUGAACUCGAUGCAUAUUGGAAAUUUUGGAAAAAAUGUAAAUGAGUAAGUCAUUCUUAUGCGAAUGAUCUUAUGAUGACCUUGUGAUUAUAAGUCUAUACUUAUGAGGUAUAAAUAUGGGGUAAAUUUGAUUGAUGAUUGUGUGAGGCUUUUAGGCCAAAUUAAAUUGAGACAUGAUAUGUUUAAGUCUUUGUUGUUGAUGUAUAGGUGAAAUUGGCCAAUUAAUGUCAUGUAAAUAUAUCAUAAUGAUUAGCUAUUGGAAUAGCUAGUUAUGGAUAUGCUUUGGUGUUAUGUGUGUCGAAAUAAAUGUUAAUACAAAGAAAUCAUGAAAGAGUAAUAUUUGCAAUAAAACAGAUUUGGACAGCAGUAGUUGUAAAACUUUGAAAAAUCACCAAAAAUUUUGGGAAUCGUAUUAGAGGUUGAAUAAGACAUGAAAUUAAAUAUUAUUAAGUCUAGCUUCACAUAGAAGAAAUGAUGUAAGCAAAAGAAUCUCAUAUUAUGAGAUAUUUGAAUUUUUGUGAGAUAAGGUUAGAAUGAUUUUGGAAUCCCCUACUCUAACUUUGGAAAAUCAUUAAAAAUUGUAUAAAAAGAACUAUAGGUUAUAAUUUAUAUAAUUAAAAUUCUUAAUGAGUCUAUUUUCAAGAGAAACAAAUGGGAACAUCGUCCAAAUCUCGUACUAAGAGAUAAUUAAUUUUUAGAGAAGAAAGAUCAGAACUAUCAGACAGCAGAACAGGGACUACUUUGAUGAAUUAACUAUAAUUAUUUGAUUAACCAAAAAUUCUAAAAAUUUUAUGGUAAGAAUAUAUGUGAGUCUAGUUUUUGGAAAAUCAAGCGGAUCUUAAUUUGGAUUUCUGUAGCACAAGAUAUAAAUAAUUUAGUGACUAUGACUCGAGUAGACAGCUUGGUGUGAAAUGAGUAAAUAGUGGAACUAUGUUUAAUUAUGAUUGUAUUAUCUUGAGAACAUAUUGUGAGGAUUAGUAAAAGCAUGUUAACAGUUUUCUUAUUAUUUACAUACCAACUUACUAAGCUAUAUAGCUUACCCCCUUUCUUUCUUUUUCCUAUAGUGUCACAGAUACUAGCUUGGGUUGGAGAUCGUCGGAGAUUCUAUCACACUAUCAAGCUAUUGAUCAGUAUCAACGUAUUCAAGUAUUUUAAGUUUAUGGCAUGUAUAGGGGCUCAGUCAUUUUGUGUAUGGGUUAUUAUGUUUUGGCCAAAUGUUUUGGCUUGUAAUGGUUAAAGGUUUGAUUUAUGUGUAGCCAUGUAACUUGGCUUAUAUUGGCUAAUUGGUUGUAAGCCUACAUAUAUAUUAAUUAUAUGUCAAAGUUUGGUGAUGUGAGUUGUGUUUUCAUGAUACAUGAUGAUUUGUGGGACCCUCAUUAGUUGAUGACGUUAUAAGCAGAGAGUUACACGGGCUGAGGACAUGGGCGUGUGACCCUCCAAAACAUGAAAAUUUUCUUAGUGUUCCAAAGUUUUCGGUUUAGUUUCGAACCACUUCUAUCGUAUGUUUAGGGCCUUGUAAGCCCUUAUAAGGGACAAUAUGCAUGUGUAUAAAUAGUUUUAAAUUGAAUGAAAUUUUAUGGCCCGGUUUUGUAUGGUUGCUUGUGUUAAGACCGAUCUGAUCCAUCUCACGUUGUCUCUAUUGAGAAGAUUGAGGUUAGACUGGAUUUGACUUUUGAAGAGGAUCCAGUUCAAAUUUUGGAUCGAGAUAUUAAGGUUCUGAGGAGGAAGUCCAGACCGUUAGUGAAGGUUUUGUGGCGGAAUCAUGGCACUGAAGAAGCCACGUGGGAGCCUGGGGACUCGAUGCGUUAGCAGUAUCCUCAUCUGUUCUGAUCAGGUUGAAAUUUAUUUUAGGAGGUAGAGUUGUAACACCCUAAAUAAUUUAAGUCUAUAAUUGUGAAAUUUGACACAACUAUGUAUCUACUUCAGUGGUUAAGUGUUCUGGGAGUGUUAUUUUUUUAGAUCCAAGCCUUAUCCUUGUUGAGUGGGCUUAUAUAAAAUUGUCUCUUAAUCCAUAUCAGAAUAAGCCUGCUGGUUUGAGUGAUAAGAAGUGGCUGUGUUGGAGGUCUUGUGUUUAAAUCCCUGUAUGAGCGUGGGUAUUAUUUCUGCUCGGUUGUAUGAUAGAGUUUCAAUGGAGUUGGAAUUCUGAGUUAGUUGGGUUGUUAGUGGAUGUAGUGGGAUAGUGUCAAAUUAAAUCUUUUUAUUUUAUUUUUAUUUUGUUUCUCUCUCCAAAGCUUUUGACGUUUCUUCUCCAAUUCUUGAUUUUCCCAAAGGUAUUGUGCAAGGGGAUCAAAACGUGUCUCCCAUCGUGUAGUGUGUAUGAGCUAUUGUAUCUGUUUUAGUUUCAAGAGUCUCAGGAUUAUUUUGCUGUGAAAACGAACCAGGUGUGUACCCCUUAUGCAAGAAAAUCAAGUUUCGACGAAAGCUGAAAGUGUAGUCAGUCGACGCCACACGGGCGCGUGGUCGCUCGUGUGGUUGGUCGUGUGCGAGACACGACCGUGUGUCUGACGAAGGUCUGCCCGUGCGUAAGACACAACUGUGUGGUGGUGUAGGUGUGGCCAUGUAGGUCACACGGGCUAGGCCAACUUGGGUGUGUGGGCCCACACGGGCAUUUCACACAGGCAUGUGGGUUUUGGGACAGACUGUGUGGGCCACACGGGCAAGGCCAAUUAAGGCGUGUUAGCCACACGGGUGUAUGGGUCCAUAAUUUUAAAAUUUUUCCUAGAGUCGCACGGGUCGUUCCAAUCGAUUAUGGGCCUGUUGUAUGGUUGGUAAGGGCUAACCAACCCUAAAACUAUAUGAUCUGUUAGUCUGAAAUUCUACUCUGAGUAUGACACUGUUUUGCAUGUCUGAUUAUUCUGAUGUAUAUAUAUUUGAUAUUUUUAUAUGAGCAUGUAAGUAUGAUAAUUCUGAAUAUAGAUAUAUAUCUGAUUGGGAUGGGCUUUGUAUAUGUGGAGGAAGUGUUCUAUACAGCGAUCAUUGCCUAUAUUCUAGCAGCUUGACUGCGCAUUAUCUGACAUGUGUCGUAAUGGCACGAUAUGGUGUGUAGGAUUAGGUGGGUGUUUUUAACCCCACAUCGUGUGAUGGGAUGGUCAGAUUUGGUGUGUAGAUGUUGGGGGUAGGAUUCUAUACAUCUGUUUUGCAUAUUUGUUUCUGUUAUCUGAAUCUGUAAAGGAUCUAAGUCCGAAUCUAAAUCUUAAUUUGACUGUGUAUGUGAUUUCUGUAUGUGUAGCAUGUCUAUUUCUAUUGCGUUAGACAUUAGGUUUACGUAAACUCACUUCUGUUUGUCUAUUCUGUUCAAGUAAUCCACAGACUUAAGUGGAUCGGUGCAGCGGAGUCUCGCGGUGACUACUAGUCUAUGAACUAAGUUUAAUUAAAUUUUUUAUUUAUUUAAGGAUUAUUUUUGAGAGUUUUGUAUGAAUUGGACUCUUCGGACUGUUUGGUUUAAUAUUUGAGAUUUGGAUUUUUCAUUUAAUACUUUAUUUGCGACGAUUAUUUAAAAACAUGGUUUUUACUAAAACAAAAGUUUUCCAAACUUACAAAUGGAAUUUUAAGAAAAUAACGUUUACUAUAACUUCCACUAUAAAUUAAUGUUUUCAAUAAUGGGUAUAAACGAAUAUGAGUUAUUAAGCUGAAAUGAUUUAACGUAAUAACUCCGUUUUCAAAACCUAUUUUUUGUGACAUCUCCGGAUUUGGCCAUGACGCCAGGGCUGGGUUUGGGGUGUUACAAAGUUUACCUUGGAUUUAAAGAAUAAGCCAUACAAUGAGGUGGUGUACUACUCUUAGUCCAUUGAUCAAUAAGAAUAUCAUAUACCACUUCAUAAAAUAUUGACCUCUCGUUUCCUUUCCUCCCUUCAUGCCUAUAAAUACUUAUCUUCACUUUUUAAAUCAUUUCAUCCUACAUCUCAUAAACCAAGUGAAGAGUGGGUCUAUCCGUGUCCAUAAUUCAAAGCAUAUCAUAUAUAGGUCCAGUAAAAGAAAGAAUAUAAUCAACCUUAUCCCACCAAAACUCAUCCAAAAAAUUUUUCUUCACCAAAGAGGCUUUGGAAACGUCAUGUAACGCCCCCAAAAUUUCUAAUUUCGUUAUUGUGAAAAUAAGACACACAUAUCUGUCAGUUUUAGUGGUUAUGUGUUCUGGGAUCGUUUGGGAGGUCUCAAGUUCAAGCCUUCGCUUAGGAAAAUUUUGGUAUUUUGAAUGAAUUAGGCAUUACUCAUGUUUAGUCGGCUUUUAUUUGAUUGUUGGGUAAAUUACAUCAAAUGGGUUUGCUGGUCUGGUGGUUAAACGGUGUGUUAUUAUGGUAGAGGUCUUGUGUUCGAAUCCCUAUGCAGCCAAGGGAUAUUAUUUUGUACUCAAAUUUUGGGAUAGAGUUGUGUAAUAGGGGGAUUCUGAGUAGUGGAUGUGUAGUGCGAAUUAGGGGAGAAGAUUAAGGAAUUUUGGGGGUUAUCGGGAUUUUAUUUUAUUUUUUUCCCAUAACCGAAUUUUGACUCUUUUCCAAAAAAAAAAUUGUCGUCUAUUCUUCUCCCUCUCCUCUUGCCGAAAUUCUCUAAGUUUUUCCAUCUUUCUUUUCUUUUUCUUCUUGAUUUUUCCCUAAUCCAUUUAUUUUCCUUCGCUUUCGCAUGUGGUUAGUGCUCGCUUAUUUUCGAUAAGUGUUUCUCUUCAUUUCUGUCAUGAAUCUCUUAACGACUGAAGUGGUAAUGUUUUUUCUCUGUAAUUUGGGCGUAGAGGGAGGCUCAGACUUGUGAAUUCAGUGCUCUCGUCUUAACAAUAGUUAAAUGGAGGGUUAUCAUUGGUGGUAAGUUGGGUUUCUGUUCGUUCUUAGUUGUCAAUUCGCUUGUAAAUCCAUUAAAUUGUUAUUGAGUAUCUUGAUUAUAGGCUUUGGAGUGCUCGGGAACUAUUUUAGCAUCAAACAAAACCAGGCAUGUACCCAUUAAAUAAAAGCUAACUUACUAUAAUGGUUUUUAAACUCAACAAUCUUGUCUUCAAAUCCCUUUCCAUGUGACAUCGCCAGAUUCGGUCAUAACGUCUAGGCCGGGUUUGGGGUGUUACACGUCAUAUUCUCUAUAAGUAGAUCGUUCAUCACAAAUAAUCAUAUUUUGGAGACCUCAUUUAAUGAGCUCGAGUCUUUUUAACAUCAUAAUCAUAGAAGCAAAUUGAGUAUCUGUAGCAGCAAGUAAUUUCAAAAGCACAAAAGAAUUAAAUAUUGCCAACUUCAUUUAGUGACUCAUUAUGAUGUUUCUUAUAAAGAUAACAUCAUCACCAACAUUAUUUACGCAACACAAAACAUCAUGUGUAACCUUAUUCUUUUCGGUGUUUUUUGCAGUACAUAUAUUUUAAAAGCAUGGUUAAGAGUAUGUACCACACAAGGUGUCCAGAAUAUAUGAGGAUGUUGUGUCUCUACUAAUGAUCCCGCGGCUUUAUAAAUUGAUGCAUUGUCGGUUAUCACUUGGAAAACAUUUUGUGUCCUAACCUCACUUAUGGCAUCUUUAAUUAAAGUUGUCAAACAAAACUUAUCAUUGUACUCCUUGUCACAAUUGAUGGCUUUCAAGAAAACAACUCCACCUUCAGAAACAAUUAUAAAGUUAAUCAAUGGUCGUCCUUGUGCAUCCUCCAUCCAUCACAUACAAGACUAAUACCUUUUUCCCUCCACAUUCCCUUUAUAGGUCGUAACAAACUCUCUAUGUUUGCUUGUUAUUUUUGCAAUAAUGUAGUCCUUAAAGUAUUAUAUCCCGAAAGUAGGUAACUCGGAAUCAAAUUCUUACUAGCUAAGGUGAAUGCGAUUCACAUAAUAAAGGUUCCUAGCUAGAUGAAAAGGCAAUCCACUUGAAUAAAACAUUCGAACAAUUUCACUAUCUAAAUUCUCUUGAGCAACAAGGUUUAAUGAUUGUUCUAAAGGGCCUUUUCUUCUUUUAGAAUCUAAACUAUGCCCUUGAAGUGAGGUUGUGUUUAGCCCAGAGGAAGAUGCUAGUGUUUGAGAACUAGGUGACAAUGGGACUAUUUUUGGUUGCAACUUGAGUUUCGCAUCUUCAACUAUUUUUUGCAUUUCAACAAGAUGUUGUAGUGUUACUUUAAGACACACUCAAAUUCUUUGCCCAUUUAGUUUCAAUAAAUGUGCUUUAACCCUAGAGUAUGAGCCCUUAAAUAUAGCAUUGCAAAAAGUACACGCAAAACUAACAUUCUCGCUUUCUUCAACAAUUUUCUAUAAUUUAGUAACAUAUCUCCAAAGAGGAGUGUUACUAAUAUCAUCUUGAGACACUAGCAUUAGUAGCAUUAUUUGAUGAGCCAACACUUCCACUACCACUUUGAGAUGUCAUAAUUAAAAACCUAUAUUAUUAAAAAAAUUAAAAAAAAAUCAAUGUAUACUCCAAGAGUGAUCAUAACAAAUAAAUUAUUUAACAAACAAAUAUAUAAAAUAAAAAUAAAAAGUAACUAAACAAAUAAAAUAAUGUAAUCCAUUCAAACUUAUCCAAAAAAAUGUAACAUAUUCAAAGCAUAAAAAUAAAAUAUUAAACUUACCUUCAAUUGCUUCAAACUUCUAUGUUCGUUGAAAGUAGGAAAAAAAGAUAAGAGUGGUAAAUGUUUAAAAUAUUUUUUGAAAUUUGAAAAUGGAAACGUCAAAGGCAACAAAGCAAGUACAAAGCUCAAAAGCUUCUCAAAUAACCUAAAUUUUUUUUAGUUUUUAUUUUACUGUUUUAAUUGGCUAUUUAAUGUUUUAAAUUUUAAGUCUUUUCAGUGUUUACAUAGGCUGAUAAUAAAACUCAGCAUUUUAUUAACAGAUUGAUUGUAAAACUCAGCAUUUUAUUAACAGAUUGAUUGUAAAACUCAGCUUUUCAUUAAUAGGAAACUCUAAACUUCACAUUUCUUCUGUACAUCAUCUUUUUCCUGCCGCUAACUCUUCAUCUACUACAAAUUUCAGCCACCGUCCGUCAGCCACCAUCUACUUUUCCUGCUUCUAUGACAUGUCCAUUUUUAGACACCCGUGUCGCAACCGUGUGGAACGAAGGGAAUGUGGAAGUGUACACAAUCGUAUCGAGUAAUAAAGUGACAAGAAUGUCGAGUUAUCAUACCCACAGGGACUAUGCAAGAAAAUAUUUAUGAAAUGUAGGAAUUAAACAAAUUGGUGAGGAAAAAUAUGUUGAUUUGUAAGAGGUUAUCUAAAAACUAAAAAUUAACUAAGUAAUUAAUUAAAAUUAAAAUUCUAAUGUACGAUUUAUAAAUAAGGGUUUAAUCAAUAUGACAUAAAUGUGUUAAAUUAAUUUUAUUCAUUAACUUAGAAUUAUUAAAACUAUGUUUAUGUUGUUACUAAUAAUUACAUGGCAACUUGGUCUUUUGUUAACUAAUGCACAUACAUACUUACUAAAUCAAUUAAUCUCUUAAACAUAUUUCUAUGUCAAUUCAAACAAUUAAUCAAUUUUCAUAAGUAAAUAUAAGAUAAAGUGAGGUAACAAUAUAUUCUUAUAUUGAAACAAUUUAAUCACAAUAAUCUUACAAGUUAUACAAGGCUUAAGUAUUGUUUAAUACCAUCGCUAAUUUAACCCUCAACUACCUUAGAAGAUUAAACAUGCACCAAUUAAAUAUUGUGUCAAUUAAUUAUAAUUUCAAUCCGAUUAAUUAUUAAUUCUUUUGCUACCUUACAAUUAAAAUGCAAGCAUAACAUAAGUAUGAUUUUAUUUAAUUGAACAAACUAUCAAGACCUAUAAUAACACAAACAUGAUUUUAACUAAGUAAGUGGACAGAAUGCAAUUAAUCUAACACGAAUGAAAUUUAAGUCAUUUAAAUUAAUUCAAGAACAUCAACACAACAAGUAUUCAUAAUCAUGAUCACAACAUAAACUGAAAAGACUAAGAGAAGGGAAUUAGAAAAAUAAAUCUCGGUGAUCUUCCGAAGCCCGACUAGUGUGCCCCUCUUUUCUCUGCUCGUUCUGUUGAUCCAAAUCCUUCACAGACAAUUGAUUGUUGUUGCUCCAAGAACCAAGCUAGAACCUUUUUCAAAAGGGGAAAUCUGCAAAGAAUGGAAGAAAAUUGGAAAGCAACUAAAAGGGAAAAAGAGAAAGAUGAGAGAAAAGAUAUGUGAGAGGAGAUGUGUGAAGUGAGGGAUGAAAAAUGAGGAACUGAGGGGGGCUAUUUAUACUUGAGCUUGACAGCUCAAGUUGGCUAAAAAUAGCAGCCAAUCCCUCAUCUUAUGAAAAGCUGAUUGGGAGGGGUUUGAAUGGCAUUUAUGAAAAGUUCAAGGGUUGAUUUGCAAGUGUUUAAAAUCAUCCAAAAUAAGCUGAUUGGGUUAGCAACAUGGGACAGUUUGGGCUACUUUUUUGGGCUUUACUUGCUCAAUUCAAGCCCUUUUCUCUACUUCAAGUUGCUUAUUUUUUCGGAUAAAAAUUAAAUCGGACCAAUUGAUUUGAGGAAGUCCAAAAACAUAAAUUUAAGUCUUUCAUGGCUGUUAUUUCAUCAUCUUGAACUCCCAUGAUGCCUCGUUAAUUAAUUCUUUCAAGGUGAUUGUCGAGCUAAUUUUUCACCCUUUGUGCAAAACAGCCAAAAAUAACUCAAUUUAUGCAAAAUUAUUAUAAAAUAAUUAAAAUACAAAAUGUUUUAUAAACUAAGCUUAAAUUAAUUAUUUUAUAAUAAAAGCAUAAAAUUCGACAGAAAUUACUUAGAAAUUGCAUGAAUUAGUCCUUAAAAUGUGUUGAAAGAGUAUAUAUAUUUUAGUGUUUCCACCGUGUUCGACCUCCUUUUUUUUUGACAUAUUUUAGCAUGUCCCGUAUGUAUCCAGGUGUUUCUGAGGAGUGCCCGUGUUGGACACACGUAUGACACCAGUAUGAGGAGGGAUGAGCCGUGUCCGUGCUUCCUAGACCAUGAGUGUCAUACAAUAGAAUUGGAGGUCCGGUGCAGGUGGGGGAGGGGGAGGGGGAGGGGGACGAGGAUGGUGGUAGAGGGAAGUCUAGUGGGGGAAGGGGAGAGGGAGAGGGACGGGCGAGUGGGUAGGAGGGAGGGAGGGAGGGAGGGAGGGAGGGGAUUUUUAUUUUAUUUAAUAAUAAUAUAAUUAUAUUUAUUUAAUAUUAACAUAAAUAUUAAUAUAAUAUUUAAAUUUAUUAUCAUAUUUUUAAAACAUAUUUAUGUAUUUUUAUAUAUUUUUUUGAAUUUUUUAGAAUUAAGAUUAAAUUGAGAUGAUUUAUAAAUUUUGAAAGUUACUUUUUUAAAAUUAUGACUAAAAUUGAUAAUAUGUAAAAUUUGAGGAUUAAAUUUGUUAUUAUACUAAUUUUUUAACUGUCAGAUCAGCUUGCGGUUUGUGUUUUCAACGGGAGUGGCCUAAAUAACUGAAACUAUGUAAUGUGUGUGGUUAAAUUGUAAAUUUUUUAUUUUAGGUUCUUAAAAUGAAAAUUGCAAAAUACCCUUUUAUUAAUUUAUUAAUUAGCCCAAAAAUGAUAUAUUUAGUUGAUUAUUUUAUUAGUUUUUAUCUAAUAGGUUAAGUAGUAAUAAUUUCUUUGUUUAUUUUAAUGGUUUAUUGCUAAAACAUUAAAUAAUUUUAGGCAUAUAAAUAAAUAAAGUUGUGAGUUCUGUAAAUCAUUCAAAUCAUGUUAGAAAGAAUAAUUUAGUUUUCUCUCAUGAUGAGAUUUUUUUUUUUUCUAUUUCUAUUUCUUUAAUUACUAAGUUUUCAUUUUCAAGGCAACGUCAAUAACAAUAGUAUAUGAUCUUUUUAUUAUAUAAGAUUAAAUGAAUCCGAAAAUAUCUAAAUUCAUAAAAGAAAAAAAUUGUAACCUUUAAUAAUAUCCAAUAUGAUGAAUUUUUUAUAACAAGUUGUAAUUUUUUAGUUGGAAGGUUCAUCAUGUAAUCUUUCAAUAAGUUUUACGUGAUGAAUAAUGAUGGUAUUAAAUUAAAAAAAAUAUUAUAAAAGAUAUUGAUUGAGUCUUAAUUCGAUUAAUAUGGAUAUUAUUGUUAAUGUAGAAAGGAGUGAAUUUGAGUGCGUUGAAGCGUAUUAUUGUUCAUAUAUAUAUAUAUAUUAUAAAAGAUUGUGUUAAUUUCUUUUACUUUAGUAAAAGAAUCGAGUGGUUUAUGAAAAGGGGGAAGAGUACUCCACUUGCAUAAACCUUUUACUGUUUUAGCUUGCUUGCUUUCCAACUUUCCACAAUAGUUUUUCUUGGGUGUUAUAUUUUUUAGAAGAUAUUUAAAAUUAUUUAUAAUCAAUUCCUAACCUUUAAAUAAAAAUAUAAAUAUAUUUUAUUAUGUUCGGAUUUAUAUUUUUUUACACUAACAACAAUGUUAAUGCUAAUAAGAUUAAUACUUAAUAAUUAAAUUUAAAUUUUAUCUAUUUUAUAUGCAAAAAGGUUUUGGUAUGAUUGUAAGUCUUAGGUUAGGAAACCAAAAAUAAAAAAAUUAUAGUUGACAAAUACAUUUAUGAUUUAAAAUCUAGGAUUUUGAACUUGUACUUGAUGUAUUUAUCGAUUUCUAAAUCUUAUACAUACUCAUUAAAUCUUAAAAAAAUAAUAUAUUUACAUAUUUGAUGUGUAAAUUAUAUAAUAUGAAACUAAAUCUUAUCACUAUAAAAUAGAUUUAUUAGCAUUUAAUAUUUAAGUAUUUUCAUACAAGAAAAAUUGAAAAUGUUUGAAUUCCAUUAUUAUUAUUAUUCCAUUUAGACUUUAAUUAUGAUUUAAAUUUCUAAUAUUUUAAUUAAUAAAGUAGUUAAUAUAUUUUAAUUAUUUUAAAUAAUUCAAAUAAUGUUAAUUAUAUAAAAUAAAAGUAUUCUAUUUAAUGAAUUUAAAAAUAUAAAUAUAAAAUCACAUAAAAUUCAUAUCACGGUAAAGGUUAGUAAACUAAAAACUAAGCCUUAUUUAUAUAUAACCAAUGAGACUAGGGCUUAUUGGUAAGGUUAAGGCUACGAGACUUUGAGAUCCUUAGUUUCAAGUUUUGUCUUAUCUUAAACCACACUUUUCAAAAAUAUUUCUUAAAACCUUUUUUCCAUAACACUUUUUAAAAAAAACUUUUCAAAAGUAUUGCCAAACUAGCCCAGUCUUUUAGUGUUUGUAAUGAUUGAUUCUAUUGGAACGAUUGUAAUUUUAAAAAUAAAACUUAUUUAAGUACAAAUUAAAACAUUAUUUUGGUACAAAUUAAAAAUUAAACAUUCAUUUUAUUUGAAUAUAUAUAAACACAAAUUUAAAGAAAAUGAUAAAAUUCAAAAUUUUGAUUAUUUUAACCAAAUUUUAAUUUGGACGCAUAAGGUGAGAUUUUGAAGACUACAAUAAUUACCCAUUUAGUUCAAAUUAGAAAACUAAACUUUAAAAGGCUUUAUUUUUCAUUACUUCCCAAAAUUACGGUUAGAAGUUUUUUUUUUAUUGAAAAGUUUUAAAAGUUUUUAGAAUUUUAAAAUAUUGGUAUUUUAGAAUUCAUAAAUUUAAAAUGUUAGAUUUGCAAUUACUUUGUUUGAAUAAAUAAUUGGUGUUGAAAAAAAAGUAAAGUAAUAGAAUUUUACAAAUUAAAAAAAAUAAUUAUAUUAAAAAUAACUAAUAUAAAUAAUAUUCAAUAUGGAUAUAGUUAUUUUUGUAAAAUUUAUAAAUAGUUUUAAUAAAAAUAAAUUUAAAAAUCUUAUUAUAAUUAAGUAAAAUAGUUUUCAAAGUUUAAGGUUUUAUCUUAUAGUGGAACUAUGUGUAUUAGAUCAAAUAAAGUGAGGGAGAAUUUUGAAAAACCACCGAUUUAGCUGGAGUUUGAAAAAAGAAUUUGAGUUAUUAAAAUUCCUUCAUGAAAUUUCCUAGAAAUUUUUAAAUUCUCUAAUAUAUUUACCCAAACAAGUAAAUUCAUUUUUAGAAUUUUGAAAAUCUUGAUACAAAUGAAAUCUCUCCCACAAAUUCCUCAUCCAAACACACCUUUAAAGGAUAAUUUUUUUCCUUAGAGCCAUAAGUAUGAUAUGGUCGUUAAAAGCAAUUAUCAAAACGCUGCUCUUAUCUGCGUUUCAAUUUAAAUCAAAUGAUGUGUUUUGAGUUAUUAUGAGAAUGGUGUGUUUUAUGUUUGGGGUUGUCAAUGAAACAAUGCGUUUCAUUAGUUUGUUUUGACAGUUGUAUGCAAUGUCUGUUACAACAAUUUAAUCAAAAAUUGAAUAAGUUUUCUUAUUCCGCUUAAUUAUCUCAUAUUUCUUCUCUAUUCUUCUUUUCUGUGUGAUGUAGUUUAGCUUGUAACAAGGGUAUCAUAGCUAUACGUUCCUCAUGGCCAGCGAGGGUGUCAUCACUAUAUCACAGAAUAAUGCAGCUCAGGUUCAGUAGUAGUUAACCAAGCUCCAGUUGGAAGUUUCUCAGUGGGAUAGCAAGCUUGAUGCUCAAAUGAAGGAAUUUAAGGAUGAUUCCAGCUUGGAGAUGAAGGGAUUGUUUGAGAAAUAUCUGGGUAACUCCACGCAAGCUACGCCUAUAACUUCUGCACUUGACAAGGGGAAGGGAGUGAUAGCGGCUCAUCCGCCUAGAUUUCCAUCUAAGGAACAUCUACCCCUCUCUCAUUUGAGUGAGUUGAGUAGUUUGUUGUGUUCUGGCAACUGGGAGUCCUUGUAGAAAUCUCCUAAACUUAAGUUUCCCCGAUUUGAAGGCUCAGAUUAUCGGGGUUGAUGGGCCAAACUCGAGUAGUUUUCUAAAGCAGUGGGCAUCCUAGUCUAUGUUAAAGUGCGAACAAUGGUACUCCACCUUGAAGGGAAGGCAUUAGAUUGGCGCUUCUUCACUCAUCACCAAGGUGGGUUCCAUUCACUGACUUGGCCAUCUUAUGUUCACUACCACAGUGAGCGUUUUAGAUCUAACACCUAUAAGGACCCCAUGACUAAACUGGUCACACUCAAGCAGGCAGGGACUAUCAAUGUUAACAUGAUGCCUUCAUCAACUUCAUUAACCAUCUGUAUCUCAAAAGAAAAACUAUUCUCCGGGCUUGGGAACAAAUUCAAAGGGGGUUACACUGUUACCAUCACCUGCUCAACUAUCCAAGUUGUUUCCUGCUUCCACUUCUCCUAAAGAAAUGACAUCGACCAAUAAUUCAAUUUAUCCUACUGGUUCGGGUAGGAAUAGAACCUUGUCCCCAAUUGAGAUUGAUGACAGGAAGAAAAAGGGGCUUUAUUAUUGGUGUGGCCUCAAAUAUACCCCAGGACAUAAGUGUGUCAACUCCUAAUUCCAUCAGAUGCUACUUGAUUCUACCUCUAAUGGAGAGGUUGAAGAAAACCAAGAUUGUCUAGAUCAGCUAGAGGACAAUGUUCAACGAAAAGAGGUGACUGAGGCACCUACAUUAUCUCUUCAUGCUCUACAAAGUUCAUAGGGUCUUCAAACUAUGAGGAUUGUAACAAGAAUUGGCACUACUCUAGUCAUUAUACUUGUUGACAUUGACAGUACACAUAAUUUUAUCAGCUCUAAGCUGGUUAGAAAACUUUCAUGGCCAGUGAGAAAAGAGAAAGGUCUUAAAGUUACUGUAGCAGAUGGUAGAUGUUUAUUUACUAUGGGGACUUGCCAAUCAAUUCAAUGGGAGUUACAAGGGAUGCAAUUCUUUAUUGACUUUUUGUUCUUACCAGUUAAGGGAUGUGACAUAGUCCUUAGAAUCCAAUGGUUACAGUCUCUCGACACCAUUACCUGGGAAUUUAGUCCACUCACCAUGAAGUUCCUUUACCAAAAUAAAAGUUGUCAAUUGCAUGGCAUUGCCCCUGGUGCACUCCAACUGAUCAGUGCUUCUUAAUAUGCCAAAUGUUUAUCCAUAGUAAGACAAUUCCUAAGACCUUGUGCAAUGGUCAUGGUUACACCCUCCCAAACUGUCUUAUCAGCUACUACAAAACCUACAUCACUAGAGCUACAACAAAUUUUGGAUGACUAUGUAGACAGUUUCAAAGAACCUACUGGUUUGCUACCACCACGGUUCCAUGAUCAUGGGAUUCACCUUAAAUAUCAGUUAAUAGUGGUUAAGAUUAGGCCCUAUAGGUACCUCAAUAUGCAAAAGAGUGAGAUUAAAAGGUUGGUUAAGAAGAUGUUACAAGUUGGCAUUAUCAAAGACAAGAGCAGCUCAUUUGCUUCCCCUAUAGUGAUGGUUAAAAAAUAUAUAUAAGUUGAAGAAUGUGAGUGGGCUAUAGGCAAUUGAACCAAUUCAGUAUAAAGGAUAAGUUUCCAAUUCCAAUGAUAGAAGAGCUUCUCGAUAAAUUCAAACAUGCUAUCUAUUUUUCCAAGUUGGACCUUCGAUUUAGAUACCACCAAAUCAGAAUAAAAAAGGAAGACAUUUCUAAAAUUGCCUUUCAGACUCAUGAGGGGCAUUAUGAGUUUUUAAUCAUGCCAUUUGGGCUGACUAAUGCACCCUCCAGAUUUCAAGCUUUGAUGAACUUAGUUUUCAAGCAUUUGUUACGAAAAUCUGUUCUGGUCUUUUUUUUUAUGGCAUCCUUGUGUAUUCACAGAAUUGGUCAUCUCAUUUGCAACAUUUGCAGGAGGUUUUCCAGUGGUUGAGAUCCUACUAGCUAUUUGCAAAGAGAAACAAGCGUACCUUUGUAGCCACAAUAAAAGAGUACCUAGGCCAUGUGAUAUCAAGUGGGACAAUAUCUAUGGACCCUACUAAAGUACUGAUGGGCAUCGAAACCAUAAAAUAAAAAUUUCUACGACAAAAUAACACUAAAUAGUAGUACAAAGUAGUAAGGUCGAAUCCACAGGGAUUGAGUAUCUAAUUUUGCCUAUUCUUGUGACCAGAAUUGUUGUCGCGAUAAUAGUCAUGCCCACGACUCGUGACGAACUUGUUGAAAAAAAUAAGGGGAGAUGAAAAUGUUUAGAAAGUGAAUAAAAUGAACUUGUAGCAAUAAAAAAUUAUAUUAAUCAAAAAUAAAAUAAAUAAGAAAAUGUAAUUGAAUUUAGUAAGUACUAAUAUAAAGUCUUAGCCUUAGACUCGGUAAAUUUCGAUUCUAAAUCGAUCCUUGAAAAUGGGUUUUCACUUCCAAACCAUAAGCUGGUUAUAGUGACCAAUAAUGUCCAAAACGCUAAUUCUUCCUCUCGUAGUUGAUUCUAGUACGAUCUACAAACCAACCCUUACCGAUUGUCUAACUACGAUACACGCAUUCACAAUUCAAGACCCCGACAGUCUUACUUUCUGAAGAACCCAACUCAGAUCAUCAACCUCAAUCGUGUGGGUCUUUUAAAUCUGAUCACUAUCUCCCUUGACGAAAAUUCCACUAGUAUGACCCCGAUAGGAUACACCAAUUUUUUUACGAAAAUCGAAAUACAGCACGACCGACUCAUCUUCCCAACUAUACGCCAAAACGAAUCCAACCCAACAUGUACUUUGUGUUGAAAUUUAAUUAACUUUAAGGGACGAAUUUGUACAAUCCCGAUGCAAAUGCAGAUUUAACAUAUAUAGGAUAUAAGCAUACAGUCAUACAAUUUUAGAUCGUGCUCAUGUAAUGCUAUCACACUUAUCAGGUCUCAUAAUAACGCAUAUAAAUAUAUCAAAAUAAUAGAUUAUUCAAUAACAGAUUGUCAGAUUACAACUUCUAUAUCUAGUUCAGAUCAUAUGGACCAUACGGUAGGCCUACAUUCGAUUCAAAAAACGAUUACGGUCCUAGGAAAAAAUCUUAAUUUUUGGCCUACACGCCCAUGUGGUCCACACGGCCUAGCACACACCUGUGUCUCUAGUCCAUGUGUCCCUAAAUUCAAAACAGUGAGUUACACAACCGUGUGGCAUCGACAGCCAUGUUUUUCGAUGUUCAAAACUUGUAGAAAAUCAGAUUUUCGUUACACACUUGAUACAGUUUCAUUGUAGAAGCAACUGAGGUGAAUCCAAAGCCUAAAAGCGACAAUCCAAAGGACAAUUGUGCAAUUAAUCACAACAAAAUUCCAAAAUUAGAGUAAAAAACCUGAGUUACGUCAAAAAGUUUGACAAAACCCCAACCCAAAAAUUCAUCCCCUUACCUUUACACAAUACCGCAAUCCAUAGAACUACAGAGUUUGGGAAACGUUGUUCUCACGAUCUUCACCUAAAAGAAUAUCAAACGAACACUUAAACAAUGAAUUCAAGCAAUUAAGCAAAACCCACUUUGACAAAAUGAACAAACAAAUACUAAUGAAAAUUCAAACUUACGCAAUUGUCUCGACAAUCGAAGACAGAAAAGUACAAAGUUUUCUCUUUCUAACAACAGCAAAAAUGACACAAAUUUAAAAAGAAAUAAUGCAAUAAAAGAAGAACACAAUAUGAGAGGGGAAAGAUGGAAAAGAAAAAUAAGAGGAAGAAAAGAGGGAGGAAACGUAACAUGAAGAGGGAAAAUUUUAAUUAGCUUGUUUUAAAAAAAAUCAACCACACUUAACGGAGUAGUAACAAAAUUAUUUCCUUAUUGUAUAUGCAGAGACUUGACCACAAAACCAGAAGAUCUACAAAACUUUAACCAUCAAACCAGCAAGCUCAUUCUUGACAUAAAUUGACGCGGAAGUAAGCUUAAGUCAAGAGUUCAAUGAUAAAUGUUAAACUAAAAUAAAUAGUAAAAAUUUAAGAAGGAAGACUCGAACCCCUGAUCUUAAACACAUAAACAGAGAACUUAACCACAUAUAUAGAGAUUUAAUUAUUAACAAGCUUUAUCAAACAAUUGCUCAAAUUUUGGUGCGUUAUAAAAAAAAAAGGCAAUGACUUAAUUAGGUUUUUUCAAAAAGUUCGAGGGCCUUUAUAAGGGUGAGCAAAAUUUUAUUCGACUCGAAAAAUUAAUUUUUUUUAAAUUUUGAGAUAAUCAAAUUGAUUUAUUCGAUUUUUUGAAUAAACUCGAAUAAGUAAUUUAAUUUUCUGAGUUAAGUUGAGUUAAAUUUUACAAAUUGAAUAACGUAUUGGUGUAAGUACGCAUUUUGUCCCUAGUAAUUCCAAAAAUAAGCAAAUGGAUCCUUCUCAAAAAAAAUAAAAAAAAUCAAUUCAAAUUUCAAAACAUUUAUAAAAAACCAAAUUUUCAUAAAAAUUUAUUUUAAAAAUUAAAAUUUUAAAAAAUUUAAAAUUCUAAAGAAGAUAUAAGAAGCAUUAAAUUUUUAAUUUAAAAUAUCCAAAUUUAUAAAUUUGAGAACUUUAACAAGUAAAUUAAGAAUUCAAAUUUAUCAUACUAAAGUAUCUUUUCCCCCUCUUAUUCUUCUUUGAAAAAGUUUUCGAAUAUAUAUGGCUUUAGAUUUAUGUGCUCUUGUAACGACCCGAAAACCAAUGGUGUUAGAAACGGUGGUUCCGAAACCCCGUUCUCCGAUGAUCAAUUCCGUAAAUGUUAUUAAUUAAUAUUUAUGGGUCAAUUAUAAUAUUAUAUUAUAUUUUGUUCUCAUAAAUUUAUUGAAUGGAUAGUUAGUUAAGGUACAAGUGUAUUGACCCUAAAGUCAGUGGUGUUAGAAAAUGAGAUAUCGGGACCUCAUUUCCGUAAACCAAACCCAUAAAUAUUUUUAUUAAAUAUUUACAGAGUUAUUAUAGAGGUGAAUUAAAUUUUGGAUAGGUAAUUUCGCUGAAUUAGUAAUUAAUAAAGGUAUAGGGAUUGAAUCGUAAAAAUGGUAAAAUUUUGUUGUUAGAGAUUUUUAAGUAACCGAGGGACCAAUUGAGUAAUUGACCCCUUUUAAUUAUGAAAGACAGUAGUGGAGAUGAAAGACCAUCCACUAAAAUGAUUAAAUAAGGUUAGUGUUAGUUAAAUUGUAAUUAAUUAAGCUAAGUAGGAUUAAUUAUUUAUUUUAUUAAACUAUAUAAGUUAAAAAUUAAAAGUCAUUGUCGAAACCCUUUUUUUAAUCGACAUUUUUUUUUGAAAAAAAUGAAAAUGGAGUUGACACCAGUCACUUUCAUGAGGUGUGAUCAGAUCACCUCGUAAUUUAAUCGUUUUAAUAAGAUGUUUGAUUUACUAAAAAAAUAUUUUUCGGUCUACAAAAUUAAGAAAAUGGGUUUAGGAGCCGGUUACGCACGAGGAAGGAUUAGCACCCUCGUUAUGUCCAAAAUUGAUACCUAAUUGAUUACUUGAUGUCUUAGUAUCGAGAAUUGAAAAUCUAAAGAGAAUUGAAAAUUCGAUCCCUUUUUGUACUAAGAUAUUUUAAUAGAAAAGACUUUAUUCUGAAUUAAUCGAGAAGAAGGAUCAUGCCCCGUGAGUUAGGAUACAACACCAUUAGUUUUCGAAAACCAGAAUUGUAACACCCCAAAACUGGCCUAGACGUUAUGGCCAAAUCUAGCGAUGUCACAUGGAAAGGGAUUUGAAGACAAGAUUGUCGAGUUUAAAAACUGUUGCAGUAAGUGGAAGCUUUUGUAACCAAUUAAUUUAGGGAAAUCAUUUCUAUUUACGAAAAACCUUAGUUUUUAGAGAAAAAGAAAAACAAACUGUGUUUUGUGGAGUUGCAGCCACAAAAAAAACUAUAAAGUCCUAAAUUUAAAACCAACCAGUUCAUAGUCCAAAAGAUACAUCAAAAACCCCAAAUAAGUAAUAAAUUCUAGGCAUUAACAGAAAAAUUCUAAAAUUUACGUAUGGCCACCGUUGAGUCCUCCGUUGCACCGACCCGUCAAGUCUGAGGAUUACCUGUACAAAUUAAACAGAGAAAGGGUGAGUUUUUGCAAAAUCAGUGUGUAAUCCCCAAAGAAAACAUGCAUACAGAUAAUCAACAGAAUUUAGUUAGAUACAGUCUAGGGCCUAUGCCCAUCACAGAAUCAAUUUGGGCCUUAGCCCAUUCAAAUACAGUCUCAGAAGUACAUUAGGGCCUUGGCCCAUAUCAGAUACAGAAUGCAGAUACAGUAAAUCAGAAUCCUACCCACUAGCCUCUACACAUCAUCUCCGUCCAACCCUACACACCAUUUGGGGAUUAAAUCAACCCACCCAUCCCUACACACCAUGUUGUACCGAAAUGCGGCACAUAAUCAGAAGGUUGCAGCUGAGAUGCCAGAUAACAGGCUUAAUAGCCUUUCAGACACUUCCUCCUAAUAUCAUCAACUCACCCCGAUGCAAUGCAACAUAAAAAAUAUGUCAUGCCAUUAUGCAAUUAAUAGUACAUACAUUCAGAUAUCAUAAGUCAUACUCGGUAUAGAAAUCAGACAAACAGAUCAUACAUAUAGGGGUCUAUGUUCCUUCAAAGUUAUCUACUUGAGUUACUAUUAUUAAAUUAUUUAUAUCUUGAGCUACAUAAUUCUGAAUUAAGAUCUGUUUGAUGUCUUUGAAACUAGACUCAAAUAGAUUUCUACCAUAAAAUUUUUAGAAUUUUUGGUUUAGCCAAUAAGUACAGUAAAAUCCUCAAACUUACUCCUAUUCUGCUAUCUGAUAGCUUCGUCCCUUUUUUUCUAAAAAGUAAUUAUCUCUUAGUAAAAAUUUUGGAUGAUGUUUUCAUUUGUUUUUAUUGAAAAUAGACUCAUUAAUAAUUUAAACAUGUAAAUUUUAACCCCUAAUUAUUUUUCUCCAAUUUUUUAUGAUUUUCCAAAGUCAGAACAGGGGAACCCAAAUUCAUUCUGACCUUGUCUCACAAAGUUUAUUAUACCUUACGAUUUACAAUUCCAUUACUUACACCGUUUCUUCUAUGAGAAACUAGACUCAAUAGCCUUUAAUUCCAUAUUUUAUUCAUCCUCUAAUUCGAUUUCCAAAAUUUAUGGCGAUUUUUCAAAGUUAGCCUACUUCUGUUUUCCAAACAGCAAGCAAUUUUGACUUUUCGCUGAAUUCCUUUUUUUUUUUGCAUUUCGGGUACACACUUGGGUUUUUUUAUAUUAAAACAGUCCCCGGGCACUCCAAAGCCUAUAAUCAAGAUACUCAAUAUCAAUUUAAUGGAUUUACAAGAGAAUUGACAACCAAGAACGAACAGAAACCUAACUUACCACCAACGAUAACCCUCUAUUUAACUAUUAUUAAGACGAGAACAUCGAAUUCACCAGUCUGAGCCUCCCUCUACAUCCAAAUCGCAGAGAAAAAAUUUUACCACUUCAGUCGUUAAGAGAUUCAUGACAGAAAUGAAGAGAAACACUUACCGAAACUAAGCGAGCACUAACCAUGUGCAAAAACGAAGGAAAAUAAAUAGAUUAGGGAAAAUCAAGAAGAAGAAAAAAAGAGAAAGAUGGAAAAACUUAGAGAAUUUCGGCAAGAGGUGAGGGAGAAGAAUAGACUGCAGAAUUUUUUUUGGAAAAGAGAGUCAAAAUUCUGUUAUGAGAAUAAAAUAAAAUAAAAUCCCGAUAACCCCCAAAAUCCCUUAAUCUUCUCCCCUAAUUUCCACUACAAAUCCACUACUCAGAAUCCCCCUAUUACACAACUCUAUCCCAAAAUCUGAGCAAAAAUAAUAAUAAUAGCUUUGUCUGUAUAGGAAUUCAAACACAAGAUCUCCACCAUAAUAACACACAAUUUAACCACCAAACCAGUAGGCCCAUUCUGAUGUAAUUUACCUAACAAUCAAAUAAAAGCCUACAGAACAAGAGUAAGACCUAAUUCAUUCAAAAUAUCAAGAUUUGCCCAAGCGAAGGCUUGAACUUGGGACCUCCCAAACACUCUCAAAACACAUAACCACUAAAGCUGACAGAUAUUUGUGUCAUAUUUUCACAAUAACGAAAUUAGAAGUUUUGGGGCGUUACAAGAAUAAUCGUCGUUUUAAUCGUUACUUAAGUUUUAUUUUUUUAUUUUAAAUAGGAUAUUCGAUUAUUUCAGUUCUAGAAAAAUGUCAUAUUUCGUAAGUUAGGAGCACAACUUCUUCGAAUCCUAAAAAUAAUGAACAUUACCUCGGUUUUGAAUAUUUUAUAUGUUAUAUAAAAUGAAGAUGACCCCUUUUUUUAGAACGAUACGUAUAUUUUUAACAAAAACAAAUGAAUAUAUUGUGAUAUAAUAUAUGAAAUGAUAAUAGUAAUGCAACUAUAAUAAUAAUAAUAAUAAUAUCAAUUUUAUAAUAAUAUCGAUAAUGGUACUAAUCACAGAGUAGUUAUUAUAUUAAUAAUAUAAGUAAAUAAAAUGAAAAUAACAAGGAUAAAAUAGAAUAACAUGUAUAAAUAAUAUAGUAGUUUGGUAAAAUAAAAUAAAAUGGCUACUUGGGUAAGAUAUUAGAAUGAUAAAAUAUAAAUAAAUUAAAUAAUGUAAUCAUAAUAAUAAAAUAAAUAAGAUUAUUUGAACUAAAAAUAACCAGAAGAUGCAUGAUUAAAAAGACAAGGCAUGUAAGUACUAAAAAUAAAAGAAAUAAAAAAAAUGAAGUAAUAAUGACAAUAUGACAAAAAUGUACAAAAUGAACAAUACAGAUUUAAAAAAAACAAGAAAAUAAUAAAUAAAUAAGAAAAUAAAAAAUCAUGAAAGGCUGAAAUUGCCAUAAUAAAUAAAUAUAUAAUUAAAUAAUAAAAAAUUUAAUGAAAAGUUGAAAUUAAAUAAAUAAGGAAUUAAAUUGAAAUUUAAAUAAAAAUCAAAUUAUAAAUCGCAAAAUAAUAAAGGAAAAUGGAAAAUAAGGACUAAAUUGAAUGUCUAUUGAAAUCUAAGGUCUGAAUUAAAAAAAACAUAAAUGAUUAAAUUAAAACACGAUGCAAAGUUUCGAGGGCUUCGAAGAAAUUAACCCAAAAAUACACGCGUCAUUCCUCCAAGGGUCAAUGGUCUGUGGACCAAAUUGAAAGAAAUUUAAAAUUAAGUGGUGCGAUCUAAAACAAGAAAAGAAAAGAAAAAUUAGGACCAAAUUAAAAAAGGCCCAAAAGUAGAAGGAUCGGGGUCGCAAAUAGACCCUUGUUGCAAAAACACGCGAAUCUUGAGAUAGGUCAGGUUGAUUUUUGGAUCGUACCUCAAAACGACACCAUUUUAGGCAUCCAUCACUUAAAAUGGUCCAACGACCAAAAUGAAAAUAAAAUAUAAUUAAAUGGAAAAAUGAAAAAAAAUGAAAUAGGACUAAGUUACAACAUGCUGCAAAAGCGAAAGGACCAAAGGCGAAAAUAAACCAUUUUUAAAAAAUACGUAGAUCCUAUUAAAGGGUUGGGUCGAAUUUCAAGUUUGGCCCCAAAACGACGUCGCUUUGGGGCUAUUGAAGCCAGACCUAAACAACGUCGUUUAGCGUUUUCUAUAUAAGCCAAUUUUUUUAAAAAAAAAUCAUUCUACCCUAGUUUAAAAAAAAGUAAAAGCCCCUUCUCUUUUUCUCUCAAUUUUUCCUCCGUCCGACCAUUGGGCUACCGUCAAUCCGCCGCGGCCACCGGUUGUCGACGACGGCCGCCACCUUCCCCGAUGGCUGGAGUUCACGAAAAGGGCCCAUUUUGGCUAUUUUAUUUCCCUCAACCCCGAUCUAAGGCCAAAAUAUCCAAAAAAAUCCCACCAAAAUUUGAAAAAAUCAAAUGAACCUUUUGGUUCUCAAUCAUCUUCCGUCAUGACCAUUCGGUAAGUCCCUAAGGAACUGUCGGUCUUUCAAAAUAGAGGGAGAAGACGAUAGCGGCGAUAAAGGUAAAAAAUGUUUCAUUUUUAUUUUAUUAUAUAUAUUUUCGAAAAUAAAAGAUAAAAAUAUAAAAAUAUAAAAUAAUCACCUUUCUUUUUUUGAGUUUAUAUCUGAUUUCUAUUUCUUUUUUGUAUUCAAUUUCUCUCCUUUUUAUGAUAGAUUUUUCGUGUACGAAAAUACAUGAUUAUCUUGGCUUUUAUAGCCAAAUACAAAAAGAUAUUUUUACUGUUUGCCCACUGUUCUUGUGUGUUCUUUGCUGUUUUUUGCAGAUGGUGGUUGAGGAGCAGUUGAUGGUGGCAGAGACUAGGAGCGGUGGCAGCGCUUGGCUAAGGUGCGGCACAAAAAGGGCUAGGGUUUCUAUUGAAAAGUUUAGGGUGUUGGGCCUACCAGGCCAUUAGGGUUUUUUUAAUUUGGGCUUUGUUUUUUGUAACUAGACUGUUGUAUUUUGGACUUUGUAAUUGGGUUUAUUUAUUUUAUUUAUUGUCUGAUUUCUGUUUUGGUUGAUUGGGCCUUUUAUUUGUAAUUCGGGACCAAGCUAAAUUGGCCUAUUACAAUCGUCACCUUUGUUUUUCUUCUUCUCCACCAUCCUAUCCAAAGAAAACUUAAAAGUCAUUCUUUAAAAGCUUCAAGUUAUUAUGUCCUUACGUAGGUAAGUGGUUUUAAAUACGUUACUUGUAAUUUUUAUAUUUUUGAGGUCUCGAGAACUUGAUUUAGUUAACCCAUGUGUUAAUUUUCAAAACUAUUAAAGUUUAUAAAUAUUUUCAUUUUUGAAUCUUGAAGCUUUUGGUGUGGUUAGAAUUAAAGUCUAGAUAUGAAAAUGGAUUAGUUUGUAAAGUGAAAUUGUUAGUUUUGAACAUACAAACUAAAAUGUAAAUAUUUUGAAAUUUGUAUGAAAUUUCUGUAAUUAUGGAUAGUAGUGGGCUAUAGGAGCAUGAACUUGAGAUCGUUUUUUAAAUCGAGGCUCAAAUUUGAAAUUUAUAACUAUUUCGAUUUUAGGGACUAAAUUGAAUAAAAUGUAAAACUUUAGGGACAUUUGAAUAAAAAAUUGAGCUGAUACAUGUUUAUGAUGGGAUGAAAUAAGAGGGUUGAAAUUGAUAAAUUGUAUAGAUUGAGAAUUGGACUCAAUCGUAAUUAAUCAGGGAAAAAGACAAAUUUGUUAUUAGUCCUUAGAGAAUUGAUAGUUUUUUGUUUUGACCAGGUAAGUUCAUACGAUAUGUUUAUGUCAAAUUGUUAUGCUUUUAAAAUUAUAAUUGUAAGUAUGUUUAAUUGAAAUUUUGAUUGUUUAAAAUUUGGUACAAAAAGGUGAGAUAUGGAUUAAAUCAUAAACAAUUGACAAAUUGACUAAUAAAUUGAAUGUAAUGAAUUGCAAUCUAAGAUUGAUUAGUUGAAUUGAAUCAAAUUGAUAUGAUUAUGUUUGAUCUUCAAAAUAGAGGAGUAAUUUGAAUAUAUUUAGAAAUAUUGUAUAUUGUUGUAAUUGCAAAAUUGGCUUUAUGAUAAGAUGGAUUAUAAUGUUAUGCAUACAAAUUGAUAAUUGGUUGAUGAAAUGACAACAUCGAAUUGAGAAAUUGGCUUAUGAAUGAAAUUGAGAAAUCGUUACCCUAUUAACUAUUCGGGUGGAGUCGAAUAUAGUUGGCAUGCAAUUAGAUAGGAAGAGUUCGGGGUUACUUUGACUAUGUGUCGAUAAGACACUAGGUGCCAAAACAUUGCUGAGCGUUGGGCACAAACUAUUUACUUCGGCAUUGUCAGAUAAGGCACGAGGUGCCAAACUGGUAUGAUUGGUUGGAUUCGUGUAUUCGUUAGAGUCCGAGUCAGAUUAAUAGGGGUACAAAAUAAAAUUUUGAUAAAUGAUAUUUGAAUUGGGUUGAAUUAUGAUUAGAUGAUUUGUAUACAUAUUGUGAUUAACGAAUAUCAAUGGCAUGUGAAAAAUUAUACGAGCCCGGAGGGCUAAUAUAGAAUUAUGACAAAUCAAUGAAUUUGAUUCAAUAUUUGUAUACGGAAAUGAAAUAGUAAUUGACAUUAAAUUGAAAUUGAAUGUAUAAUUGAUAAUUCGAGCUUAUAUUUUUGUCCAAACCCUUCCACUUUUCCUUUUGAGUGAUUUCCUCAUUAAAAUGCUCACUUCUUUACCUUUUCCCUUAUUUCUUUGGGAUCUUCUUUUAUUAUGUUGGACUUUAUGUCCCCCAUUCAAGAAUGUCCAUAUAUAUAUAUAUAUAUACUUCUUAUGUGAAAUUUAUAUAGACUCAUUCGAUUUGGAAGUUGAAAUUCAAUUUUUAAUUGGUGAAAGAAAUUAAAAUUGUAGUAGACAUGGUGGUCCAAAAGUAUUUUACAUAUUAAUCUUGGAAGCCAUUUUUAUAAAUAUAAUAAGAUACACUAAUUUAUGCCUAAUACUGGAGGUUAACAAAAUUAUAAAUCUUGUUUUUUUAGUGGCUUUUCAUUGUUUCUUUAAAUUUUAAUGGAAUGCAUGGCAAAAAGGUUGUGUAGGCUGAGUAACAUUUCAUAUUACAACUACAAAAAUACAACCUAAAAGAAAUUUAUUUUUCCACUUUAUAUAGUAUUUUGAUUUAGAUAUUAUAAUUAUUGUCCACCGUACAUUCCAAAAUUGAUAUCAUUAUUCACUUUUAGGUUGUUUUUUUAUUUCAUUUUACUUAUGUAGAUAAUAGAUUUAAAUAUUCCAACCAUACUGGCUUUGACCAUCUAAAUCGGAAUUCAUUAUUUACUUAUUUUGUAAAUUAAACUAAAGUUAUCAUUUUUAAACAUUUAAUAACUUCAUAUAUCUACCGGAUUUAAAUUUUAAUUGUAAACUUAAAUUUAAGCAUAAUGAUAAAUUUAUUUCUUAAUUUUUAUAUUUUUUUUAUCAAUUUGGUCUUUAUUCUUUUUUAGUUAAAUUUGAAACUCAACCUUUUAAAAACGAGUCGAGUUUGACCAUUAACCUUUCAAAAAGGAUAAUUAUUUUUUAACAAAAAUACUGACUAAAACGUUUAGUUUUGAAACAUGAAAACUCUAUGGCAAUCCACAUGUAUUUCAUGUUAUUUUUUUAUUUUUAUGAACUUUUAUAAUUUUUUUUAAUUUUGAUAAUUUUUCAUAAUUAUUAAAUUAUUUGUUGAUAUGACAUAUAAAAUAAAAUAGUGUCAUGGUAGAAUGAAGUAUACAUUGGAUUGCCGCACAAAUUGCCAAGCUAACAUCAUAACAAAAAUUAAUGUUUUAGUCAAGAUUUCCAUUAAAAAAGUGAUUUGACUCUUUUUUAAAAGGUUAAUGAUAAAUUUAACUUAAAAAAAGGACCAAUUUGAAAAAAGAUGUAAAUACUAAUAACUAAAUUUAUUAUUAUGCUUCAAAUUUAAGACAUGAUUAGGGCAUUGCACAAGUUGAAAACUAAAAGCACUAUAAAUAUUACCAAAAUUUGUUUAAAGCAAUGGUAGAAUUAGUAUUUGGCAUCUAAAUGGUAGAAAAUUUAAUAUAUAUAUAUAUAAAUAAUAUAUAAAAAUAAAAUAUACAUAAAUUUGAAAUUUUUUAUAUAAAACUACAAAUAAUAAAAAAAUAUGUUUUAAAGGAAAAAAUUAUUUUUAAUAAAAAAUGAGAGAAAUUCAAAACAUAUACAUAAAUAUUAAAAAAAAAAAAGAAUUUCUCUCCUCCCAUUCACUCUUCUGUUAAUACGAAGAAAAAAAUAAGGAAAAAGAACUCUUGUGUAGCUUCAUUCCUUGAUGAAGAUCCUUACCCUUUGUUUAUUUAUUUAUUAUAAAUGAAAUUAAAAGAAGUGCAUUUAGCGUAGUAAUUCUAGUUCUCUUCCUACUCCAUAAUAGUUGAAAGCAAAAGAAAAUAAAAUAAUUGUCAAAAAUCAAACUUAUACUACCCAACAAGAUAAGGUCUAAACCAGUCAUGAUGUUCUUAUAAACUUCAAAUCUAGCUACAUCAACCCAAAAAUUUCUAAUAUUAGAAUUCAGCACAAAGGAAGAAAUCUAAGAAUUCAGUCCAGAAAUUUCUAAACCUCAUUAGCUUCCCUAACUUUGAUGGAGCAAUCUUGUCGUGGCCAAUGGUGUUGAUGAGAAAUGCAUUUUACAGUUUACUUAACAAGAAAGAAAGGAAAUGAAAAAUGUUAAGACGUAGGGAGAGAGUUAAAAGGAUAUAAGUUUAGCAUUUGUGGGAUGGUUGGAAAAAGUUUGAAGGCAAGCACAAAUGAGGAAGAGUUUUUGGAUCAAUAUGACUUCGAUAUUUUGUAAUUAAUUAUUUGAAAUAAAUUUUCUAUUUUUUAAUUUGUCUACUGAAUUAUUUUCAAAUCUGCUUAAAUUGUUUGUUGGAGUAUAGUGAUGGGUGAUAAUCACUGGAUUCAACUUUUGAUUUUGAAAUUUGAUUCUGCCUUUAUCGUUAAAUCAUAAAUUGACUGGACUCUCAGAUUGAUGAAAAUUCAUAUCUUUAUUUAACCAAAAAUAGCAUCAUUAAAAUACAUGUACAGAUUUAUUUUAUAUCCCUCAACCAAAACUUUGCUUCUCUCACCUUUUAUUUCAACAAUCAAUUAGUCACUGAAUUAUGGGUAAAUUUACGUAUUGGUCUCUUUACUAAAAUAAGUUACAAUUUGAUCACUGAAUUAUUUAAAUGUUUUUUAUUUUUUAAUCUUUGGGUUGUUAAAAUCGAUGCUAUAUGGUUUUUUCUAUUCGCACUCCCUGCACCAAUCGGAAAGAUUUCUUUCUCAUUCUCUUCUACACUUCAUUUUUUUCAUGAAAUAACUUUGGACAUCACAAAAUUGCAAAUAAAAAAUCAAACAGUUUUUUUUUUCUGAUCUCCGACACUGGCCAUCAAAUUGACUUGGAUCUAAGGUAUGUUAUUCUACUCGUUGAAGGGUACUAAUCCAAUGUACCAAUCAUCAACUUGUCGUUUGAAGCUUGCUCGCGGAACUUUAAAAAAAAAAAAAACUUUACAGCCUAAUGACUUAAAUAAAAAUUUCUGAAUAGUUCAGUGACCAAAUUGUAACUUUUUUAGUUAAUUGACUAAAACGAUAACUUACCCAUAAUUUAGUGACUAAUGGUGUAGUUUACCCUAUAAAUAACUAGUUUUAUUGGAUUUUGAAUUUCAUUGAGCUCAUUUAAGUUGGGAAUUGAAAGCAAAUUUCACAAACAAAAAAGUAGAUAAAGUACCUGGGUUAUAUAAUACUGGUUUGAUCCCUCUGCAUUUAUAGAAGGGAACUUUCACAGACAGACAUCGAAUGAAUAUGCAGUGAACAUAAAUACUCAAUAUUGCCAUUUCUUUUAUAUAUAAACGUUAGAGAAAUUAAUGUUACAACAUUGGUUGGUGCAGAAUGAUCAAUGAGGUAUAUUAUUCACCAAACAAACUAAGCUAAAGCAGAGAAGAGGAGGGGAAGGGGUAUACCACAAAGGCAAACGUUCCAAGUUUAAUGUAGCACUUAUAAAAGCUUCUACUGCUUUCAUGUUAUAAGGUUUCUCUCACUUUGGGUGAAGCACUCAUAAUUACGAUCCUGAAAACAAUCCGUUGUCAAUGUCAUAGUUAGCAAAGCUUGCCUUAGUAGUUUGUUUUAUCAUUUUAAUAAGUUACCAGCAAUCACCUUGUAAGAAUUUAUAUAAUCGCAUCCUAGUAGAACUGGUUAUGGGCCAGGCCAUUCUUCUAGGCCCAAAGUUUCGUUCAAAAAUUGAAAGGGUUUGGGUAAAAAUAUAAGUUCAAGAAAUGGGCUUCAAUAAAAAAUUAAAAAAAACGAGCCAGGCUUUGGAUAGGAUUGUUUUGGCUCAGACCCGACCCUAAUCACCCUAAAUUUUCUUUUUUGGUGUUGUUUUAAUGUCAUUUCACUAUUACAUUGCUACUAUUUUGAUGUUAUUAUUCGGAUAUUGUAUAAUUCUUGUUUUAUUGUUAAUUUAGCUACUAUUUUAGAGGUAUUUGCUUGCUAAGUUGUAACAAUCUUAGUGUUAUUUAAGUUUAAAGAUUUUUUUAAAUGCAUUUUCAAUUUGUUGGGGAACAUUUAUUUUAAUGUUUUAGUGUAUUUGAUUUAUUAUAUUUUUUAAAAUUUGUUUUUAUAUAAAAGAUAAUCUAAAAAAUUUUAUACGAGCGGGCCAGAUUGGGCACGAGUUUAGCAUUUUUAACCUAGGUCGAGAUUGGACAGAAUUUUAAACUCAUUUUUUGAGUUGGAUCGGACCUGAACCUAAAAAACGAACCUAAAAUUUUGCAUCAACCUAACCCAUGAUUAGUGCUACAUCCUAACUCUACAAACUAAUUAAGAAUAUAGAGACAUUAAUUACUUGUAGUUCAAAGUUUUAACUUGUUUAGAAAGUAGGUUUUCUCUUCUGCCUAAAUUUGUUAUUAGAUAUUUAUUAUUUUGAUAUGUAUGACUUUUGUUUUCUUAUUGUUUUAUCAUUUUCUAAUAAUUUUGUAUACUUAGAAUUCGUCAGAUGAUAAAAGUAUCAUAGAAGUUUUUUACACAAAACGUAAGUUGAAUACACUAAAACAAAGUUGCCAUAAAUUCACGUUCAACAUUCACUCUAUAAGUAUAAAAAAACCCAUAGAUGUAAGGCUCCAAGAUUUAUACAGGUGGUCAAGUAGGAUAACCCAACGAAAUUUAUACCGUUGUUAUAGGGUGUGUUCAUCUGGUAUAUGCCUUUCAGACUAUACCGACGAUGAUUCCAUCUGUAAAAAUUGUUUUGUUGGUUAUCCCGCUAAGCCUUUACUGACGGACGUAACAUAUAGCGACAGACGUAGAAAUGAUUUCCGUUAGUAAAAAUAUUUUUGUUAUUUCCAUAUUUUUAUUGGUAUUUAGGCAUUAAAUUAAUAUUAAAUUUUUUUUAUAAUUAAAUAUAAUUUAUCAUUAUAUAAAUUAUUUAAAAACAUUUUAAAUAAAAUUAUAAUUAACAUUUUUGACAAUUAAAUAUAAAAUUUUAUAUCUAUUUUUUUCCAUGGGUUCACACAUUUUUAAAAAUGAAAUAUUAGAAUUAAACAUAAUCUAAAAAAUUGAUUAAAAUAUUAAAAAAUAAAAACACAUUUGAUGUUAAAUAACAUAUACUCAUGCAUAGUUAAGCUAAACAUCAAAACGUGAUAAAAGUUUCAGACUACAAAGUUAACAUAAUCCCAAGCACAUAACAAAAAUAGUUAGUCUCUUAUCCUUCCGUUGAUCGUACAUAGAAUGGAAUCAACGCGAGAUGCAAAUUCACACUUCAAUCAAUGUAAAUUUCUAUCAAGACUUUCUUCGGAAAACAACUCAAAGUUUAAAUCUUUAAAAUUUUUACGAGGAUAAAUCAAACAUGUAACACGCAGUGUAACAGAGACAAAGAACUAUUCCUUUCAUGUGAUGUGAAGUAAGAGAAUGAAUAAUAUUUAUAUAUAUUUUGUUUGUUUAUAUAUAGAAAUCAAGUACUAUAAUUUCUUAAAAAGAAAAAGUGAAGGCUACAACAAGGAUGGUAAAGGCAUGACAAGUAGUUUCUCAAUUUGGACUAAAAUCAAGGUCCAUUUGGACUCUCAUUAUCCAGCCAACCACAACGCAUAAGGGAAUAAUUAAUUAAUCUCAAUUCCAUCCGAGACUAAUUUUAUAAUCAAAUUAAGUUGUUUUGGCUUUCUGGAUUCGGUUGUUAUUUUAAACUCAAGAUGUAAAAUUAAUAUCAUCUUUUCGAAUGUUUAAGUCUAAAUCAAGUUUGUAACCCUAGUUUUAAGUCAAUUAAACUCUAUAAAUAGGAUCUUUGAGGAGAGGCAAGAUUAUCCCCGCUCUCAACUUUAUUUGAGUUUGCAUUUUAGUUUCUUUAUGGGUUGCUAAACUCUUCUUUUCUAGUUGAAGUAAUAUUCAAAGUUUGAUUUUACAAGUUUGUGAGAUCGACUUGUUCCUAAUCUCUUUUUUUUUCCUCUUUAGCAUUUGCAUGGCUUCUGAUUUAAUUACAAUUGUUCAAGUUUGUUAAAUAUUCGGCCGGUAUUUAAUAGCUUAAAAUAACUGUUUUGUCAAUUAGAUAAUUAGUCGAUCGAUUGAUUUGUAUUUGUGACGGCUGCAUGAUUAUUUGUGUAGUACGAGCAUGAGAUUUAACUUAAAUAAACCUUGAUUGUACGUUUGUUGGUUAGAAUUUGAUCUCUUUUAUUUUUAAGGCUAUUGAUAAAUUAAAUUCCUAAGCGAUCAUGAGUUGUUUGUUAAUAAGAAAAGUAAUUAAUGACGAUUAUCUUGAUUAUCAAGAAGGAAAGAAGUGAUUAGGUUAUUAGGCGAUCGUCGACAACUAUAACUAACUUAUCAAACAACAUUGAAAUUCAUAUAUGCAUUAACGAUCAAACCUUUGAAUCAAAUGAAAAAUUUACUUUGACUAGAGUUUCAUCUCAUUUAUUUUCCUUAAUUUUAAUUACUGUUUUCUUUGUUUUUCUUUUUUAACUUUUUCUUUUAAAACAAAAUCUUUUUUUUUAAUUUGUUUUAAUUUAAAAAGUAGAAUUAUUAUUGAUGUAUGUGAAUUCAAUUUUGUUCAUCAUUAAAAAUAAACUUCACCCAAGUGUAAGUUAAUGUAAAAGUGAUUUAAUUUAAAAUUUACAAGAUAAGAUAAAAUGAUGACUGGAUAUGCCAAAAACAGUUAGCUAUAUAUACCGAUGAGAUACAUUCAAAUGUUUCAAAAUUAGUAUUGAAGCCUUAAUAUGCCUAAUAAUAAUGAGUUGUUUAAAAGUCAUGUCAGCCAUUAAUAUUGAAGCCUUAAAUUAUUAUGUAUAAUAAAAUUAUUUUUAUAGUAGUUGAUAAUUAUAAAUUUAAAUAUUGGAGUAGGGUCCCAACUCCCAAGUCGCAAUCCAAGUUUGGAAGAAAGAAAUUUCUUAUUAACAGUAUACAUAGCUACCACGUAUAUUUAUAAGCAAAAGGAAUGGCCCCCAUUCCUUAAUUUGCCACUUGUAAAGAUGGAAGACGACAAGAUUGACGAACCGAUUUGGAACAUUUUAUCUACCAUCAAGAUUUUAAUCCAAAAUUUUAUAACAUGGGCUGAAAUACUAAGAAAAUGAACAACUUACAGUUUAUAAAUAAAAUAGACACCCCAUCUUCACAUUAUUAUAUAACAAUGCGGCAAAGAGAGGCGCCCCCGCCGCUUUAAAUUGUUUUUUUUUCUUUUUUGCUUUUUAAUUUCAAGUCUUUUUUUAUAUAACACAUAUGUUUAUGGUCUAACCAAAAGUGAUGUCAUAUGGAGGGUUUAACUAAUCAUAAGAUUUAGAAACCAAAUUAAAUUAUUUGGAUAUGGUAAUGUUUUUUCAUUCAUUCAAUAUUGCAUGACAUUGAUUUUCCGAGUUAAACAAAUUCGAUAAAUGAUCAUAUUUCUUAUCAACAUUAUAAUGAAAAGCUUAAUAUGUUUCAAGUUGAAGUAGUAAUAAAGAGGGUAUGGCCCUCUUCCUUGUCCGGGCAUUUCAACUGCUUUGUCCAAUCAUGGAUCAAUCGUCCCAUAAUUUGUCCUCCUAUCCUAUGUAUGUCGGCAAACAGUGAGAUCACAUUUCACAAAAACAUCAACCUUAUGUGGGUCUCAUCACCAUCUUUACUUUACUAGUACAACAAGGUUAAAAAACAGUUUCAUGGCAGUCAAAACUAAAGCAAUUAGCUAGUCUCCCAUACUCUUCCCUUUUUUAAAAAAAAAAGAAAAUUGAAAUAUAUGAACACAAGGCAAUAAUUUUAUCUAUUUAGGAUUCAGAAAUUUAAAAAAAAAAAAAAACAAAGGGUUCAAUUCAACCAUCAAUGAAAAAGGAUGGAAAAAGACAUAUUUCAAAAAAGGUUUACAGAAUGAAGCAGAUAAAAUGAACUGCAACUCUGUCAUGCCAAGGCAUCAAUUGAAAUAGAUAGUGUUACAAUGAUAUCUAUCUUAUGUUACCUUUUUGUUGGCCCCAGAUGGUGGGACUGCGAAAACCCCAGAAACUAAAAGAUAAAAUAAAAUCUGCAAAUUAUAUAGCUUCAGAAACAUAUAUAUAUAUAUUAAGAUGGAAAAUAAUGGGGAUGAAGAAGGUAGGUAGGUAGCUAGCACAAGUGAAACUCAAGCAACAGAAACAAAUAAUCCAGCCAAUGUAGUGGUCAAACUUUACUGUUAAAUUAGCUUUAAAGGAUGCUGUUGGCACUCACCAUCUAAUAAAUCCAUCUUGUAAAACAACAAGAAGGAAAAAUGAAAAAGUUACAAGACAUUUAUAUGCCCCCCUCCAAAGCCCACUUUGUUUAGUGCAACUGCAAUUAUAAUUAUUCUAUAGUGGAAAAAAGGGUUUUAUACGUGGGGACUACUAUUCCUUACACUCUCAAAAGUCACUUUGAUUUAAUUAAUUUCUUUUUCUUUUUAUUUGUUUAUUUAUUUCUCUAGUUGAUGGGGAUAUUUCAUUGCGGUUCCAAGCUCCCUAGAUGUUUAUGGAUUCUAGCAUAUCAUACUAAAGAUCAUGUGAACUCUUCUCCUUUUGGUUUUGAUUGUGGAACAUGGCAUAUAUAGCUUUGAUCAUGUGCUUUCAUCACAAUGAAUUGUCACUUUUUAUCACUAUAGGCUCUUUGAUUUUUCAUUCUUUUAUAGAAAUUAAUGAUUGAGUUGGCUUUUAUUUCUUUUAUACAUAUUACAAAACUGACUGAAAAUUUUCCCAUUUUGAUUUCAUGCCGAAUAUCGUUUUAUGUUGAUUUACUCGAAAGAUUUGUAUCACCCCACCGCCAGAAAAUUAUGCAACUAUCUUCAAAUCUUUUAUUAAAGAGAUCCUCUUCCUUUUUAUUGCUUUCAAAUAUGAUAUAAUUAACUAAUAAUUUAAAGUCUAUUGUAAAUCAUUAAAUGUUAUAUCCGGAUUGCAAGUUUUAUUUAAAAUUAGUGAAUUUUUAGUAAAAAGAAAUUGAUUGAUGAAAUUUCCAAGUUAUCCAUGGUUGAAAGUGACGGUCCUCACAUCAUCAUCAUCGUUAUCAUCAGAACGAUGAGAGAUCACCUUUGCAUUUACCCCUUUUAAAGAUUCUAAUAAUCUUAUACGGCUUCAACUGGAGUCCAUACCAAAUUUAUGCCUACUGCUUAUCGUACCCUUUCAUUCCUCCGGCUAAUAAUUACUUCCCCCACACAAUAAAAAUAAAUACCACAAAUAAUCCUUUUCUCAGCAUUUACAAAAAAAAAAACUUACAUCUUCCAAGAGAUUUGGCACUCAAAAACCCGGCAACUGUGGCAAAUCAUCCGGACCCAAGAUCCCACAAUAACUUCAUGUGUUGUAUGAAUUAUCAUCACCACAGUUCCCAGAUUUCAGCUUCAUUUCUUUUUUCUCUUGCAUUGCAUUCUUAUUUUUUAUUCUAUGCCUAUAUAUACAAAACUCAAAAUAAAAACUAAUAAAAGGGCAGAAAAGAAAUGUAGAAAAGGAAGUGGAAAACUUAUAAAAAAGAAAAAAGCAAAUAAGCAGCUUGUUGCUUCAACCCUAAUGGAUGAUAGGGCGGAUUUUUUUUCCUAAAAAUGAAUCAGAUAGAAAUCUGAAGAAAAUUGUAAACCCCAUAGGCAUACUUCUAAUAGAAAAUAGUAAUAGUAGUAGUAGUAGUAGUAGUAAUAUAACAGAGUGACGUGAAUGAUGGUCAUCCAUCGUUUGGAGAUUCGGAGAUGCUCUCUAAGUGUGGUCUCCACACCCCAACUCGGCCUCUUCUUCGAUCCCUUUGCGUUGAUAGUUUCUCUGAAAGUAUCUCACUUAAAUACUGAUCCGAUAUCAAAAGAUUCGACAUUGAAAUUGUGUUGUUGUUCUUGUUGGCGUUGCUCAUGCUUCGGCUGUGAUUAUGCUGGCGGUUGCGGCCGUUGCUGCUGGCGCCGCCGCCGUUGUUGUUGUUGGUGGUGUCAAGCCUGUCUCUUUUUUUCUUCUUGGUUGUUGAGGAAGUUUUGGAACGGGUUUUAUCGGGUGUUGAAAGGAGUGGUAUUAGGAAAUAAAUCUUGCCACGUUGAAGUUCGGCGUCGGGUGGGACGAUGACGAUUUUUGGGACCAUCCCAUCAUCGGAAGAAGAGGAAGGCUUCUUUAGAACGUGUUUAGGGUAAGCCUUCAUGAUGUCGCUGGCUUUGAUGGAGCCACUGAUUUCUUCAACGCGGCCAUUGGAGUGUACUAUUCGAAUCACAUCGAGUGCUCCACAGGGCAGAAUGCAAGAGAUGCAGCACCGGAUUGUGUUCUUCAUGCCUCUUCUUUCUCUCUAUAUUGGCCUCUCAUAGAGAGAAAAAAAGAAGAACAAGGAGGGAGGAAAUGAAGUAAUGAAAGAGAGAAUAUAAGAAGAGAAAAAAAAAAAAAAAGAGGAGGAGAAAUCUAUUUUUUCUUUAGCCUUAGCUAACAAAGAGAGUUGGGAAUCAGUCACCCAAAAGAAAGAAAGGAAAGAAAAUUAAUGAUGUUUUUUAUUAUAUACACAAUUAGCUAUUCCAACCCCCUCUCCCCUGGGCCUUUUUCUCUGCUUUUUUGAGGGAAUUUUUUUCCUUUCACUUGCUUAGAAUGAAAUCUAUGGCAUGAAUAAUUGCACCUUACUCUGUACUUUGCCUUUUGGAUCCAUCAUUUAGGGCCCCCGUCUCCCUUCCCUUCACUAAGAUCAAUAAUUUUGGGGGGGUUAGUAUUGCUAGGUUGGAGAGCUUAUGGGUGACACAUGUUAGUGCAUGAUUGGAACUGCCAAGUAAGCCAGAACAAGACCCUCCUGCCAGGGGAUGACCAAUGACACAUGCUUCAAUCACCUUGUGACAAGUGUCAUUUUCAAGACCCAAAAUGCCACUAAUAUUAGAUGGGGCCACUAGGGUAGAGAGAGAGAGAGAAGCCUUGUUUAGAGUUUAAAAAAAUUGGGCAUUGUGAGAAGGGAGAUUGGGGAGUUGGGGUUUAGGGAAAUCUUCUUUUAAGAGGGAUUGUGAAUUGUGAUCUUCCAAUAUUCCCAAGCAAGAUCAUGUGGGUUGUGGUUUUCAUUGGAAAGUGAGGUUUUAGAUGGUAGAGUUUAAGAAUUCUUCUAUUUUAUCAUUUCCACCCCUUUUUUGUGGUUUCAGAUUUAUUUCUUCCUUUCCUCAAGUGCUUUGCCACAUAUAGCUUCAUUCCCAGUUCCUAAAUUCUCUUGACUUCACUUGAGAGUGAUUGUUUUGAGUUCCCACUUUUCACAUAUACACUUAGUUCAAGCAUUCUUUUGUAAGUAAGCAUGGAGUUUCAAAAAAACUAAGAUCAUGACACCAACAAGAAGCAAAAAAGAUUCAAGCUAAUCCCUUAAAAAAGGGUAUUAAAUGGUUGGAUUUGAUGUUUUACAAUUUCGUUUUCACUUGGGGGACCAUAAUCAAAAUUAGUAUGACCACAUUGAGAAUUAAACAAAGGUUAACAGUUAAUAAAACACUGUUUAAUCUUAGUAAUGUCCCAUCCAGGCAUGGCCCUACCAAUUAAAUGGUUCAGAUGUAGAUGUUAGUGGGUAACAUGUGAUAGUAUGGAGAAAGGAGGGUCCAUUGAAUUGUGAAGGGUUUUUCUAAUUUUCUUUCAAAUAAUAACCCUUCUUGAUUGCUAAAUUAGCUCACCAAAUCCAUUCACCCUUUUUUUUAAUCAGCUUAAUUAUGAUUAAACGAAUUGCUAAGUAUAUAAUAAAAGAAAAAAUAUGGGUCCCUUAACCACACAUCAAUCACAUUGGCAAAAAGGAUGUACUUUUUAAGAUGUGCUGUUGUGGACCAAAUCCCCUUUUAUCUCCACAUUAAACAAAUCAAAUCUUAUUUGAAGAUUGAUUUAGUCACAAUCUUCUUUGUCUUCUUUUUUUUUUUUUAAAUGUCUUAUAAUUAUUCUCUUCAUUCUUUAAGACUAUAUAAUUUCAACUAACCACUAAAAGAACAAAUUUUUAAUCCGACUGUUUUAAAAGAGAUGGUGAUAACAAAGUUUAGCAAGUUUGUACUCUCUCUAUAUUUAUAUAUAAGUAAUUAUCUGAUUCACCAUACAUGAGCUUUUUACAUCCUAUAUAUAUAUAUAUCUAGGAAAAAUAAAAAUUUGAGAUAUUGCAGAAUUUAAAAUUUCAUGAUAAAUGUGUAAAAUUACAAGUCAUAUAUAUAUAUUAUUUUCAAAAUAAAUAGUAUUUAUUAAAGUAAUUAUAUUUUGAAUUAAAAAUCAAUUAAAAUUUUAUAAAUUAUUUGUAAGUGGACAGUCAUUUGUUAUUAGAGAUAAAAAUAAAAAAUUAUUUUGGUGGGCAAUUUUUAAGAGUAAAUGACAUACUUACCCUUAUUUGAUAAAUGUGUUAUAAUUAAAUUUUGAUUUAUUUUAGUAAUUUCAUUAUUGAGUUGGUGUGAUUGAGUCAAGUGACACUAAACCAAGCAGUCAUUUUAUAAUGUUACUAGAAUUUGUUACAUCUACACUUUUAUAAUUUUUUUGUUUAAUUUUUAAUCUAUUGUUAUUGUUGCUGCAUAUGGAUGUCAUGUAACAUUUUUUUAUUGGAUUGAAAUGUGACGUGGCAUAUUUUAAUAGGGUUACAUUUAAGUCACCUAAAGUGUUUAGGUGAGCAACUCACUAAUUUUAGUAACGUUGUUUUAAAAUGGUAUAUUAUUAGUUUCAACUGUAUUGAAUAUAAAAGGGAGUGUUGUUUAUUCUUUUCGAGAAACGGCAUAAACAAUGGGGUCAAAUGUAAACCAAACUUUAUCGAUGAGGUUGUUUAGCAAAGCUCCAAUUAUGGCCGACUUCACUUCAACACCAUUUCUAAACUUCCGGGUCUUUGUUUUUUAAUUUCACGCCAUGUCCCUCAAGAUAACGAUACCAAAACCUCUGAAUUUUUGUAAACAAAGUAAAGGAGUUGGAUUUCUUCUAUAUUAACUCUUAAUUAUUUUAUGAUUAAAAACAUUUCCAAACCUCUAUCAAUAAUCCGGUUUUCAAGGUUACAACUUUACAAUUAUCGAAGACUUGAAAGUAACAAGUGUGUUUUGAGAGUUUGUGAUUUACCACUCCUUUAUAUAUGCACUUACAUAAUUAUAUAUUUAUUAAUAAAUAUUGAAUAGAAAUUGAUGACUAAACAAACUUCUAUCUCAAAUAUUUCGUAUUCAACUCAUCCAUAAAAUUCUCCUUGCACAAUCUUCACUAAAAUGAUUAUAACUUGAGCUUCUGAAAUCAUAUAUGAAGCUAAUAAAGAAAUACCUUCAAUCCAUAAGAAGAGAAAUCAACCAAAAAUGCUUCGACCCUAUCCAUAAAUGGGUCACAAGUUGUAUGAUCUAAACUCUCUUGGGUUCCUAUCAUUCCUCCCCGCCCCCCUCCAAAUAAAAAAAAGGAUUCGUCCUCGAAUCUGAGCAUUAUGUAGGGAAUGGUAUGAUUUUUCCCCUCCAAUUGGAUCUACAAAAACUUGAAAUAUAGAAACACCACUAAAUAUAUUCGAGUUUCAUGUAACAGCCUGAUUUUUAGUGGUGUCGAAAACAGUAGUUUGAGACCACCAAAUCCGACAAGUAAGCUCGUAAAUUUUAUUAUUUAGUAGUUACGAGUCAAAUGAGAUUUUAGAAAGAUUUUUGCAUUAGUAAUUUGUGUUUUAUAAGGAUUUAUUAGGUCAAGUGGUUUAGAAAAUGAGGUAUCGAGACCUCGUUUCUAUAAAUCAAGUCGUAAAUAUUUUUAUAAAUAUUUACGGAGUGUCAUUAAGGUAGUAUUAAAUUUUUAUUUGAAAAUUUUAACGUUUUGAUAGUUAAUCAAUUAAAAAGGACUAAAUUGAAAAAGAUGUAAAACUUGCUAAUUAAGAGAAAUAGUGAUUCAAUAGCCUAGAUGGUAAAUAAGGGAGAACUUAAAGAGUAAUUAAGCCUAAAUGAAUUGGCUGAGGCGGCAUAAGCUAAAAAAAAUGCUAAAAUGAUGUGAUUAAAGGGCAAAAUUGUAAAUAAAUGAAAUUAAAAUAUCAAAUUGAAAAACCUAAAAGUUUCUAGACAUUUUAUUCAUAAAUUUUUUGUCCAAAAACACCAUUGAAGAGCUCUCAAAGCUUUUUUUUCAUAUUUUAGCUUCAUGUGAAUUUAAUUCUUUCCUUUCUCUUGUAAUUUUUGUGUUUUUAAGACUUUUACAAUUAGGUCCAACUAACUAUUUCAUUACUUUUUGAUUUUAUUGGAAAUUUUGAAAGUUACCAUUGAUUAAUACUAGAUAUUUUUUAUGAAAUAACAUGGAUUUAGAGCUUUAAUUUUGUUGUAUGAUGAUUUUAUAUGGUAAUUUUGAUAGAUAUUAAUUUUAGGACCAAAUUAAGAAAAGGUUAAAUAUUAGGGUUUGGUAUUAAAUUUCUAUUUACCAAGGGCUGUAUGAUAGCCUAGAAUACUUAGAUAAAUUAUCAAUUGAGAAAAAUUAGUUCAUUUGAUAGACUAAUUAGUUAAGGGACUAAAUUGUAAAAGUUGUAAAAGUUGGGGUAAUUGUGUAAUUUUGAAAAAUUGAGGGGUAUUAAUUGUGAAAUGAAUCGGAACUGAAAUACAUGCUAAUGAAUGAGUAAUUUUAUAUUUUAGAUCAAGAGCUCGUAGAUACUCGUGAAAAAAAAUUAGCAGAAUAGUCUCUGAACUCCUACAAAUAUUACAAUUUAACCCAGGUAAGUUCGUAUGGUUAAACUUAAAUAUUUAUAAAGAUAUUUAUUUGUUGAAAAUGAAUUAUUGUUAAAGUUACAAAAUGGAAUUAAACGUUCGGAUUUAAAUGGCACGCGAGAUAUGGUACAUUCAGCAAUCGAUGAAUUGACGGCAUUAGAGGAAAGUGAUAGCAAAUUACCCAAGUAAACCGAGGUUUAGCAUUUGUUGCUAACUUUCAUGUUUACUCUCCAUUUAGCUCUCACAAGCUCCUGUUUAACUCAUAUGAGUUUCCGUUCAACUCUAUUGAGCUUAUGUUUAACUCUUAUGGGUUUCCGUUCAGCUUUUACGAGCUUCCAUUCAACCCUUAUGGGUUUCUGUUUAGCUCUCAUGAGCUUCUGUUUAGCCUUCGGGCUUCUAAUAAUGAUGUACUCUUAUCUGUAAGCCGUUCUCCGAAUUGGUAAGGUUAGGUAAGUGACUUAUGUAAUUGAAAUUGAAAGACUUAUUGUUAUUAUUAGUAUUAAUUUGAAAUAAGUAUGUUCAUCGAUUAAAGUGAUUAACAGGGAGAUUGCAUGAAUAAUUUACUUAUUAAUUUGUUAUAAUAGGUUUGGUAAGAUUUAUGUUUAACCUAACGAACUUACUAAGCUUCAUUAAGCUUACUUGUGUUGUUUAAUGUCCUUAUAGAUUAUCACGGCAAAAAAAAAACCUACCGGGGCAAUGUCUUUUUCUUGGGCUUAUCGCAGUUUUUCUCAUUGAAGUCGAGAUUCCUUCUCUCUGAGUUUUUUGGAUCCAAUCCCGAUUGAAGAGAGUUUUAAAUUUAUCUGUCAUGGUCAAAUGUGUCAAAAACAAAUGAUGCAAGCUCACCAAAGAAGGUUCGCCCUAGAGAAUUUCAUGAGGGGGACUUGGUAUUGAAGAAGAUCUUCCCCAUACAAAAGGACUUCAAAAGGAAGCGGACGCCAAAUCGGGAAGGGCUUUAUGUGAAAGACCCUAUCUGGAAAAGUGUUAAUUUUGACCGUAAUAUAUUUCAAAAAAUAUAUUUCAAAAAAGAAAAAGGAAAAGAAAAAAAAAGAACCCCAAUUAGUAUUCUUUUUAUGUUAUCCAGAAGACUCUUUUUAUAUAAUUUACAUAAUCUCCAUUACCAAUCCUUUAUGUAUUUUGGUGUUCCUAACCAUCCACUCUUUUUUGUUCAAUCCCCCGUUUGUUUAGCAAUACAUGUAUGGGAAUCCAUACAAAGGAUAGCGAAAACUCUAUACGGUUGAUCUUUUGAGCCCGCUUCAAGCUAGAUUGACUAAUCAACCUGUCUUGGGGUAAAGAUUUCUUCCGAAGGCGAAAACCCGCAAAGGGCGCCUUGAGACCAAGAAGGAUUUGAGUUAAAAACCCGAAAAGGACGGCUCAAAUUUUGGAUCAAAAUGGGGCAUGAGGUGAUGGAGCAGCUUAAAUUUUGAUCAAAUUAGGGCAUGAGGUGAUCUUGUUAUACCUGAAUCAACAAGAAAGGGUAGGCGACAUCUUGGGGGAUAGACAAAGUCUUGUAGAUCUCCUAAACACAUGUCAAACUCAAAAUGGUCUUUCAAAGAGUUUGUACAGAGAAGUUCAAGCUGUGAUAUCUGGGGCACCUAAUCUUUAUACUAUUUAUAUUGAAUUUGUUGUCUUUGAAAACUUCAUUCUUUUUCAAGAUACGUGUUCCCAAUCAAUUCCUCUUUUAUCUUUAUUAUCCUUGAUAAUUUAUUCAUUUUGAGCUAUGCUCCCAAAUCAAUUUUAUUUUUAUCCAUUGUUAUGAUCUUUUACAAGCAUGUUGCAUUGGAAUAAUGAUUAAUGGACUAAUAAUACUUUCACAAGGGAAGUUUUGCAUAUUACUCUAGAAGUUUCUAAAUAAUAUAGGAACCUGAAACAUGACUAUCAUUUAGAACACAUCAAGUUUAAAGGUUGAAAUAUCUAAAAAGGAAAAGUCUAAGUUAAGACUAUCCUUUCGGAUUUCGUUGUCCAAACUUUGAUUGAACAAAAAUUACAGGAUGUCGUGUUGGUGACAAAGCUUCAAUGAACAAGAAAGCAAUGAUCACCAAGUGAUAAGAAGAGGUUUCUCAGAAGAGAAAGUUAUACAAUUGUGUAUAAACAUUUGGUAUGACACCUUGGGAAUGAUGUAAGGCCAAAGAGAUUCAGAUCCUGUAUCCUUGAUUUGUGAUAGCAGAGGAUUGAGAAAAGGCCAAAUCUUUCUACCCUUGGGUUACAACAGGAGAAAGAUGGUACAAGUUUUGCAUCUAGUGGAUUGAACUCGAAAGUUUACAGUGGGGGCAAUCUGACUAAGUGUUUCUUCAGAAAAGCCAGCCGAGCAAGAAGGCGUUGUAGCAUGUCAGUGAUAAAGCCUUAAUAAAUUUCGAGUAAUGACAACUUAAGGAUCAUUCUAAAAAAAAAGACAUUCUGCGUUCAUGCAAACAUCAUUCAUACAUACCUAGUUAGGAACAUUUGACUCAUUCUGAUCAUGAUAUCCUAAUCACUAGGCAUAAUUAGGUUCAUUAAAUGGAUUCUAUAGGUCAUGUUCCCUAGAGAGCAGAUUAGUGAAACCAUAAAUCCUAUACCCUUGAGGUUGCAGUGGGAUGGAUUGAAGUAGAUCAUAGCAAAUCUUAUCUCCCUAAAGUUAAAGUAGAGCAGUUUAAAGCCAAUAAUUCUAUCUCCCUAAAGUGGCAGUGGAGUGGAUUGAAGACACGAAUCUUAUGUCCCUGGCGUAGCAGCGGAGUAGAUUAAAGCUGAGGGCAGCGAAUCUUAUCUCUCUAGCGUUAAGGCUUGGAAUAGCUGAAGUGGAGCGGAUUAAAGCUGUGGGCAGCGAAUCCUAUCUCUUUGGCAUUACAAUUAAAUAGAUUAAAGCUACAACAGCGAAUCUUACUUCCGUGGCGGUGCAGUGGAACAGAUUGAAGCUACAACGGCGAAUAUUGCUUCCCUGACAUUGCAGUUAAACAGUUUGAAGCUAUAACAGUGAAUCUUACUUCCCUGGCAGUGCAGUGGAACAGAUUGAAGCUACAACGGCGAAUCUUGCUUCCCCGACAUUGCAGUUAAAUAGAUUGAAGCUACGACAGCGAAUGUUACUUCCUUCGCGGUGAAGUGGAACAGAUUGAAGCUACAACGGCAAAUCUUGCAUCCCCGACAUUGCAGUUAAAUAGAUUGAAGCUAUGACAGCGAAUCUUACUUCCCUGGCAGUGCAGUGGAACAAAUUGAAGCUACAACGGUGAAUCUUACUUCCGCGACAUUGCAGUUAAACAGAUUGAAGCUACGAUAGCAAAUCUUACUUCCCUAGCGGUGCAGUGGAACAGAUUGAAGCUACAACGGCCAAUUUUGUUUCCCCGACAUUGCAGUUAAACAGAUUGAAGCUACGACAGCGAAUCUUACUUCCCUGACAGUACAAUGGAACAGAUUGAAGCUACAAUGGCGAAUCUUGCUUCCCGACAUUGUAGUUAAAUAGAUUGAAAAUAACGAAUCUUAUUUCCCUGAAGUUGCAGUGGAACAGAUUGAAGCUAUAAAUUACAUAUCUUAUCUCUCUAAAAUUGCAGUAGAGCAGAUCAUAUCAAACCUUAUCUCCCUUAAGUUGCAGUGGAGCAGGUUAAACCAAUCUUAUCUCUCUGAAGUUGCUGCGAAGAAGAUUGAAGCUACAGGUCAUAUCUCUCUGAAGUGCAGUAGAGUGCAUUGAAGCAACGAGACAUAGUGGAGUAGAUUAAAACCAUGAAUCUCGUCCCCUUGAAGUUGCUGCGAAGAAGAUUGAAGCUACAACUCAUAUCUUUCUGAAGUACAGUAGAGUGGAUCGAAGAAAUGAGACACAGUGGACUGGAAGGAGGCUAUUUGAAGAAAAUGAGCACUAGAAUAAGUCAAGACUCGGCGAGACCGAGCAAAAUUGGUCUUUCUUAGUCUUUACUCUGUUCUCAUUACACGACAACGAGUAAAGAGGUGCAGCUGUACAGCCCAAAUUUUGCCCAGGGCCCAAAACCCAAAACCCAACCAACCCAAACACAAAUAACAAACCCAACCACCUAGACCUAACCCAAUAGCCCAAUUAAAACCCGAGCCCAAUUACAAUGCUUGGCCCAACAGUCCUAGCCCAAAACAUAUUUUUAGAAAAAACGUAACCCUAACCCUAGGUGCGCCGCACCUAGGGUCGCCCACUUGCCCUGCCACCACUGCCUCUGCUGCCGCGCCACCAACUCUGCCACCUGCUCCAUCAACGUCAAAUACCUGCAAACAAACAGCAAAAGAAACAGACCACAAAACAGUAACAAUAUGAGGGGAUUUUUUUCUUUUCUUUCGGCUAUAAAGCCGAAUAUGUUGUAAAAGUUUGGGGGAUUUUUUUUAUUCUUGUUUUUCAAAAAAAAAAGAUUGAGAAAUAAAAACAACAAAAAAAAUUCAAAGGUUACAUUGAGAAACUCUACUCUAUUUUCGUUUUGUUCUUUUAUUUUUAUUUUUAUUUUUUUUGAAAUAAAUAUAAAAAUAAAAAAAGGAGAGGCCUUUUUACCUUUUUUGCCAUCGUCGGAGUGUGGGAGACCAAUGAUCUACAUCGGAGGAAAAAAAGAAAUUUUUUUGGACUCCCCGCCGCCGUGCACAGCGGUGCCAGCGAUCGGCGGCCGACGCAACGGUCGUUGGCCGGAUUUUGGGCCGAUUUGCGGAGAGGGGGAGAGGAGUUGGGAGUGUUUUUUUGAGAUUUUUUUAAAAAGAAGGGAAAAAAUAAAAUUUUUUGAAAAAUUUUGGUUUAAAUAGGGAAGCAAAACGACGUCAUUUUACUCUGCCCUUUAAAACGCCAAAAUGGCGUCGUUUUGAGCUACUUGAUCCAGCCGAUCCGACCCGCCUGGAGGAUCUGCGUGUUUUCGACGGAAGGGCUAAUUGCACUUUUAGCCCUUCCACUUUUUUAAUGUUUUUCAAUCAAGGGUUUUUUUAUUUUUCAAUUUUACCCUGUGUUUUUUUAUGAAUUCAGUUUGGCCCACACUUGAAUGACGACGUUUUGGAGGGUGGGGAUUAUUGCCCAUUUGGUCCCUCCUUGUCAUUUGCGCUUCCUAUUGGGUCCUCCCUUUUUAUUUAUUUUCAGAUUUGACCCCGAAUUUUGUUUUAAAAUUCAAUUUAGCCCUUUUGUUUUUGUUAUUUUGGUUAUUUUAUUAUUAAAACUAAUAAAUUAUUAUUGUUAUUAUUAUUAUUAAUAUUAUUUUUAUUAUCAUCAUAUUUUUGUUUAUACUUACUAUGUAAAUUUUAAAUAUAUUAUUAUAUUAUUAUUAUAUAAUUGCUUCUAUAUAUAUAGACACACAUAUAUACAUAUUUAAUAUUUACAUACAUAUACACGCUUAUAUUUUUUUAUAUAUUUUAUAAUUUAUAUACAUGUAUGUAUUUAUAUGCGCAUUUUAAAUUUAUAUAUAUACUUAUACAUACUCUUUAUAUUUUAAAAUCUAUAUUUUUCUUAUUUAUUUUCUAUAGUUUAUAAUUCAUGUGUACAUAUAUUUUUAUAUAUUUUCUAAUGCAUACAUGCACAUAAUAUAUAUAUAUCUACAUACGUUUUUUAAUUUUUAUAAAUAUACAUAUAUACCUACCUUUAUUUUUUUUUUCAUAUCUUUAUAUACAUAUAUACAUACAUACUUACAUAUAUUUUUAUGUACAUAGAUUUUUUCAUAUUUUCAUAAUUUUAUGCACACAUACAUAUAUAUAUAUAUAUAUCUUUUUACAUUUUUAUAAUUUUAUUCAUUUUAUUUAUUUAUUUAUUUUCGUUAUUAUUUUAAAAGAAUGCUUUGACUUUAUUUGCUUAUAUAUUUGUUUUGUAUGUUAUGGAUUUGUACUUUUUAUUUAUCUUAUUUUUGUUGUUGUUGCUCGUGUUAUCUUUACACCAUCGUAUUCAUUAUUGUUUUGCUAUGUAUAUCAACAAUGUCAUUCGUUUUUGCAUUCUUUUUAUCACGACAUCGUGUUUCAUUUUACUCAGUAUGUCAAAAUUUAUUCUAAAUAAAUAACAUUUCGUAUGUUUAGAUUCGAGAAGGUUGUACCCUAACUUACUGGGUUUCGAUUUUCACAAUAAAUCUAAAUACACGGAUCUUUUCAAACUCAAGUUUUAAAUGAUCUCGGGAAUUAAGAAAAGAUCGUGUCCUAACUUACUGGGCAUGAUCCCUUUUUAAAUCCGAGAUAGCUAAAUAUCUUUUAAAUAAGUAAAUUUUCGGCAUUCAUUCGCGCAUCGAGAAUUCAAGACUUGUGUCCUAACUUACUGGAUAUAAUUCUCUUUCUCGAUUAAUGUAAAAUAUGCCCUUUUCUCGAAAAUUUUCAACAUUUCAAUAAAGGAUCGUAUUUUUAAAAUUCUUCAAAAUUUUCAAUCUUCGACACUAAGACAUUAAUUAAUCAACUAGGUACCAAUUUUGGGCGCUACGAGGGUGCUAAUCCUUCCUCGUACGUAAUUGACUCCCGAACCCAUUUUUUGAAUUUCGUGGACCAAAAUCGUUGUUUUAAUAAAAUCAAAUUGUUUAUUAAAAUAACCACUUUUCGAGGUGGCCCGAUCACACCUUAUCAAAAAGGAUUGGUGGCGACUACCAUAUUCGUUUUCAUUUUUAAAAUCCAAGUCGACCCCGUUUUGUCAAAAAAAUAGUGUCAACAUAGUCCAUUAUGAAGAGUCCAUAAUUCUAUGUCUACACUUGUAGUACAAGGGAUGUGGCAGUAGGAUCCUACGAUCCAGUUUCCGUGUUGGUCUUUUAUAAAGGCUCAAGAGUUUAAAAAAUCCUUAAACUUUUUUUUAAAAAAACAACAAAUCCCUCCUCUUUUUUUUUUUUUUGCACUCAAUUAAGCACUUGAACUUUCAAAAUGUAUAAAGGCCCUCAAACUUCUUCAAAGAAACCAAUUAAACCCCUAUUUUUUUUCACUCAAUUGGGUACUUGAACUUUCAAAAUGCAUGAAAAAGAUCCUUAAAAUUUUUCAAAAAAGCAAUUAAGCCUCUACUCUUAUUAAAAAUUAGAAAAAAUAAUUAUAAAAAUAAUAAAUUUUAGAAAAUUUAUUAAAUUUUAAUAAAAAUAUAAAAUAUAAAAAAUUAAAAAUUUAUUAAAAUAAUUUUUAUAAAAUCAUAAAUAAAUUUUAAAUUUUUAUAAAAAUCAUAAAAAAUUAAUGACCCUUAUUUUUUUCAAUUAAAGUCAUCACGUGUCGCAAUACAGUGUGACAUGUGGUGAAAAAUGAUAAAAGAAUUAAAAAUCAAUAAAAGUUUUAGAAAAUAUUAUAAAAUGCUUCUUUGGUGCAUAAUUUUUAUAAUUUUUUUUCGAAAUUUAUAUUUCUUUACAUUUUGUAUAAUUUUCUUACUAUUUUAUAAACUUUUAUAUUUUUUUAUGUUUCUAUAUAUUUUAUAUAUUUUUUUACGAUUUUUAUAAAAUUUUACCAUUUUUAUAUUUUUUACGAUUUUUAUAUUUUUUUUCUAAUUUUUAAUAAAUUUUAAUAUUUAAUUUUUUUAUUAAAAUUUAUUAAAAUUUAUAGCUUUUAUUGAUUUUAUUUUUUUAUAAUUUUUUUUAUAAUUUGUAAUAAAAAUAGGGGCUUAAUUGGUUUUUUUUUUUAAGUUUGAAAGUCUUUUUGAUACAUUUUAAGAGUUCAAGUAGCCAAUUAAGUGCAAAAGAAAAGGAGCUUAAUUACUUCUUUUUAGAAAAAAAAAAUUUGAGGGUUUUUUUUUGCACUGUUAAAGCUUUCAUAAAUGCACUUGAUCCAUCUCUUCAUGUGCCUAUUGAAGAUUCAUCUGUAUUCAGCUUCGACUAUCCCUACUCUAGUAGCUGCCAAUUAAUUGGAGUAAAUGAUUGUAAAGGCUUCGCACAAUUGGUAGGCCUUCGUUAUUAACUUGUUAAAGCUUGUAUAAAUUUAAAAUAUCCUAAAUUAGAUCAAAUCUUGUCUAUUUCCCCACAAGAUUUAAAGUUAAGGGUCCAAACUCUUUUAACUCCUAAGACAGCAACCCACAAAUUCAUAGUUCACUAAUUUAAGCACACCAACACCAAUAAAAAAAAACCAAAUUCAUUGUCUUGUCUGGAUCCAACUAGCCCAAUUAGUGUUUCGAACUCACUGACUAUGUCUAAUGUAUAGUCUCGCCCAAGUUAUGUCUACUUCUCCACUUGAGCCCACACUCCUAGGUUAAUAAAUGGAAACCCAAUUUUAGGAUGGAAAUUUGUGUGGAAAAUAUGAUUGUUUUUCCCUAAAGAAAUUAAACUUUUUGCACCUACAAUUCUUUAGUGAAUUGCGAAUAUCAAGAUGUGCUCGUGAUUCUGAUUGUGCUUCAUUCAACUUGACAGACAAUUAGUAUCCUGCCAACUCUCCUCUUGACAACUUAUAAUGACACAAUAUAAGUUAAAAAUAACUACAAAUUCCAUCUCUCAUUCCUUAAUCUUAAUUUGAUUAAUAUUUAUAAAUUUUGAUAAACAGGGAAGUGAUAUUUUUAAAGAAUCAGCAUAUUUUAGUUAUUUGUAGACACCUGGCAUCCAUGCUUAUCAAUUAUCAUGUGUCUAGGGCAAUGCUGUAGUCUACACUCCCUUAGUUUGGGGUAAAACUAUGGAUUGCAUAUUUGCAUUUUAGAAUAAGAAUAGGGAUAUUUGAUAUCUAAUCCUUCAUCUUCUCUUCAUUUUAGUAGCAGCAGAAACCUUUUUAUAUUCACUAAUAACCCCACAUCUUUAUUUUAAUCAUUUCCCUAUGGAUACGGGAAACAAGUGAUUUUCUUUUUAUCAAAUUAUUAUUCCUUUUUCUUUUUAUGUGAAGCCUAGAGAUAUGAGAAAGGUUGUAUAUAUUUGUUAAUUGCCAUCUCAUAAAAUCAACUUAAAUUAACACCACAUUAACCUUACUAAUCAUAUUUAAUGUGAUUUGAUAUUUUGAUGCAUAAUUGACUAACUUUUAUGGAUAAAAUAAGGAUUAAAAUUGAAUUAUAAAUUUUUAAGAGGUUAAAAUAUAAUAUUUUUUAAAAAAGAUUAAACAAUUUUUUUCAUUUUUUAAAAGAUGAAAUUGUAAUGUUAUUAUAUAUUAACUUAUAAUUUUAUCGAUAUUGAAUUACAACUUUCUAUAUUAAGGGAGACUACCUACCCUCCAUAGAUUCACCUAUAGAUAAAACUACAAACCCUCGUUGAUUGCCCCUACUUAAUUCUAAAUGUUAAAUUCUAGUUUUCUACUUCAUCCUAAUAAACUUUAGGGUAAACUAUAUAAAUAGUCACUCAAUUAUGCUCGCGUUCUUGUUUUGGUUAUCCACUUUUAAAUAUUUUCAAUUUAAGUACUAAUAUUUGCAUUUGUUCCUAUUUUGGUCACCAAUCGUUACAUUGAGAACGGAAAGUCUUUUUCUAAUUGAUAUAAUAACACAUUUAGUCCUCAGUACUUACAUAUUCUAUCAAUUUGAUCCUAAUUCUAAAUAAUUUAAUAAAUUCAACCAUUCACAUUUACAAAUUCUAUCAAUUUGAUCCUCAAUCUUACAGACCAUAGCUUUGAACUCUUAAAAGAAAGGCAUUCCACAUCUAUAAAUUUGUAAAACCCAAACAAGAAAAAAAAAACUUCUCUCAACUAACAAGUCAUAUUCCAAGCCAACUCCUGAUAUCAAUGAGUUUAUCUUAAAACUUUAAUUAAUUUCCCUUUUUUUUAUCAUUUUUCUUCUAAAUAUAAUAUUUUAUAACCCUUUGGUUGAUAAAAUUUUUGCUAAAGAAAAUGGAAAAACCUAAAAAAAAAAAAGAAAAAAAAGAAAAGAGAAACACUUUAGAUUUACUCUUGUUGUUAAUAGUAUGAUAUUUCCUUCAAGGCACAUAGAAAUAGUCCUCGAGGUUGGUUCUUAAAUUUGGAAAUUAAAUCCAAAGUUAAAAAAUAUAGCUUUAAAAACUUCAAUUGUUCAAUCAAUAAUUAUAUGAGAACAAAGUUAUAAACUUUACAUUUUUAUAAGAAAAAAGUGUGAAAGAAUUAAGAGAUUAUUACGUGUUCUAUUUUUCUCUAAUUUUUAAAUUCAUAAUAAGCAAUAUGUAUCACUAAUAAUUUGAUUUAGUGUCAAAUCAUUUACAAAUUAAUUAAAAACUUAAGUUAUGCUAGUCAGGUUGAAAUUAUAAUUUACAAAUAUUAAAUUAUUUAUGUAAUUUUAUUAUAUACUAUAUUUUUAGAAUUUUUAUUUUCUAUUAUUUUUAAUGGCGUUUAGUUAAUUUCUAACUCCAACUUCUUAAAAAUAUAAACAAAAAAAGUUAUGUAUCAAAUUGGAUAAUUUCAACCAUAAAUAAAACAAUUAAUAGAUGUGGAAUGUCUCUGUUUUAUAAGUUGAAAGCUUUGGUCAGGAAGUUUGAGGAUCAAAUUAAUUGAAUUUGCAAUUUAUUGAAUAAUUUAGAAUUAUGAUCAAAUUAAUAGAAUAUGUAAGAAUUGAGAACUAAAUGUGUUAUUAUACUAAUUAAAAAAAAGGCUUCCCGUUAUCAAUUUAACAAUAGUGACCAAAACAAGAACAAAUCAAAAGGUUAAUGUCUAAAUUAAAAAAUUUAAAGCUGAGCAAUUAAAAUAAAAAUCCGAGCAUAGUUGGAUAACCAUUUAUAUAAUUUAUUAUAAUUCUUAUUCCCUAACAUUUCUUAUUUAUUAAGUAUAUUUACUUUAUUAACGAAGUUAACUAGGUUUUUUUAGCCCAAACAUAGUUUUUUCAUUGCUACAAUAAUAUUUAAUUAACUUUUUUUUGCUACUCUUUUUUUAUUCAAUUUUGUUUUACUUAACUAAAUAUUAAAAAAUUAUAAACAUUUUAUUAUUAAAUCAAAAAAAAAUAUUUCAAAAUAAUCUUAUAUACACUAUGAAAAAUAGGUUUAAAUAGGGUAGAGAUCCCUGUACUCUUUUGAAAUUUAAAUUUAGUCCUUAUACUUUAAUUUUGAGGCAUUUAGUCAUUUUACUUUUUUAUUUAAAAAUCUUGGUCCCUUCGUCUAAUUUUAGUAUUAAGGUUAUUGAUGUAGUAAUUAAAAAUGGUAAAUUAACAUUUUUAGCCCUUAAUGUUUACAAUUUUUGUUAAAUUAGUCUUUAUUCUUUAAAACUGCAUAAAAAUUUUAAAAAUUAAUUUUUUUUCACAUCUUAAAUAAAAUUAAAAAUUAAAAAUAUAAUUUUUAAGAAUUUUCAAAAAUUAUGAAAAAAAUAAAACUCUUUAAAUUCAAAAAGUAAAAAAAAUAAAUAUUAUUUUCAAAAAAUAAUUUAAAAAAUUAAAAAAGAAUCCAAAAUUCAAUAUUGUCUUAACCAAACCAGACGGCCAGUUGGACCAAGAAUCGGUUGAGGUAUCAUCCAGCAACAAGUAAAAAACGGUUGACUUACAAACAGAUACAAACUGGUUGAAUCGGGCUAAAAACUGAUUGAACCGAUUUUAUUUUUUAUUUUUUACUUUUUUGAAGUUUUAAUAUUUUUUGCUUUGAAUAGGUCAAACUAGGAACUAGUGGUUUGAAGAAUUCAACUACUGGUGGUUCCAAAAAUUAUUGCUUGAAUUUUUGGAAAUUUUUAUAUUUUUCAAUUUUAAAAUUAUUUAAAAUUAUUUAAAAUAAUUUUUAAAUGAUUUUUAUUUUUAUUUUUAAGAGUUUGUAGUUUUUCACAAUUUUUAUUGAUAAUAUGGAAAAAAAUACUUUUAUUUUUAAAAAAAUAUGUUUUUGUAUUUGCUUAUGUACUUUUAAAGAGUAAAGAUCAAAUUUACAAAUAUAUAUAUAUAAAUAUUGAGGUCUAAAAAAAUUAUUUUACAUUUUUUUUAAUAAUGGUCAUAUCAACAAUUCUAACAACAAUGUUGACAAAGAGAUCAUGAUUUUUAAAUAAAAAAUACAAGAACUCAAUGUCUCAAAGUUAAAAUAUAAGAGUUAAAUUUUAAAUUUUAGAAAAGUACAGGGACCUUUGGCAUAUUUAAACUUUAUAAACAAUAAAUAUAAUAAAAAGAAUUAGUUAAAUAAAAUUUAAAUUUAACUAAUUAAAGCGUAAUUUAUAACAUUUUUCAAUGAAUAUGAUAAUUUUAUUUGUUUAUAGUACUAAAUUAAGGUAAAGUACAGAAAUGGUCCUUAAAGUAUUGCCCGUGUUCUAUUUUAGUCACUAAACUUUUAAAUUUUUCUAUUUUAGUUACUAAACUAUACGAAAUCAAAUAUUUUGUCACCGAUCCUUAAGAGCCAUUUGAAUAUUAAUGGAAGUGCUGAUGUGAGAUUUUUUUUAUUGGUCUAAUAACAAAUUUAGCCUUUUAAUGUUUACAUAUGCUAACAAUUUAAUUCAAAAUAUAAAAUAUUCAACAAAUUUAGUGCUUAAUGUUUACAAAAUUUGUCAUUUUAGUUCAAAUUCUAAAAUUUCAAUAAAUUUAGCCCUCAAAAUUUAGAAAAUGACUAAAUUUCCGUCUCUUUUAGCCUGGAACUUGCACCCCAAAAUAGAUGGAAAAGUUAACAUCUAUUAACUUUAUUGGUGUGGCAAUCCACAUGUAUUCUACUAAAAAAAAUUUAAAAAUAUAUAGAAAAUUAUUUAAAAAUGAAAAAAAAUUAAAAAGUAUUUAAAAUCCAAAUAUAUAUUAUUAAAAGUUAAAAAAGAAUAUAUAAAAUAUGGUAAAAAUAUUAUAAAGCUGUGGUUUCCAAUUAAAGCUAAGUGGAGCACCUACUUGUAUAUAAUCAUCUCAUUGUUGUGUAAUGAAGAACAAGAAAUACGACAACAUUUUUCUUCAUAUUUUAUGAGGUAAAAACUCAAUUGAAUUCUUUUUAAUGACUUUUUAUAGCUAUAAAUGCUUGUUAUACAAGUAGGCAUAAGCUAAAUAAAUAGAAAAGGGAAAGUGCAUCUCUCUUAAUUUCAGUAGCAAAAUAGAGAUGUGGAAAUAUCUAAGAAAAAAUGGAAAAUAUUAAAAAAAAGGAAUAAAGGGCAAGUGGCAGAACCCCCAAAGCAAAACUUGUGUUGUAAAAAUAAACUCUGAAAGUGUACAUAUGUUUUGAUUGUCCCACCUUUCCUUCCAAAUAUUCUAUCUGAGGCCAAACCCCAUAGCCCACAGGUCCAAAACUCCCCCAUUGAUCCCCUCACCCCUUCCAAUUUCCACUCCUUUUGAUCUUUAUUUCCUCACCUUGACAUCCAUAUUCCUCCGCAGAUUUUUUCCUUUGAUUGAAUCUUCAUUUUCACCCUCACAAUGCACUUCCAUGGGUUACCAACGUUUGCAUGCUUCUUUUAAUUCUCACCCAGUUUUUGAUUCACUUUCGAUCUCCCCUUUCCCACCACAUAAAAGAUCUCUCUCUUCUUGUUGGCCACUAGUUCACUAGUUUUUUAUCAGUCAAUCAAUUAAAAAGUUAACCAGUUCUUCAAUCUUUUUCUUCAUUUUCACACCAUCCCUUUUGUCCCUACACAUCUAUGAAUACACAUGUACAUACACUUUUUCUUUCUGGUUCUGGAUUAUUUUUAUUCCUAUCCAUUAAGUUGAACUUCUACAGAUAUGGCUAUAUAUUUCACGACAUUCAAUCACAACUUAAUUCCACCAUUUAUAUAAAAAAAAUUCUUACAUAAGCAAAUUUAAAUUAUAAUUAUUUAAUUGAUUAAGAAUAAUGGGAAAAUUUUGCAUGACAAUUCAUAACUCGUAAUGAGUUAUCCUCAAACCCUUAAAGAGGAGGAUAGAACGUGCUUAAGUGUGCUCAAAUUCCCCGUUUUCUUGUACUAGCAAUAAUGUCAAUGCCAACUGAAAUAAGGCUCAAUCGGCUAUAAUUAUUUUAAAUUUUAAUUAGAUAAUAUUUUAUUUAGAUAAAUGAAUAAAUGUAAAAAAUCAUCUAAGUCAAGUUUUAAAUUAUUUUAAAUAGAUACUAAAAGUUUCAUGAAUUAGAUAUAUUGUUUGACUAUGUUUCAUUAAUAUUAAAUUUAUUUUAGAAGGUUUUAACGUAAAAGCAAGAAAAAUUGUUUUAUUACCAAUAAAGGUAAUUGAAACAAACGUUUUUAUUUGAGUCCUAGCUAUAUACCAUCUCAACUCAACCGAAAGGAUUGUAUGAAACUGUAAUUCCGCGUUAUCCUUAUUCCUUUCCAAUAGGACAAUGACAAAUCAUAUUUUUUCUCCUGAUUUUCAACAUUUUUAGUUGAAUUUAAUUUUUUUCAAGGAUGAAAAAUCUGAUUUCAAAUACAUUUAAACUCAAACAAUAAAAUGUAGAGAGAAAAAAAAACCUCUUUUACCAUAGAUAGAACCCACUUAUACAUUUUAUUCACUAUCUCAAUAAGCGGCCAGUUUUGGCCAAACGAAUACAAAUAAGAAAGGAAUAUAGCCUUUGAAUCUAGGGUGAUUUUAUCUUGUUUUAUACACUUCUCUUGUCCCCAUACACACAAAAUUAUAGAACUUAAGUUUCAGAUUCCACAUAUAUUUCUCUCUCUUUUUUUAUUUCCAUAGUAAGGAAUAUAGCCUACCACCUUCACAACAUUGUAUAUAUAUACUUCCCCCUAGGCUAUAUGGAACUUCAAGCUAUGUUCAUUUCCAUGACAUUCCCGAUGUGGUUUUGGCCAUCAUAUUCUCCUUAGUUGCUGAUACCCGUACUCGCAAUGUCAUGUCCCUUGUAUGUCUGAAAUGGCACUUGCUUGAGCGUUCCACUCGCAAAUCCCUCACCCUCCGUGGCAACAUCCGCAAUCUCUUCCUCCUCCCCACUUGCUUUCGAGCCGUUACCCAUCUCGACCUUUCUUUGCUCUCCCCAUGGGGACACCCUCUUCUUGAUUCCUCUUCAAACCCGCUUCUUCUCGCUCAACUCCUUCGGCAUGCAUUUCCCUCUGUUGUUUCUCUAGUAGUUUAUAUCCGUAACCCUUCAACUCUCCAUCUUCUAGCUCCCCAAUGGCCUAACUUACGACAUGUUAAGCUUAUACGUUGGCAUCAACGUUUGCCUACAGAACCUCUUGGUUCUGACUUUACUGCCCUUUUUGAGUAUUCUGGUAUGCUUUCCUCACUUGAUGUUUCACUUUUUCAUUCCUGGACUGAAGAUCUUCUACCUGCCAUUAAAGCCUACCCUUUGAUUGCAGCUUCUCUUUCUCAUCUUAAUAUCCUCAAACAUUCUUCAGCUGAGGGAUUCAAGUCCUAUGAGCUUUUAGCCAUUACUGCUUCCUGUCCAAACCUCCGUAAAUUGCUUGCAACAUGUAUAUUUGACCAUCGAUUUAUUGGAUUUGUUGGCGAUCAAACCUUGCUUGCUCUUGCUUCCAAUUGUCCUUGCCUUUCUUUACUUCACCUUGUUGAUGCUACGUCUUUGUCCAACAUUAGGCCUAAUCCAAAUGAUGAGGGUUACACAUCUGAAGAUGCAAGUAUCAGUCAUACUGCACUUGGAGAUGUAUUUGCUGGAUUGCCACUACUUGAAGAGUUGGUUCUCGAUGUUUGCUACAACGUUAGGGAUACUUGGCUGGCGUUGGAAUUGCUUAAUUCCAGGUGCCCCAGGCUUAAAGCCUUGAAGCUGGGACAAUUCCAUGGAAUCUGUAGGGGCAUAAAUGCUUGGCUAGAUGGGAUCGCCCUUUGCCAAGGGUUGGAAUCUUUGUCAAUCAAGAAUUCUGCUGACCUAACCGAUAAAACAUUAGAAGCCAUAUCUCUAGGCUGCCCCAGACUGUCCAAGUUUGAGGUUUUAGGAUGUAAAAAGAUCACAGGCAAAGGGAUGUGGGAAUUGACUCACGCUCUUAGGAAAACUUUGGUCCAUGUCAAAAUUUCUUUCUGCAAAAACUUUAAUGCAGUUUCUUCAUUGCAGGCAAUAAAACCAAUUCGAGAUCAGAUUGAAAGGCUCCAUAUAGAUUGCGUGUGGAACACCCUUGACAAUUCAGAAAACCAGACAAGAAGUAGUUCAAGUCAGGAACUAAGUGAAUUAUACAACUUACAAGCAAGAAAGAGAGACAUGAUCAAGGAAGAGAAAAGGUUAAAAAAGAAAAGCAAGUCCCACUUCCACGAUGUCGGGGACGAAAACUUGUUCUCUUCUAGGACAUGGUCCAAACUACAUCAUCUUUCCCUUUGGAUAGGUGUAGGUGAGUUGCUCACUCCAUUAUCCUUGGCAGGUCUAGAUGAUUGUCCAGCGUUGGAAGAGAUAGAAAUAAAGAUUGAAGGUGAUAGCAGAAAUCAACAGAGGCCUUGCAUGGAUUCACUAGGGUUGCGUUCCUUAGCUUGUUAUCCAAGGCUUUCAAGGAUGCUCUUGGACUGCAGUGGAGUCAUAGGUUAUGCUCUUACAGCUCCCCUAGGGCAGGCAGAUUUGAGCUUGUGGGAGAGGUUUUUUCUAAAUGGGAUUGAGAUAUUGAAUCUUAAAGAGCUCAACUAUUGGCCGGCACAGGACAUGGAUCUGAAUCAGAGAAGCCUAUUUCUACCAGCAGCAGCGUUGCUAGCGCAAUGUGGGAGCCUAAGGAAACUGUUCAUUCAUGGAACGACAAAUGAACACUUCAUGAUGUUCCUAUUGAGAAUCCCAACACUCAGGGAUGUUCAAGUUAGAGAAGAUUAUUACCCUGCACCUGAGAAUGAUACAAUCACAGAGAUGCGAGUUGAAUCUUGUCGUCGAUUCGAGGAUGCUCUCAAUAGUAGCAAUCGUCAUAUUCCUGAUUAGAAAUAGUGUUCCAAGUUGCUAAAUUCCUACUACUUUCAAGCCAGAGAGGAGCGUAAAUAACUUUUUCCUAAUAAAAAAUUCAAUAUAUGUUUGUAUUAAGGUUCCUUUGUGCAAUAUUUUCAAAAUUAAGUAUGGAUUGGGAUACAAUCUCAUGUUGUUAAAUGGUAUAGAAACAACAAUUCAAUUGUAUCUCUUUUAUGUACGAUAGGGGAUACUAUUUUGUCCUAUACAUCUUAUUAAAUAUAAUAAUAUAUACAAAAUAUUUAUAAAUUAAAAAUAAUAAUAUUUAUAAAUAAUUUCCAAAUUUUAUAACAAAUAAAAAAAAUCAGAUACUUAUAAAAGUUCCAAAAAUCCAAAAAUAUGAAGAUUUAAAAAAAAACCUCUAGAAAAAUUAAUUAAUGUCAACCACUUCGACUGUCACUUGAAAAAAAAGUGUCAUAUCAACUAAAAUUAAGUAUCAAAGACAAAGACAGAGAUGAAAAGCAUAUAACUUAAUUAAGUUUUGAAUAAAUUUUUAGAAGGCUUAGCAUUUAAGAGAAAAAAAAAUAAAAUGAUUUAAAAACAAAAUAAAACAAAACAAAAAGAAAGGGUAUAUUCUAAAAGAGUAUGCUUUAUCAUACAUGGGUUCAACUGUUAAUUUGUGGACAAUGAUAAAGUAUGUGAAGCUUCAUUGUCCAUCUCACCAUGAGGAUAGGGUAUCUAUUCCAAUGGCACUUCUGUGUAUAUAGUGCGGCAUGGUGGAGUUGCUCUAUCCUGUAGAUUACAUUUUAGUUUUUAAUUAGAAAAUGUGUAAAUUAAUUUAUAUAUAUUAGAUAAGUGAGUAAAAUAACUCUCAAUUAAAAUUGUAUGGUUAAAUGUUUGUUUUAGUGUUUAUAUAUAAGGUAUAAUAAUAAAUUUAGCCCUUAACCUUUACAACUGUAAUGACCCGAUUUUCAGUGAUGUCGAAAAAUAUGAUUUUGGAACCCCAUUUUUAUAAACCGAGUUCAUAAUGACGAAAUAUAAAUAUUUAUGAAGUUACUAUGAAAAUAUAAUAAAGAGUGUUAAGUAAUCAUUUUGGUCCUUUGGAUAAUUAUUAUAUAAGUCCCCAAGAAUUUUCUUAAUUAAAAUUCAAUAGCGUUAGACUUCUACAAUUUACUCCUUAAGCUUUAAUUAACUAAUUUCUCGGUUAAAUUACUUACCCGGACUUAAAUACAUGUAACAACCUUAAUUUGUAUCUGUCACCGAGAUCGGGUCACGGAGUAUUACGAUAACAAUUUAAACAUUUAAAAUUACUAUCUUAAAAAUAUUCAAUUAUAAUUACAAUUGAAUCAAUCUCAAAUCAUUCAUAAUCUAACAUGCACUUACGAGCCUUAAAACGAGUCUACGAGACCCUAAAAAUAAAUUAGAAACAUUCUGGGGUCAAUUCGAAACCAAACGGAAAAGUUAAGAAAAUUUAAAAAUUUUUGAAUACAAGGGACACAUGGUCGUGUGGCCAAGUCGUGUGUCACAGCCCAGACCGUGUAGACAUUUGAUGUUGAGUCACACGACCAUGUCGCUGGUCGUGUCUCAGACCAUGUAACAGUCUGUUUUAACAAAUGGCCGUGUGGAUAGACUAUGUGGGUCAUGUAACACCCCCAUACCCGACCCGGUCGCUGAGUCAAGGCAUCAGGAUGUCACAUUCGUUGCCGAAGCAACUACUGAAAAUUUCAGAUCAAUGUAUCAUAUUAUUUAAUUAAUAUAGAUCAUUAACUCAUUUCAGUAAUAAUUGAAUUUAUGAUAGAACUAAUUAUGAGUUAAAGGAGCUCAUUAAAACAUCCAUAAUUGAUCAAAGACCAAAUUGUAUAGGUCAUAAAAAAUUUUGAACUGCCAUCGCGACGUUGGGGUUUACACGUCGUGACAUGGCGAACUUGUCAUCGUGACGUCGUCUCCAUUUUCCUACAAGUUCCACGCUUUAUUUUUAUUUAUUUAUUUAUUUAUAUCAUUACCUAAACCAUAUUCAGAUGUCAUAACCGCCACUUCAUUUUACAUAUCAUCGACUUACAUCUAUUUCUAAUCUCAAGUCCUUAUAAAAACAUUAUAUUCAAUCAAAGAUAACAAAGUUUAUAAAAUUAAUACAAAUAUUAAAGUUUUACAAAUAAGACUAUUGGAGGACUUGCACUUUCAAAGUAGUUUACCCACUUUAUGUAUAUUUCAUAUUUAUUUCUAAAUUGUAUCAAUCAAUUUAAUUCUUCAUAAAAUUUUAACAAGAAUUCAAUAUCACAUCAAUUAACAAUUAUUCACUUAUUAUUUUAUCAAUUCGUUUAAACAUAUUCACAUGUAUUAAUCAUUCCAUCACUUACAACUAUUUCGAAACAUUUCAAAUUCGUCUACUAUAUAUAUAUUCAUAUAUUUUUUCCUCCUCCUCCUCUCCAUUCCACAUCCUUUAUGUAUAUAUUUAUUAGAAUCUUUAGCUUUUAGUAUAUAACAUGCUUAUAUGUAACAUUGUCUAUAAUUCCACUAUUUACUUAUAUGUUCAUAUCAAAGAUGUCCACUUGAGUCAUAGUCACUAAAUUAUUUAUAUAUUGAGCUACAGAAUUCGAAAUUAAUAUCCGCUUGAUGUUUUUGAAACUAGACUCAAAUAUCUUUUUACCAUAAAAAUUUUAGAAUUUAUAAUUUAGCCAAUAAGUACAGUAAAUUAUUCAAAUUUGUCCUUGUUCUGUUGCUUGACAGCUUCGACCUUUCUUUACUAAAAAUUAAUUAUCUCUUAGUACAGGGUUUGGAUGAUUUUUUCGUUUGUUUCUAUUGAAAAUAGACUCAUUAAUAAUUUAAACAUAUAAAAUUAAACUCAUAAUCAUUUUUUUUACAAUUUUUUAUGAUUUUCCAAAGUCAAAACAGGGGAACUCGAAUUCACUCCGACCUUGUUUCACGAAAAUUAAUAUAUCUCAUAAAAUCUCGUUUCUUUCACCGUUUCUUCCAUAUGAAACUAGACACAAUAAGCUUUAAUUUCAUAUUUAAUUCAAUCUCUAACUAAAUUUCUUUAAUUUUAGGUGAAUUUUCAAAGUUAAGUCAUUGCUACUGUCCAAACUAUUUUAAUGAAAAUAUUUUCUUUUCCAAGGUUCUUUGCACUAUCUUUCAUUCAAUCACACAUAAUUGUCAUGCUUUUGAUUACUAUACAAUUUAGUCACUUAUGUUUAUGUUUAGAUUACAUAUUCAUUUCUUAAUCUUAGUACUUUUCACCAUGCAAAUCACAUUUUCUCUUACCAAUUUAGUGUUUUAAGUCUCUAUUCUUCAUCAAAUACUUUUUAUUUCUAGUAUUUAGAUUAAAUACAUGUUUCAUACAUCUCACUUAAAACAUCUUUAACUCAAUCUAUUGAAAUACAAGUAGGUUUAGUAUGAAACUUACCAACUUUGUCAAGAAUUUCUUCAUUUCUUCUUUAUUUCCAUGCAUUUCUUAUCUUCACCACUUUUCUUCCUUUUUCUUCUCAUUUUUUUUCCACUUUCAUCUAUUAUUUUCUUGCUUCUAAAUUGAUAAGUAUAUUCUCUAGAAUCUCUACUUCAUCUUCUCUCUUUAACAUCUAAGGAAAUUUUCAAAAAUUUUGGGCAAAAAGAUAGGUUUUCAUGGCAAAAGACUAAAUUGUAAAGAAAAGAAAACUUCAUUUAUCAUCCUUUCACUCACGUUGGAAGGAUGAUAAAUUUCCUUCAUCCUUCCUUUAUCUAAGUAAAAUAUUAAUAAAAUAAUAUUUAACUAAUUAAUUAAAAAAACCACCAAAAUAUCAUCAACAUCAUUAUUACAUUCUAGAAUUCUCCCUGUUGCUAAUUGACCAUUUUACCCUUUAUGAUUUUUUAAAAUUCCAUCAUUGAAUUAUCACUUAAUUUGGUAAAAUUACGAUUUAGUCCCUCACAAUUCUUCACCUAUUCAAUUUGGUCCCUGUAGGCCUAUUCCAUAUCUUAGGAAAUUAGAUUAUUUUCACUUUUGGUCUUUCAAAAUUUUCAUUUUUACAAUUCAAUCCCCUAAAUUUUGAAUAUUUACACUUGAGCCAAAAAAAAUUAACAUAUUUACAAUUUAGUCCCUUCCUUAAUGCAUUAUGUCAUGCUUUUUGAUUUAACUCACUGUUGAUAUAUUUCAAGUUUCAUUUUCUUUGAUCUUAUACCUUAUUUCGGUAAGAUUUUAUCUCACAUUAUUUACGACCAAGGGGGUUUUGAGGAUGUUAUAGGUCACACGGCUGCGUGGCAGCCCGUGUCCCAGGCCGUGUGCACCAAAUUUUGCUUCAAAAAAAAGGUAAACUUUACACCUAACUUGGCCACCAAUCCAAACCUAAAAACAUAACCAAAAAUACUCUCAAACAAAUCAAAACAUACCAAUUACCUACAAUUCAUGUGCCUAACCAAUGUGCCAUUCAAAUGAACCUCAAACAAAGACUAAUUAUCUCAUAACCUUGUUAAAGAGCAUAUGACAUUAACCACUUUCUCAUCCUCAAUCAACAUUCACCAAAAUGACCAAAUAUAACCAAUAUUACCAAGUUCCAUUUUACAAAGUAUUUACCAAUUCACAUCAAUAAUAUACACAUCCAAAAGAGUCAAGCUUAUCAACAUGCUUAUUUCAAUCACAACUAUAUACAAACAUUUGUUUCAAGACAUAACAUAAUUUUAAAUUUUAUAUGACUUUCAAUAUAAGUAAAUUAUACUAGAUUCAACCAUAGACCUAAAGACUAUUAGUCAAAAUAUCAUUAUCCUAGGUACAUGCCAUGACACAAAAAGAAAUACGUCACAAAUGUUGAGUUCAAGAUUUGUCGUGGAUGCUGAGUCAUUGAAAAAAAGUUUGCGCCCAGCGCUAGUCGAAUGAAUCGACAAUGGUUUCCUGCACUUCCAACACAAGAUCAGAUAAUCUCUAUUCCAUCAUAUCAUAACUAAACUUCUCAAGUUUACCAAUAUUGCUCUUCAUCAACUUAUUCAAUUCAAUAUACAACCCAUAAUUAUACACAUAAAUCAUUUAUCCAUAACCAACCAUUUAAAACUAUUUACUCAAUCAUUCAAUUAUUCUAAUUCAAAGGACUUAAGCUUGGCCGAACUGUUAAACUAAGCUUUAUUUGAUAAAGGAUUUUGAUAUAACAAAUUAAAAGUAUUUUUGAAUGUAAGAUAAAAAUGAUAAAAUAUUUUUUAAAUUUGAAUUCUAAGAAAUAAAAAUAUGAAUAUUUACAAUAAACUCUUAGAGAAUUUUGAAACAAUUUUAAAAUCAAGUGAAAAUUAUUUUAACCAAGUUAAAAUGAUCUUAAUUAAGUUAAAAUCAUUUUAACACAUCAAAAUGAUUUUCAAACAAGUCAUAAUUAUUUCAGGCCAAAAAGUAUCGAUACCAUUUGACCAAGUAUCGAUAAUUUUUUUUGAAAUAUCGAUACCCUUAGAAAAAUCGAGACCAAAAAGACAUUCUAUCAAAACCCUAAAAAUUAUCGAUACCAUGUUUUUGGUAUCGAUACUUUUUGAAAAUAAUCGAUACCUUUCUUCAAAACGAUACCAAACCCUACAAAGUACUGAUCUGGUAUCGAUACCUAUUUUAGGAAGUAUCGAUAAAAUAUUUUUAAAGUAUCGAUUAUUUUAUUCCAAUAUCGAUACCCUUUUUGGAGGUAUCGAUACUCGCUGUUACAGGUGAAAUAAAUGUUCUGGUUUUACAUCCCCAACGGCCAUAUUAAGUUCACCAACAACCUCAACGGCUGUAAAUCUAUUAGAGGGUAUAAAUACCAUCUUUUAAAGUCCUACAACAUCCAAGAAAAUACUUUCAAGCAAAAAUCAUCAAUCAAACAACCUUAGAACUUAAAUUUUCAUAUUCUUCGUACACACACUUGUGAGUUUUAUCUUUAUUCUUUUGCUCAAGUGUAUCUCAUUGUAUUUGUGCUUCAAUUUGCAAACAAUUUUAUCUAUCUUGUAAGAAUUGUUUCUUUGUUUGCUCAUUUGUAUCUCUUUGAGAGGGCUUGAAACUUAAGAUUUGGGGUAGAAAUCUUAAGGAGUUGUAAGGUUAAACAUUAUUCUCAAAGGUUAGAACAAAUUAGUGAAUUUGGGAAAAUCCUUAGUGGUGAAAAGCUAAGGUAGUGGAGUAGGCAAUUGGGGCCAAACCACUAUAAAUUCUUUGUGUUCAUUGUUUCAUUCUUAGCUUUUCUUGCACCAAAUUUUUUAAAGGCCAAUUCACCCCCUCUUGGCAUUUUCGGUUUACUUCAUCAAGAUAUCAAUAAUAUUUCAUGCAAUUAAUACAAUUAUAAAACUUAAAUAAGUUGUUUUAUACAAUUCAAUCCUUCCAUCAUCAUUUUACAAAAUUACCCUGACAUUUUACCUUUCACGCAAUUUAAUCCCUAAGUCUUAUACUUGUAAAUUCACUAAACUUAAUCAUUACUCAUGUUGGCCGAAUAUUCUAGGGACCUAUUACAGCCCAUAUUUAUCAUUAUUUCACAAUAUUUCUAUGAAAUUUAACUAUUUUCAUAAAUAAGUCCCUAAACCAUAAAAUCACUAAAAAUCACUUGACAAAACUUGUUUAUUUAACCACCAAAUUUAAUAAUCUAUCAUCUAAAUUCAAAAUAUAUUCAAAAUAUAUCAUGGCAAGUCCCUAAAAUUUUAACAAAUUUAUAAAUUAACCCCGGGCUAGCUAGAUUAAGCUAAAAUGAGUUCAAAAAUAUAAAAAUUAUUUAAAAUGGAUAAAAAAAAUCAUACCAUGCAAAGGACUUAAGCUUGGCUGAACCUUGAGGAUGCAAAAAUGGUGGUUUUUCCUUCUUCAUUUUUGGUGAUAUUGGAGAAGAAGAUGAUAGCUUUCUUUGAUUUAAUCUUGUUUUAAUUUAAUUUAUUUAAUUACCAAUUUACCCUUAGUAUAAUAACUAAUAACUACAAGAAUUUGUCCAUAAAUGUCCACUUGCCACCUUUGUGGUUUAUUUACCAUAUAAGCCCAUUAAUUAUAGAUUCCAUAUCCAUUUGACCCAUUUAGCAAAUAGAAUUCCACUUUUGCAACAUUUACGAUUUAAUCCUUUUUACUUAAUUAACUAUCUAAACCUUAAAAAUUCUUUACCAAAUUUUAAUACAACCUUAAUAACACUCCGUAAAUAACGAGAUCUCGAUAGCUCAUUUUUUAAAACCACUUGAACCUAACUAUUCAUUCAAACAAUAUAAAUUAUUAAAUCAAAAUUUAUUACAACACUAUAUUUGACUCGUAAAUAUUAAAUAAUAAUAUUUACAGACUCGUUUGUCGGAUUUGUGGCUCCAAAACCACUGUUUUCGAUACCACUGAAAAUGGGCUGUUAUAGUAUAUUUUUAUAUUAACUCUGUAAAUAUUCUUAUUUCAUAUUUACGGACUUGGUUUACGGAAAUGGAGUUUCGAAAUCUUUUUUUCUACACCACUAGAAUUCGAGUCGUUACAUCGUAUAAGGCUCGUUUAAGAUUGUAUAUCAUGUCAUAAUGAUGUUCUGGACUCAGUAAUAUGUAUUAAUUGUUAAAUUGAACUGUAAUCGAUCGUAGUUGUUCUGAUAACGUAUGUGACAUUUUGUAGCUCAGACCUGGUGAUUGGGUCACUAUGGGGUGUUGCAACAAUAUUUAUUCAAUUUGAUCUCUACUCUUUUAUUAGAUAUAAAUUAGAAAUUUUGAAACUAAUAAGGCUAAAGGAUAAAAAAAGGCCAUAAUAACAAUUUUAAAAAAUCAAUUAAGUCCUUUUAAAAUUUAAAAUUUAUUAAAAAAUUAAAAAAUUUAUAAAAAAUUUUAUAAAAAAUUAAAAUUAUAAAAUUUUCAUUAAAAAAAAUAAUACCAACCCAUUAAAAUCUAAUGGUUAUAAGUUUUUUUUUAAAAAUUUUGAUCCUUACUCUUUUAUUGGCUUGGUAUUGUUAUUUUUAAUAAAAAUGUAAUUUUAAUUUUUUUAACUUUUUAAAUGAUUUUUUAAAUAAUUUUUAAAAUUUAAAAGGUCUUAAUUGAUUUUUUUAAUUUGUUACGAACUGCUUUUUGAUACUUUAUCCUUAUUAGUUUAAAAAUGUUCUAAUCUACUUCCAAUAAAGGAAUAUGAGUCAAAUUGAAUAAAUAUGUAAAGGUUGAAGGCUAAAUUUUUUUUUAUUAUAUCUUAUAUAUACACACCAAAACAAACAUUUGACCAUGCAAUUUUAACAAAAGGGCUAUUUUGCUCACCCGUCUAACAUUUUGGUGAUACUUUUACCUUCUAUCCCGCUUAUUUAUAUGAAUAAUAAAACAAUAUUAUUUGAUUUAUUUUUAUUAAGUUUAAAGUAUUAUUAAAUAUAAAUAUAAAUAUAAAUUAACUAUUUAUUAAUUUUAUAAACAUCAAGUAGACCAAACAAAUUUACUGUAUAUAAACAUUUUAAUCUAAAAUUUUUAUGGCUAAAGGGCUUAAGGCCCUAAACUUUUUUUUUUUAAAUCAACUAAAAUUUUAUUUAUUUUCACUCAAUUGAGUCUUUAAACUUCAAAAUUACAUUUAACUAAUUCCUUUGGUCGUCAAAGGGUAAAUGCUGCCAUUUUGGGAGAUAUUUUCGUCAUGUGGCACGCCAAUAUUGUUUCACGUGGUGAAAUUUAGUGUUUUAUAUCUAAAAUUAUUCAAAAAGUAUUAAAAAUAUAAAAAUAUAGAAAAUAAAUAUAUAUUAUAAAAAUACAUAAACGUGAAAAAUUUUAUUAGAAAUUAUAAAAAAUAGAGAAGUGCAAAAAAUUUAUAUAAAAUUCACGUUAUAUGAAAUACGAAAAACUAAAAGAAGUAAAAAUUAAAAAAAAUUAAUAAUACAAAAAUAUUAAAAAUGAAUAAAUUUUACAAAAUAUUAUAAAAAGCAUAAAAAUAUUAGAAAAUAUAUAUGAAAAAAAUAAAAAUCAUUUUUUCAUUUGCACACUAACCAUCAUUUGACCCUCGAAACUAUUUGUUGUACACAUUUACUAUCAACCUUCCGGAGGCUUGUACCUUUCUUUCUAUCGUCAAUGUCAAGGGAGUGUUUUGAGAUGCAAAUUAAGGUAGGGAAAUAAGCUAAGAACACAAGGGACAAUAGAGGUUGUAUAUAAAAUUGUAAAUAUUUUUAAAAUUUGUAUCUUUUUUAAAAUUUUAUAUAAUUUUUAAAAUUUUCUAUUAUUUUUAAUAUUUUUUGCACUUUUCUAUAUUUUUAUAAUAAUUUUCUAUAUUUUAAAAUUUUCCAUAUUUUUAACAAUUUUUAUUUUUAAUUCAUAUAGUUUUAAAAUUAUUCAUUUUAAUAAUUUAUAUAAUUUGUAUAAUUUUUGAGACAUUUAUACUAUUUUUUUAUACUUUUUGCAUUUAUAUUUAUUUUUUAUAAUUUUUUUGUGAUUUUGAAUAUUUUAGUUUUUUAAUAAUUUCUUUUACGAUUUUCAGUAUUUUUUACCGAUUUUGAGAACAAAACAGCCCCAAAAGGGCAGCUGUUACCCCAAGGGGCUUAAUUAUUAUAAUUUUGAAGAUAAGGGGCUCAAUUGAGUGAAAAAAAAUAUAAGGGCUUAAUUGAUUUUUUUAGAAAAUUUCAGGGGCUUUUAGCUAUUUUUAUUAGUCAGGGUUUUUCAUUAUAAUACAUUUCAUUGCAACUGCUGCGUUUAAGUAUAAACAUAUUAAAGAAACAUGUGUAAUGAAUAAAAAAGAAGAAUUGGGUCAAAGCUACUCUUCUUUGCAAGCAAAAGACUAGUAGGUAGCAGAGUUGAGCAUUUAAGAGCUUAUGCAUUGUACAGAUUCCAUGUAUUUCAUUUUAUAUUUGAAUUUACAAUCAUUGAACAAAAGAUAAAAUAGAUACAACAAAAUGCCAACAUGAUCCUUGUGAUUAAUGUUAGCAACAGUUGAUUGAUCCUUUAUGAACUUAGACCUACCUUUAAUCAAAAAAAAUAUAGUGAGGUUAAUGUUUAUAGAUUUGUAAAGAAGAGAGUUGGAUGCAUCAUUUUGAUAGAUUAUAUAAUUAUAACCUAAUUGAUCAACUAUUUUCAAUGGUAAAUUAGAUGUAAAAUGUUGACUGUUAGAUUCAUCUCCAGCAACUAUCCCUACUCACAAGUCAACUGCACCCAAGUGUGAACAGCAGACGGGCAGGGCAUAACCACCAAAAUAGUUUGGUCUUUAUUUCUCAUGAAACUAAAUAUUUUUCCAUAAAACAUUUGAUUAAUUCAUAAGAUACCCUCAAAAACAUUGUUUCCCCCAUCUUCUUUGGACAGUUCCAGUGUUAUUUUGGUCACUUGCAAAGAAUGUUGUAGAGCUGACUGGUAGGCAUGGCUCAGUUAGCAUUAAUUUUCCACCUUAUAUACAAUACAAAUGCAAGAUUAAGAUCAGAUAUCACUGGCAACCCCGUUGAAAAAAUAUGGGUUUCCAAAGAAACAUAUUGGGUUUCCUUUUCUUGAUAUUGGCUUCACUAACAAGCCUCUCUUCUAGCCUUCCUAGUGAAUACUCCAUAGUGGAACAUGAGAUUGACGCAUUUCUUUCGGAGGAAAGGGUGUUGGAGAUCUUCCAACAGUGGAAAGAAAAGCAUCGGAAAGUGUACCGGCACGCCGAGGAGGCUGAGAAAAGGUUUGAAAAUUUCAAGGGGAAUUUGAAGUAUAUCCUAGAGAGGAAUGCAAAGAGAAAAGCAAACAAAUGGGAACAUCAUGUGGGAUUGAACAAGUUUGCUGAUAUGAGCAAUGAGGAGUUCAGAAAAGCUUACUUGUCAAAGGUGAAAAAGCCCAUCAACAAAGGGAUAACCCUGUCAAGGAACAUGAGGAGAAAGGUGCAGUCUUGUGAUGCACCCUCAUCCUUGGAUUGGAGGAACUAUGGAGUUGUGACUGCUGUCAAGGACCAAGGUUCUUGUGGUAAGAAAAUGCCCUACAUAUAGUGUAAGUUCCCCUUUGAGAAAAAACCUGAAUAACUGUGUCCUAUGUUUGCAGGAAGUUGUUGGGCAUUCUCAUCAACUGGAGCCAUGGAAGGAAUCAAUGCCUUAGUUACUGGAGACCUAAUUAGCCUUUCAGAACAAGAACUUGUAGAUUGUGAUACCAGCAACUAUGGGUGUGAAGGAGGAUACAUGGACUAUGCUUUCGAAUGGGUUAUAAACAAUGGCGGGAUCGAUAGCGAAAGCGACUACCCCUACACUGGUGUGGAUGGCACAUGUAACACCACCAAGGUCUGAUUCAUUUUUGUUUCAGUAGUUCAACCAGUUCUUCCUCUAAUUCUAAUGUAUUUGUCUUUAAUCAGGAGGAAACCAAGGUUGUAUCUAUUGAUGGCUAUCAAGAUGUAGAGCAAUCAGAUAGUGCUCUUUUAUGUGCCGUUGCUCAGCAACCUGUUAGUGUGGGAAUUGAUGGUUCCGCCAUUGAUUUUCAACUUUACACUGGUGUAAGUAUUUGUUUGGAACCUGGAAACUUUUUGUUUAAAACGAAAUUUUUGGGGUAAUGAAAUUCGUAUGGCAUGAUGCAUGAAUAGGGAAUUUAUGAUGGGAGCUGCUCGGAUGAUCCAGAUGACAUUGAUCAUGCUGUUUUAAUAGUUGGUUAUGGUUCAGAAGACAGUGAAGAGUAUUGGAUAGUGAAGAAUUCAUGGGGAACAAGUUGGGGGAUAGAUGGAUAUUUCUAUCUAAAAAGAGACACUGAUUUACCAUAUGGUGUUUGUGCUGUCAAUGCCAUGGCUUCUUAUCCAACUAAACAAUCCUCUUCACCAUCCCCUUAUCCAUCGCCAAGUGUUCCUCCACCGCCACCUCCUUCAACUCCACCACCACCACCACCUCCAUCUCCUUCACCAAGUGAUUGUGGAGACUUUUCCUAUUGUUCAAGUGAUGAGACAUGCUGUUGCCUUUUUGAAUUCUAUGAUUAUUGCCUAAUAUACGGCUGCUGUGAAUAU